CGGAGGAGCGGGCGCGGGUGGUGCUGCGCGUGUUGCCUGUGGCUGACGCUGGUGUUGGUGGGGCUGGUGUUCCUUGGAGCAAUCGCGUUGGGGGUGUUCUACGUGAUUUACCACCCGGAGCUUCCGACCUUCGCCGUGACGUCGCUCCGUCUGGCGGCGCUGAACGUCUCGGACUCCGACUCCGUCACCUCCCGCAUCGAGUUCACGGUGACCGCGCGCAACCCCAACGAGAAGAUCGCGUUCGUGUACGGCGACAUCGGGGCUGCCUUCGCGGCCGACGGCACGGACAUCGGGGACGGCACCGUGCCGGGUUUCGUCCAUCCAAGUCGCAACACGACGGUCAUCAAGGGGGCGGCUUCGGCGGCCGCCGCGACGGUGGACCCUGUGCAGGCGGCCAGUCUCAGAUCCAAGAAGUCUCACGCGAUGUCAGUGGAGAUGGACUCCAAGGUGGGGUUCCAGAUCGGGAAGUUCAAGUCGAAGCGCAUCAACGUCCGUGUGCUGUGCAGCGGCUUCAGCGCGGGGCUGGCCAAGCCGGCGCCCUCCCCGGCGCCGAUCAUCGUGGCCGCGGCGCCUGCACCCACCCGGUCUAAGAUCAGGCUGUCGUCGUCUUCCUCCGGAGGCGGCGGGGCGGCGACGACGGACGCAAAGUGUAAGCUGCGCGUCAAGAUCUGGAUUUGGACGUUUUGAUGCAUUUGUGGGUAGGGAGAGGAGGGAUUUUUCUUGGUUUGGUUUAACCUUUUUCACACUGUAUGUGGAUUUAUUGGAGUAUAGUUUAUAUGAUUCUAUCUUCCUCCUGGUUGCUGCUUGCUACUCUCAUCCAUCCAUCCUUUUGUCACAAGCUAAGUAGGCCGCAUAGAUCUAUGCUAUGCUACAGAUGGGCAUAAUUCUGCAAGAACGGUACGUACUAGUGACCACACCACACCACACCACAGUGAAACCGGCAGCUGAGAAGAAAUGGAAGGAGGCGAACUGCAGUAGGCGAGCGAUUCGGCGCACGCGCGUCGGUGGCGUCAACACAAGCUAUCUCCAGCUCGAUUUCCUUUUCGGUUUCUCUCCCUCCCGUUUCCUCAAUCUAUCUUCUCCUCUCAUCCGGGGCACAGCUGUACCAUGGCUGGCAGCCGACGCCGACGCCGACGUGCGGGCCCAUCGGUUUCCGGGACAGCAUGUAAGUGAACUGUGGAUAGGCGGCUGGGCCUGGAAAGAAAAGAAAAGAAAAUGCCGUUGAGUUGUGCGUGGCGAGGCGGUAUGACGUGUGUCGGGGAAAGGAUGAGGGAGAGAGAAAGGGUGGACGUCACUCUCGCUCCAGUCCAGUGGCUCGGCUCGGCUCUCCGAGUCCUAGGUGAACAGUGACCGCCGCUGAGUGCUCGUAGUGGCGGUACAAUCUUCUUUUUUAGUGGACGUGGCGGUACAAUCCGAGAGUGAAGAGAUCAUUUUUUUGUUUCGAGAAUGGAGAGAAGGGACGGAUGAUUAGUCAGUGAGAAUUGCUAAGCGCAGUGGAGCACGUGAGGUGUCAAGGUUGGGUACGCGACCACACACAGAUUUGCUAAGCCACAUGACUCGCAUACGCCAUACAUAACGGUCACAUAAUCAUCUCUCUAGUUUCCUAAACUUGGAACGCGUCAUUCCCACGAGGUGACUGCUUAAAAUCAGCACGGUUUUAUGCAACGGAACAAGCGGGAAGAUUGUAUGGCAUGUGCAGUACUCCCUCCUUUCAUUACUACCAAUAUAAGAUGUUCUGUUUUUUCUUCUUUUAAUCAGAUGUUUAUAGUUUGUUUGCUCAUUCAUUUUAAUUUCUAUGUAGUUCAUAUUGAAAUAUUCUAAACAUCUUAUCUACAUCUAAACCUACUAAUAAAAGAAAUUGGUUUUUUAGUCUGUCCUAUUAUUUUAUAGGAAACCUUCGAUGUUUUUAACAUUUAAUCCGUAAUACAUAUCAAUUGUUUUUACAAUACUCAUAUCUUUUAAACUGUAACUUCAAAUUUAACAUGUUAUAUAUGAAAUUUUCAUAGAAAAACAUGUAGAAUAUAAAAAUAAUGUUAUUUUACCUAUUAACCAUUUAAAAUACUAUCUAGGGUGCAAUAUUAAUUAAUAAUGCAUUAUUCGUCUUUCUUUUAUAUGGAUACUUAUUCGGAUUGGGGAUAAACAUCUCAGCAACAUCAAGAUUGAAGACGAAAUUAAAGAUCACUUGCUCGUUCUUUUUACGUAUUAAAUCUACAUGCAAGCCGUGUUGAACUAGAAAACCUGUGGAAUUUUGAACUGUCCUUUUUCUAGGUUAAGACCAUCUUUGUUUGAACCGUAGCUACAAAUUCUCAGAUUAUAGAUACUUUUUCUAAAUAAAGAGCAUGAGAUGAUUUUUUUCCUAUUGCAACGCACGAGCCCUUUUAUUAGUUAUUUGUAAUGGAGGUAGGAUUUGUUUGGGCUCUCCUAUCUUGAAUAUGCCAUGUAAUCUAGAGAAAAUAGCGAAAAGUCAUAUCGAGUGAGUUUCUUUUUCUGAGGGGAAAAAACCGCAUAUAUUAGACCAGAUACAAUCACUAUUAAAUAAAGGAACAAUAAGUGGAGGCACACUCGCCGACAAGACGAAAUCACCCUGCAAUCUGGCCAUCGAAGUUCUGGGGUAGAGAGAUUGUUCCUACGUCCGACUUUACAUGGGAAUCUCGUCACCGCUUGGUGCCGUUUUUUCGCGUUGCUUGCCCUCAUGGGGGUUGUCCAUUAGGGGUAGGGCCAUGGAUCUUCUAUCUAGGGUCCAUCUAGGGCUCCACACGGUCACUAAAGUCCCAGAGCUACUGAUGCAGUCUAAGUCUCACUCGGACACACAGAGUCAUUCGGACCAUCUUCGAUCAGUCGGACAUUCAUCAAAACUCGGACUAAGAUGAAGCGCAGACGUUGAAAGGACCGCAAUGACCAGAGACUUAAUCUCGCACAUAAAGCUGAGAGCACAAUUGCUCCCUAAGGUGGUUUUGAUAAUUGAUCACAACAUAUGCAUCAUUGGACUAAUGAGCUUACCCAAGUAUAUUUUUAGAAAAUUUCGAAGAUGCCUUGGCUAAAGGAUUAUGAGGAGAAACCCUUUGAGGAAGGAAGGAAUAGGAUUGGCUCAAGCUUCAAGCAAGAGGACUCUAUAUUUUAACACUUUGAGUCAAUAGGAAUGCUAAUACUAUUAAAAGGGGGUGAAGUAUUAUGAUGAAUUGGUUGCUCAAGUGCUUAGGGGUAGCCACCAAAAAUAUUAACUCAUUCUCCCACAAAAUCUCUCUCUCCAAAGCUAAACUAGCAAAAUCAGUGCCACCAAUAUUUUCCACUUGGCCCUACCGAUUUUCCACCACACAAAUCCUUUGCCAAACCCUAAUCUCUCGGUACCAGCAACUUUCAUAUCGGUGCCACCGAGAUUCAGUGAUCAACUUUCUGUUCAGAAAAUUCCAAGAAUCUGAAUUUCUGAGAUUGGAAUCUGUCUCACCGAGAUUUGGAAACUGGUCUAGGUCAUCGUAUCGGUACCACCGAGAUUUAUAUAUCAGUCUCAUCGAAAAUUCAAAUUUGCCACAUUUAGUGCAACUCGGUACCACCAAGAUUAUUUUCGGUGUCACCGAGUUGGGCAAUAAUGUUGUAACGGUUGGAUUUUGGGAGAUAACUAUAUAUACCCCAUCCACCUCCUCUCAUUCGCAGAGGAAGCACUCAGAACACCCACCCACUUGCGAGAUCCAUAUUUCUGAGAGAGAGCCACCUACUCAUGUGUUGAGAUUAACAGAUUCCAAUCCAACCAUUUGAAACUUGAUCUCUAGCUUCCCCAAGUUGCUUUCACAAGAUCAAUCUCUCCUACCCCUGCCAAAUCUGUGAGAGAGUGAUUGAGUGUUGAGGAGACCAUCUUUUGAAGCACAAGAGCUAGGAGUUCAUCGUUAUCCCACAUCUAUUACAUUUUGGGGGGGUGGUGGCUCCUAGAUUGGUUAGGUGUUGCUUGGGAGCCUCCUACUUCGUGUUGUGAAGUUGAACCAAGAAGUUUGUAAGGGCAAGGAGAUCGCCUACUUCGUGAAGAUCUAUCGUGAGUGAGACUAGUCCUGUGUGGACGGAAGGCAUGGUGGAAUAGACAAGGUCGCUUCUUCGUGGACCCCUUGUGGGUGGACCCCUCGGUGCACUCUCGCUGCCGUUACCCUCCGUGGGUUGAAGUCUCCACUAACGUGGACGUACGAUAGCACCACCUAUCGGAACCAUGCCAAAAAUCACCAUGUCAACCUUUGCGUUUGAUCUCCCUACCUUACCCUCUACAUUACAUUUGCAUAUCUUUACUUUCCGCUGCUAUACUCUUAGAUAUGCAUGUGUAGGGUGAACUUGACUAGUCAUAAUUGCUAAAACUGGCCCACAACUAAAUUGGGAAGGCUAAGUUUUUAUCUUGUCAAGUGGUCUAAUCACCCCCCUUCUAGACAUACUUUCGAUUCUACAAGUGGUAUCAAAGCUUUUGUCUCCAUUGCAUUGGUUUCACAAUCUAGGAGAGUGGCGUAUAGUGAGGGAAUUAUCACCGUAGAGGUCCAUAUUUCAAUGGUACAAACUUCGCUAGUUGGAAGCAUACGAUGAAAAUGCAUAUUCUUGGUCAUAAUCCUGCCGUUUGGGAUGUUGUUCAUGUUGGUGUGCAAGGUGAUUUCUUCAGAGAAGGAAGAGAAAUGGACCAUGAUGCGACAACGGAUGAGUUGAAGAUGUUGCAAUACAAUGCUCAAGCCCGUGACAUCCUGUUCGACUGUUUGUGCCCCGAAUAAUUCACCAAAAUCAGCCGCCUUGAGAAUGCAAAGGAAAUUUGGGAUAUCUUGAUUGAUGGGGGAAAAAACUUUUUCUUGAUUGAUAUGCUCAAACAUCCAAGAGUAACAAGAAGGCCCUCCCCACACUUCCACCAAGAAAAAGUUGUUCCGCCCAUGAAUCCCCCGCGGAUCUUGUUACUCUUGGGUGUUUGAGCACCCUAGAUGGAAGACGUCACCUCGAAGCCACAUUCCAUUGUGGUGAAGCUUUGUGGUCUUGUUGGGAGCCUCCAGUUAAGUUAUGCAGAUUGCCCCAUCCUUGUUUGUAAAGGUUCGGUCGUCGCCUUCAAGGGCAGCACUUAGUGGAAUCAUGGCACCUCGCAUUGUGUGAGGGGGUGAGGAGAACACGGUGGCCUUAGUGGCAUCUUGGGGAGUAUUGUGCCUCCACACCGCUCUAACGGAGACGUACUUCCCCUCAAAGGGAAGGAACUUCAGAAACACAUCCUCGUCUUCAUCGGUUCCACUUGUGGUUAUUUCUUACCUUUACUUGGAUUUACUUCUUGCUUAUUAUAGUUGUUGUUAGCAUCAUAUAUGUUGCUCACUUAGUUGCAUAUCUAGACAACCUAUUUGUUGCUAAAUCUAAUUUGUUUAAAGAAAAGCUUAAAAUUUCUUAGUUGCCUAUUCACCCCCUCUUGUCAACCAUACAGGUCCUUUCAAUUGGUAUCAGAGCCUCGUCUCUUUAUUAAGGGUUUCACCACCCAAAGAGUAUGGUUGACGAUGGGGACCAGGCUGGGGAGGUGCCAGAGGGAGCUGCUGCAAACUCAGUCACCAGAGAGGAAUUAAAUCAUGUCAUGUCCACAUUUAAAUCCUUAGUGGCUAUUGAAGUCAAGAACAUGCUUAAGGAUUUCCUUGAUAUUUACAAACCGCCUACCGAACUGUUGUUGGUGGCUAAUCCCACAAUUUCGGAUACGAGGGGCAAUGAAGAAAAGGAAAAUGCUGGUAGUGAAAAGGAUAAAAUGCCUCAAGGAACGAGUGCGACAAAUGCCUUUGCCUCAGUUCCUCCUCCCAUGGUCUAUGGAGGACCGGUCCACCCACCGCAUAUUAUUAAUCUAGGUCCUCCACCAAAGCUUGUUAAGAAUGAUUUUGCUAACUGGGUUUUUUGUAUCAAGUCUCAUUUUAAACACAACUCAACACAACUUUGGAGAAUCAUUGAGUAGGGGUACUACCCGCAUGAUACAAGAAAUCUCAUGUCAAGAGAAGAGGCCGACAAUCAGCUCAAUCACUCCGCCUUGUUCAUUCUUCAAGCGGUCGUACCUGUUGAAUACCUUCCUCACUUGCGUCCCUUCACUCGUGCCAAAGAUUGUUGGGAGCACAUCAUCUCCAUGUAUAAGGGAAGCUCUAGCAUUUAACGGUCCAACUAUGAAGUGGUUCUUGAUUAGGCCGAUGAAUUUGCUAUGAUCGAGGAUGAGGACCCUCGUGAGCUAUAUCGAAGAGUUACAACUCUUGCUGUUGCUCUUCAGGAUCAUGGAAGUAAAGAUGUGGAUGCCACUUGGAUGAAUCGUAACUUUCUCAAGGCCAUCAUGCCUUUCAACAAGUCCAUGUUCUCCGUCAUCUGUCAAAGUUCGGACUUUCAUUCCUUGUCCUCAAGCGAUGUGUUGGAUGAGUUUAUUGCCAUGAACAUUUUGAACAAGACCGUUGAAAAUGCUCUAAUCCGAGUUCAACGGUCAAGGAAAGACUCCCCCAACCUUGCUUUGAAGGCCAAGGUUGCUUUGGAGGAAGAUGAGGAAGACAAAGAAGAAACUUGUCCUGAAGACACCAAGUAUUCUUACCAGGAGCACAUGGCUCUUGCAUCAAGGUAGUUUUGGGGCGACAAGAAAAACUCAAGGCCCAACUUCUCUAAGAACAACUCAAAUGGGUCCAAGGUAAAGCAACGCGUGAGAACUUGUUACAAUUAUGGCCAUGUGAGUCAUUUUUUGGCGGAUUGUCCCUAUGAGCAGAGGGAAGACAAUGGUGGCAACCUCAUUCGUAAAGACAAGACCAAGUCCUUCCCAAACAAGAAGAACUUCCCCAAAAAGAUGCCCCAAAAGGUGUUGGUGGCUCAAGAAGAGUACCUCUCCGACGAGGAUGAUGACGACGAGCAAGUGGUGAAGCAAUGGGAAUGGCCACUAUGGCCAUUGCAUCCUCUUCUCCAAGCAAGGCGUUUCUCUUCAAGGCCCCCAACGAGAACCGCAUUGCCAUGUGCCUGAUGGCCAAGCCAUCCAACAAGGUAACCUCUAACACUCAAACUACCAACAUCAAAGCUACCAUUUCCACUACCAUGGAUAGCGGAGAUGAAAAGGAAGAGCUAGAGGAGGAGGAAAACUCCUUUCGUAAAUUCAUGAGAAAACUCAAGGGUAAAUCCAAGAAGCAUUUUGUUGCUCUCUUGGAACAACUCAGAGAGGCUAAUGACCUCACUGAAUCUCAUGAAGAUACUAUCUCUACAUUACAAGCUCAUAGUCGUGACUAUGCCAAUGAGAUUGCGGAUUUUUCCAUUGCUCUUGAAAAAGAGCAAGGACUUCGUUUGACUCUUGAGGAGUCACAUAAUGAUGACCUUGCUAAGUUAAAGAAAGAUCUUGAUCAUGCUCUUGCUCUUACCCGCGUGCUUCAAUCCGAAAAGAGUGCACUUGGGCUUGAUCAUGUUAGACUCAAGAAAGAGCUUGCAAAACUUGACAAGGCUCACAAGGCCUUGAAGAGUGCUCAUGUCUCUUUAAAAGAGUCUCAUGCUCAAUUCCAAGUAAAACUCACUAAGGAAAUAGCCGCUUGCUCUCCGUUUGUUUUAAUUGAUAAUGUCCAUGCUACUAACCCCUGUUAUGAGCAUGCUCAUCUUGUGGAGAAGAAUUUCAAAUUAAAAGAGCACCUUGAGAAAGUCCUUGUGACAUGCAUCCAAGGUGAAAAGACUCAUAAUGACCUUUUGAGCAUUCAAAAGUAGUGGUUGCAAUGGAAGGAGAUGGGUUUGCACCCAAGUCCAAGAAGAACAACAUGAUGAAGAAGAUCAGGCAACCCUCCCAGCUUAUGGAAACCUUUGUUAAAUCUGGGGAGGGUACUCAUGAGAAGGACAAGGACCAAAAUAAGCGUGCUAAUGCCAUGAAGGGCAAUACCCCUCUGCCCAACACACCUCGUGAUGUUAACCCCUCUUAUGUUUUGUGUCAUGCGAGUGAUAGGAAUGUUUUUGCUAAGUUUGUUGGUUCCUAUGAUGAGUACAUUGAAUGGUCUAUUUGGGUUUCUAAGACCCUUGUUACUAACCUCAAAGGACCCAUUAAAAAAAUGGGUACCUAAAUCCAAGCAUUGAUCUUAUGUAGGAGUUUCCUUCUGGUGGGGUGUCCUGGUUGCUUGAUAGUGGAGCAACAAAUCAUAUGACCGGUAGCAAGGACUUUGUGGUGGACGUUCAUACCGAAACAUCUAUUCCCACCAAGUCUCCUUUGGUGAUGAUGUGAUUUCAAAGGUAUUGGGUCUCGGCAAGGUGGUAAUUUCUACGGAACUUACCAUUGAAAAGGUUAUGCUUGUUGAGACCCUCGCAUACAAUUUACUUUCCAUUCAUCGACUUGCACUUAUGGGCUUUAGUACUUUCUUUGGCAUUGACUAUGUGGCCCUUUUGUGGCGCAAGACUCUUGAAGUAGCCUUUGUUGGACAUAUCGAGAACAGUCUCUAUGUGGUUAACUUUUCGGAGCGACCCACUAAGACCGCGACUUGCCUAAUGGCUAAAGUUGAUGUGGGGUUGCUUUGGCAUCGCUGGCUAGCCCAUGUCAAUAUGAGAUCUUUGCAAAGUCUCCUCAAAGAGGAUCACGUUCUCGGACUAACAAAUGUGAGUUUCGCGGGAGAUCGUGCUUGCAGUGUGUGUAUUAUUGGAAAGAUUCAUGAGAUAGCUCACCGCCCCACGACUAUCAUCUACACAAAAGGACCUUGGAGCUCCUCCACAUUGAUCUCUUUGGACGUCCAUCCUAUGAUAGUCUUGGGGGGGGGGAGAAAGUAUUGCUUCGUCAUAUUGGAUGAUUACUCAAGAUAUACGUGCGUAUACUUUUUCAAGAAAAAGAGUGAGACUCAACAAACUGUCAUCGACUUUGCUAAUGAAGCUCAACGCCAACAUAAUGCAAAGAUAUUGAUGAUUAGAAGUGACAAUGGUACCGAGUUCAAGAACUACACCCUAACUGAAUUUCUGAGUGAUGAAGGAAUCAAGCAUCAAUAUUCUACACCUUACACUCCUCAACAAAAUGGUGUGGCAGAAAGGAAGAACCGGACGUUGAUGGAUGCGGCAUGAACCAUGAUGGCGGAAUAUAAAUCUCCGUAUAACUUUUGGGCUGAAUCCAUCAACACCACAUGUCAUGCAUCCAAUCGCCCCUACGUCAUGCAUCCAAUCGCCCCUACCUUCGCAAAGGCUUGAACAAGACUCCAUAUGAAAAUUCUUAAUGGCAACAAGCCCAACCUCAAGUACUUCCGGGUGUUUGGCUGUAAGUGUUUCAUUCUUAAGAAAGGUCCUCGAUUGUCUAAAUUUGAAGCUAGAUCUCAAGAGGGCAUAUUUGUUGGUUAUGCUACAAACUCUUGCGCUUACCUUGUCCUCAAUAAGUCCUCAUGACUCAUUGAAAAGACGUGUAACAUGGAGUUUGAUGAGAAUAAUGGCUACCAAGUGGAGCAAAGUGGUCUUUGUGAUGUAGGUGACGAAAUUUCUCCCCAAGCCAUAAGAAGAAUGGGUGUGGGACACUUCCUGCCCGUGAAGGAACCCCUUGUGUCUGAAGGAGAAGGACAAUGUUCCACUCAUGUGGAACUAUCACACACGCUUUCGAAGAACGCUGUGAAGGCCCUCAUCCCCGUGAUCCCGAUGAAGGAAAAUAUCAACCUCAAGAUGGUCCUGCACCAAAUGAUGUCCUUGAUCCAGCUCACCCCUCCGAGGAUGCUCAAGAUCAAGAGGAGGCACCAAGUUCAAGAUCAAGAGCAAGUGCAAGAACAAACUCAAGCUCAAGAUCAAGGACAAACUCAAAUAGGCGGUAAAGGUCUCAAACAGGCUCCUCAGCUCACCCCUGAGGAGAUUCAAGAAAGACAUGCUGCCAAGACUGCCAAAACGCUCAAAAAUAAUUCUCAUGUGCUGCAGAAUGUCUACGGCAGCUUAUAGAGAGGGGUAACCACACGUCAUCAAUUAUCAAACUUUAGUGCCCAUCAUGCGUUUGUUUCUUGCAUUGAACCACGAAAGGUACAAGAGGCUCUUGGAGACAUGGAUUGGGUUGAAGACAUGCAUGAAGAACUCAACAACUUCGAGCACAACAAAGUGUGGCGACCGGUGCCGAGACCAAAGGAGAACCACAAUGCCAUUGGGCCAAACUGGAUCUUUAAGAACAAGCAAGAUGUGAAUGGUGCCGUCACUCGGAACAAGGCAAGAUUGGUAGCACAAGGCUACUCCCAAGUCGAGGGUAUCAACUACGGUGAAACCUUUGCUCCUGUCGCUCACCUUGAAUCUAUUCGCAUGUUGCUUGCAUUUGCUUCUCAUCAUAACUUAAAAUUAUAACAAAUGGAUGUGCAGUGUGCAUUUCUUAAUGGUCCCCUUAAGGAGUUGGUUUAUGUCAAACAAUCCCCGAGGUUUGAGGAUCCCAAGUUCCCUAAUCAUGUGUAUGUUCUUGAUAAGGCACUCUAUGGCCUUAAACAAGCCCCACGUGCGCGGUAUGAGCACCUUACGGAGAUGUUACAUGACCGUGGUUUUGAAGUUGGGAAAAUUGAUCCCACUCUUUUUACUAAGAAGGUCAAGGGGAGUUUGUUCAUAUGCCAACUAUAUGUUGAUGAUAUUAUCUUUGGUUCCCCUAACAAAGCUUUUAAUGAAGAAUUUGUUGCUCUAAUGACUAAAGAGUUUGAGAUGUCUAUGAUAGGAGAUUUGAAGUUUUUUCCUUGGGUUCGAAGUCAAGGAACCUUCAUCAAUCAAGCCAAAUACACUCAAGACAUGCUCAAAAGGUUCAAGAUGGAUGAUCUCAAACUAGCCAAGGCCAACACUCUCAUGCCUCUCAACUGCCAUCUUGACCUCGAUACGAAUGGUAAAGGUGUGGAUCAAAAGGUAUAUCGCUCUAUGAUUGGCUCUCUUCUUUACCUUUGUGAAUCUAGACCGGAUAUUAUGUUGAGUGUCGGAAUUUGUGCACAAUUUAAAUCUGCACCUAAGAAAAGUCACUAUGUGGCGGUCAAGCGAAUCUUUCGAUAUUUCGCUCAUACCCCAAACUUUGGCUUAUCGUAUCCCAAAGGGGCUUCAUUUGAUCUCAUAGGAUAUUCGGAUUCGGAUUGAACGGGACACCGUGUGGAUAGGAAGUCAACUUCCGGAGAUUGCCAAUUCCUUGGUCGCUCUCUGGUAAGUUGGUCUUCCAAGAAACAAAUUUGCAUUUCUCUCUCGUCCAUCGAGACUGAAUAUGUUGCUGCUGCAAGGUGUGCUCAGUUGCUUUGGAUGAGGAGAACUUUAAAGGAUUACGGUGUCACUUGUGACAAAAUGCCUCUUUAUUGUGAUAAUAUUAGUGCUAUCUCAAUAUCCAACAACCCGAUUCAACAUUGCAAGGCGAAGCACAUCAGUAUUCGUCACCACUUCAUUCGGGAGCAUAUCAAGCGCGGGGAGAUUGACCUCAUUUACCUCAACACUAAUGAUCAACUUGCAGAUAUCUUCAUGAAGCCUUUAAAUGAAGCAAGAUUUCGUGAGUUAAGGCAUGAGCUGAAUAUCAUUGAUUUGAGCAAUGUGGAUUGAAAUUAGGCACACCCCACCACUCUCAUCAUUUUGUUUUGUGUAGAUGUAGGCAUGAAUUUAGGGGGAGUGUUGUUCUCUUAAUGAACUCUCCCUCCCCCUAUUAUGCAUAAAUCGAUCAAUUAUUUCACAUUAGUCACUCAUGUGAUACAUGUGCUUCAAAGACGAAUUUUGGUCAUGGGUCCAAGCUUAAAAUCUUCACGGUGCCAUACCAACUGACUCAAACAUAGGUGGCCUCGGCCACCGCCCCUCUUCCACACAAGUUCUUUCCAUUAAUUGCAUGAACGGUCACUCCACAAUGGGCUCUACUUCUCAUUUUGCAUUCUUUUAAAAGUGGAGUACCUUCUUUAUUUUUGUGCCUUUAUUCUCUCCUCUGCAUGGUCAAAUAGAUCCCCAUCUUUUAAGGUGCCUGUUGCUUGGGUCAUAGGUGGUACUACCGUACUGAUCGGUGGUACUACCACUCCAGCGGUACUACCAUGCUCAUGGGCGGUACUACCGCCUCGGGGAAUUUAUGGGGUGUUAAGAUUGGGGUAGGGGGAGUUCUAACUCCCCCAUACCCAUUCCCUCCCUAUCCCCAUGCCUCUCCCUCUCUGUGGCGGCCAGGAACAUCACCAGAGGCCGGCUCCGGAUUCCUCUAUCCGUGCCGCCCUCCACUUUUUCAUCCGGAGGGAUCUCCCCCCUCAUCUCCCUCGUGCCAUGGAACCCGAUACUGCCCUGGAUCCCCAUCUCUCUCGUGGUAUUUUUGUUGGAUCUUGAUCUAGGGCAAUGCGUGUGUAUUCCUUGUUUAGUUUGUUUUUCCAUGGCCUGCGUAGGAUGUCUAGAUGAUCUUGUGUUGCAAUAAUUUUGGUACUUGCACUAGAGAUUUGUCGGAUGGAGAGAUCCGACACUGCCGCAUCCAUUGACAAUAGUUGCCCAGGACGGUACUACCGCUCAUGCAUGACCGAUACUACCGCUUCGGUGGAAGUACCGCUCUUGCACAACGGUACUACCGCUGCAGCAGAAGUACCGCUCUUGCACAUCGGUACUACCUCCCUGGCACGUGCACCCCUUUUCUUUCCUCCAUCCGCCGAUCCCUGUAUGGUUUCCUAUUUUACUUUUGGAGUCAGUUUAUACUUGUUUUCUUGUCAUUCUCCUUGUGAGUACCACGUGAUGGCUCUGGUCCUAUGACUUGUCGCAUGAACCCCAAGCAUGGCUCCAAGCACCCACGUGCAUCUGAGGAGGUAGCUGCUAAUUCGAGUGCGCAACCACAAAAGCAGCAUGUGAGGAGGACAGGUACUAAGAAGAAGGCCCCCAAAGAACCCCAAGAGUUGCCUCAAGAAGAGUUUGCUGUGUUGUGCAAGCAUAAUCCCUAUUUUCUGCCUCAGGAUGAAUCUCUUACAUGGCAUCCAUAUUGGAAGAAGGAUGUCAAGAGCAAUGAUAUGGGGCACAUGAUCUCUAAUCCCCAUACUUCUUAUUUUGCUGAAGCUUAUGCUCUCUAUGAGAAGUGGCGUCUUGGUCCUAUCAUCAAUUUCAAGAAGGACAUUGAAAGCAAGAUUGUGGCUCAAUUCUAUGCCACUAUUCCCUUCCAUGACGGUGAUGAAAGGCGCUUGACCUGGAUGACUGGUGCCCGUGUGUUACACUCUGAUUGGAAGACGUUUAUGAACUCUCUGGGCAUUGCUGACACGGGACUGGAUGAGCCCAUUGGCCCGAGGCCUCACACUGAGGGUAUUCCUACUAUUCACAAGUCCAAGCUCAUUCGUUACUCGAGGAUUGUGAAGACUGCCAAGGGUGACCGUACCGAGCUCAUGCCUUUUCUGGACAUCAUGCACAAGAUCUUUCGCAACUCUUUGUUUCCUCGUGUUGGGAACAAGGACCGGGUGCACUCCUGUCUUGUCAAUCUCCUUCUUUUCUGCCAGAAGGAGCGAGACCGCCAGUCCAAAUUGGAUGUUUCCCACAUUAUGUGGAUGGAGUUGAGGUCUGCUGUGUUUGACAAAAAGAAGGUGCACAUUUAUGCUCCGUAUGAGUUCAAGCUGAUUGAGGACACCUGGAAUGCUACCUUCCCUACUGAGCUAUUGGCUACCGAUCACAUGGUCACUCAUGGUCUGCUCAAGCUCCGUCUGAAGGACAAUUGGGGCAUUCCACGUGUUGUUCCAGAGAUUGCUGCUACUGACUCGGCUGGCGAUCAUGAGCCCGAUUAUGAGUUUGUUCCCGGAUAUGAUUCUAAACCUUCUUAGGCCUCAAAGCUUAGGAAGAAUAUGAAGGCUCUUUUGUGCUUCCAGGCGAAGGGUCAGUACAAGGCACAUGUCGAUGCCAAGAAAGCGCGCAGCCGUGACAAGAUGAUCAUGCGAAAGAUUGGACUUGAUGUCCAAAGCGCUUCAGAAGACAAGAUCACUGAUGAUGAGGACUGGAUAAAGGCCAACUGCCAGUGGACGGAGUCUAAGGAUGAGGUGUGUGGUGAGGAGGAGGUGUGGGCUGAGGAGGCGUGUGCUGCUUCAGAUGAGACCGAGAGAGAUGACAACGAGGACUACUAAGCUUCUCCCGUCUCUUCUUUUUGGUGUAUCAAUGCCAAAGGGGGAGAAAGUAUCUUAGUUUAAGAUGGAUUUGCCUUGCUGAGUCAUGAGUGUGUUUAUUUGCAUUUGUUUUCUCUAUCUCGUGAACUCGUUUAUUGCUUGCUAUGGUUUGCAUUUGCCCAAGACUUGUGUGAACUUAUGUGUGGUGUAAGACAUAUGCUACCCCAUCUAUCAUGUUAUGUCUUUGCCGCUGUGAUAUGCUUGCUUAUCUAUUUUACUCUAUUCCGUUCACGCAAGUAUAUAGCCUUGUCUAUAAAAUAUAGGGGGAGUAUUGAUCCUGGUGUGUGCUCUUCGCAUUCCAUAAGCAUAUUCAAAUAGAACACACGUCUAUAUUUUGUAUGUUUUGGGAUUGUCUAAGACUUCUUAGUUCAGUUUUUGGCAAAUCCCGUAUUGUCAUAAACCCACCAAAAAGGGGGAGAUUGUAAGAGCACAAUUUCUCGUAAGUUAUUUUGGUUGUUGAUGACAAUACCCUUUGCGGAAUAAUCGUGUGCGAUAUGCUUUCAGAGAAUUAUCAGGUGGCACAAGACAAUUAUACCCCCCUAGUAAGUGAAAGUGAAGACAAUGCUUAUCUAUUGAUUUAGGGUUGCUGGACUCAAGUCAUAGAUAAUCCCGUACUAUUAAGAGGGGAUCCGCGUUUGAAAAAAUUGGGUGGAACACUAUCUCUCAUUCUUGCUCCCCAUCCCUUUUUUGGAGCAAAGGAGUUGCCCUGCUAUAGUGCCCAUGAAUUUACAGAAGCGGUAGUACCACCCUCGUGAGCGAUAGUACCGAUCCAGUGGUAGUACCGCCCUCGUGAGCAGUAGUACCACUCCAGCGGUACUACCGCCCACCAGAGCCGGUCCCUCUUCCGCUUGUUUUUCUUUUCUGGUGUCGGGGGGCCUUUUUAUAUGGUGGAGCAGAAGUACCGCCCAGGGGGAGCGGUAGUACCGCUCUAGCGGUACUACCGCCCCAUUCUGUUGCGCCCACUUCCACUUAAUAUUUCUCUCUGGCUUCCUACCUCCCCUCAUUCUGGAUGAGCGGAAGCACCGCCCCUACUGGAUGCCCAGCGGAAGUACCGCCCUGGUGCACGGUACUACUGCUUAGUUGGGCCAGUAAGGGGCUGGUAACGGCCAUAUUCGCCCCACUAUAAAUAGGAGUCUUCUUCCUCGAGGAGAGCUUACCUUUUCCCUCUCCAGCUCCAUUGCUGCUCCAAAAGCUCAAACUAGCCCGAUAUCCCUGCCUAGCAAUCAACUCUUGUUGAUUCUCUAGGGUUUGGAGGAGAAGGCCCUCCCCCACACUUCCACCAAGAUAAAAGUUGUUUCCCCCAUUAAUCUCUCACGGAUCUUGUUACUCUUGGAUUUUUUAGCACCCUAGACGGAAGAGGUCACCUCGAAGCCACAUUCCAUUGUGAUGAAGCUUAGUGGUCUUGUUGGGAGCCUCCAACUAAGUUGUGGAGAUCUCCCAACCUUGUUUGUAAAGGUUCGGUCGCGGCCUUCAAGGGCACGACUUAGUGAAAUCACGACACUCUGCAUUGUGUGAGGGCAUGAGGAGAAUACGGUGGCCUUAGUGGCAUCUUUGGGAGCAUUGUGCCUCCACAGCACUCCAAUGGAGACGUACUUCCUCUCAAAGGUAAGGAACUUCAGAAACACAUCCUCGACUUCAUCGGUUCGACUUGUGGUUAUUUCUUACCUUUACUUGUAUUUACUUCUUGCUUGUUAUAGUUGUUGUUAGCAUCAUAUAGGUUGCUCACUUAGUUGCAUAUCUAGACAACCUAUUUGUUGCUAAAUCUAAUUAGUUUAAAGAAAAGCUUAAAUUUUGAUAGUUGCCUAUUCACCCCCUCUAGUCAACCAUAUCGAUCCUUUCACCUUGGAUGGAAGAUACGACACCGUGUGCACAUUAAUUUAAAUGAUGCCAAACUACAAGGAUAUCAAGGCAACUGAAGUCAUUGGAAGGAUUGUUGUUCAUGAAAUGUCACUCAAGGACAAAGAUGAGUUGCACAACAAGUCAAGCGGUGCUUACAAAGUUUCAAGUGAUGCCCCCGCUACUGCAAAUGAUAACCUUGUUACCAAUGAAGAGAUCAACCUCAUGGUCAUAAAAUCCAACAAGUUCUAAAAGAGUUGAAGCAAGGAGAGAAGCUCAAGUUCAAGAUAUGAUGAUAAGCGUUCAUCUAGUCAUGACCGAAACUGCUACAACUGUGGAAAGCCCGAACACUAUUCAAAUGAGUGCUCGGCUCCCCCACAAAAGAAGAAAGGAGUCACCUAGAAGACGAAGCUCAAGAUAUAAGUUAGCUCGCAGAGAGAGAAGGAGUAGAGAAGAUCAAUAUGAAGGAAGACAGCCUCGAAGAGGAAAGGAAUCAAAGAGGAAGGACAAGUACACCCACAUCAUCUCAAGAAGAAGACAUCAAGAUCUUGUUGGAUGGGUUUCCGGCUCCGAGUGUGACAACCAAUCUGAGAGAAGCUACCACUCCAACUCCGACUAUAGUCAAGAUGAAGGUGUUUCCAGUCUUGCACUGGUUUCCUCCAACUCCUAUGACUUAUUUGAUUCACCAAAUGAAGGGAUUGGAAACCGCUUCAUGGCAAAAGGCCUCAAGGUAUCACACCGUGAGUACUUUGACUUUGAUAGUGAUGAGGAUGACUUGUUAGAAGAUGAUGACUUGCUCCUUGAUAAGACUAGUGAUAACAUUGAAAAUGAACUUGAAAGUAAUCUUGCUAGUCAAGAGAAAUCAAAUGAUGAUGAUAAGAAAGAGAUUGAACGAAAAAUUAAAUAAUUAAACACUUUUAAGUUAGCUCAUGAAACUACUCUAGAAGAUCAUAAAGAUCUUGCAAGAACUCAUGAGAAGCUAUGCUUCGAGAAGCUAAAAUGAGAGCAAGAGCAUGAGUUUAUAAAAGCAAUCAAUGACGAUCUUUGAAAGAAGAGUUCUUAUCUAGACAAGCGAUUACUCUUGUGUACUUUUGUUCCACAAGUUGAACCUAAGAACACUAGUAACAAAGGCAAGAAAGUUUCUUCAUCUAGUUACAACAAUGCUAAAGUUAGUUCAAAUGAUGUUGUUGCUAGUAGCUCUCUUGAUUCCACUAAUGAUUAUCUUAGCCAAGUUACACUUGAGCAAGAAAACGAUUUAUUGAAAGGAAUUAUAUUGAUAGAGGUGUCUUCAAGAGUCUUGCCGGAAGUAAGCAAUUCGAGGAAAUUGUGCGCAAGCAAGGUGGACAUCGGAAGAAGCAAGGUGUUGGCUACUUCAAUGCCAACAGAGAUGUUUGCGAAGAAGGUCCAUAUCCCAUCCCGAAGUUCGUUCCUCAAGAGGAAAAGUACGAUCCUACUCUUCCCAAGGGAACAAGCUCUCAAGAUGACCUUCAACCACAAGGCACAAGGGCAAGGGAAAGCUUCAAGAGGAGAUUGACUCAUUUGAGGAAGAACCCCAAGCCAAGGUCGAGUGGAUUCCCAAGGACACUACUAGCACUACCUCAUCUAGUGCUACCACAACUCCAAGGAUCCCCAUCAAGUUGAUGUGGGUCCCCCAGAGGAAGAACUAGAAAGUUCUUGAGGGGUGAAUCCGCCAACGAAAUUCACUAUUAUUCAUUUUGGCAAGAACUAUAUGCAAUCAACUCCAACCAUAUGCAUUAGUUCAAGAAGUCACACAUUCCCACAAAGUUAACCAAAGGACAAGGUAACAAAUGCAUAUUUGGACAUCACCUCUCAUGUACUUCAUGCCAUGUGCAUAGAUAUUCUUGCAUAUGUUCCUUUUGCUUUGGGACUAACCCAUGUGGGUGAGAAGGGUAAUAAACAACGAGAAAUGCUCCCAACUCAAAGAUUAUCUUCAUCAACAAUGAGCACCCACAACUAUUUCACCUACUUGAAGUGUUCUACGACAAAACCCAAGGUUAGUUUAUCCCUCUUAGGGGAGAUGUCACAUCUAGGGGGAGCUUUACUCUAAGACUUGAGUAUAAGUGUCUCCUAAACGAUGUGAGCACUUUAAUGCUUUAUGUAAAAGUGGUAACCCUAGUUGUGCUUAAUCGGUGAGUAUAACCUAUGAUCAAGUAUUCUUACUUGGCUCCUGUCAUGGUUUUGUCACGACAGAUGUCCUCAUGAAUGGACUUAGAUGUGAGGCCAUCAUCGCAUUGUGGCGACUCAAAGGGGUUGAUUGGGGACGAGAGACACAUUUACCCAGGUUCGGCCACUCCAAUGGAGGUAAAAGCCUACAUCGUGCUUUUGUGUCUAUAUUGAUCAGGAUCUCGAUUACAAGGAUGCAUAAUCGUUAACCUAGCUCUCCAAAGUUUCUUACUUGAUCUUUCUGGAUCGAGGUCUCUCCUUUAUAUACAUGUAGAGGCCUCGAGUUUACAACCGAGUCCGGGUCAAAUAAACACCUGUGACUUACUAUAAUUCUAUCUUAUCUUACUUCCCAAGUUUAGGGAAACUCCUGGCGUCUUCUGCCUUCUGGGUCUUGAGUCGCCAUCUCGUGGUUUUGGGCCAUAUGGUGAUUUACUCGAAUAAUCUAUCGGCCCAUCUUCUUGUAUCUUCCUAUGAUUUGACCCGACCCUUUAAGGCAGGUUACAUCCUGGGGUUAUAUCCAUGACAUUAGGCCCCAGGUUGACUUGAACUUGUUCACGACAAGCUAUCCUAAUCAAAUAAUGAGCUGACCAUCCUUGCCUUUUAUCUCCUUCUUAGUUUCUUAAAUAUGUCGGCUCAUAGCUCUCGUUGUCUUAGCUAUCUUUCCUUCGUUGUGUUUCCGUGACUUCACUCACCAGAAUUUAAUGUCGUGUGGUGUCAUGUAGACCAGUUCCUGCAUGCAUUCCUAUCCCGAAAACCGAGGCGUCAUGCCUUCAGGAUUUUACUACGGCUCCUCUAUUCCCGUGCUUUGCAGUUGUCACUUCAGACAUUAUAAAUAUAGGUGGAGGCUCCCUCUUCUUCAGUUUUACCCCCUUCUUUUCAUCUUCUUGUUCUUCCUCUGGUUUGAGCACCCAGUCGUGCCAUUGUUGUUGCUUGCCAUUCACAACUGCCUCGUGUUGCAGCCAUUCCCUGUCCUCUCCCUGGUUUAUUUCACACGUCUUUUGGCAUCUCCUCCAAUCGACAAAGGUAUGUUGUUUCUAUUCCUCUAUAAAUCUUCUCCUCAGUUAUCUUCAAAGUUCUUCGGAGAACCCGAGGGUGCCACAUGUGUUCAUCGCCAUUGUGGCUAUUUGCAUGCUUCGAAUCUUUAUAAACAUGUUAUUGAACACAUUGGCUUCUUAUUCCUGCAUAGGAGGCUCAUAUCCUUUCUUAAGAACUUGCCACACAAACCACUGCCAUUUCCAUGUUCUAGGCUCAGUAAUUAUUUUUUUCCUUUCACAACCUUUUUCAGAUCCGUAGUUGUAGCAAUUUUGAUAGGAAACUGUUUCUCGUGUACUCAAGAGAAUCAGAAAGAAACUUUGUCUUGUCUAAGGUGCCUUUUAUUGUGGAUGUCUUGUAUAAAUGAUCUUAACGCGCCAUAUCUAAAUAUUGCUGGUUUUUGGGAACCGACUCAUGUUUUUGGCGACUCUAUUAUUAAGAUGUCCAUACUCUCUUAUCUUUGACCAUAACACGAAUGUUUUUGCAAUCUUGUGACUGACGUCCACGCGUAUCAUCAUGUCGAAGACUUCCAUUUGCAAUUGGGUGCCUUCACAAGUUUCAGAGGAUCUUCUCGAGGGCUAUGUAGACCAAGGCCUAUUAUCUUCCAUGGAAGUAAUCAGAUGGCGGUUCCUCAAGGGGAGACACACCCAAAGCCUAAUGAAGGAGAAGUUGUGGUUUUCAUAGAUCACCUUCUCACAGAUUUUUCUCCUCCCGGGUCAAAGUUCUUCUGGGAUGUACUCAACUUUCUUCACCUUCAUCCACAAGAUUUUCCCCCUAAUUCCAUACCAAUUUUAUGCCAAUUUCAAGUCUUAUGUGAGGUGUACUUGCAAAUUGAACCCACUGUUCCACUCUUUGUGGAAUUUUUUUAUCUGAAACGCUAGACUAAGUGCAUGGAUGGCCCCAUCCAAGAACUGGGAGGUAUUCCAAUUCAAAGACGCAGAAAUGGAGGCUUUCCUUCUGCUGCCCUGCCAAGUCAUCCCAAAGGGUGGAACAAAACUUUGUUCUAUUGUCAAAAUACCGGCCCAACAGACAAACAUCUCGUGCCAGGUUAUAUACUAAAUCGCCUUCUAGCCAAUUUUCAACUUCCCGACCAAAUUUCUCAAGAGGAACGUGACAAAUUCGCCUUUGUAUUCCAAAAUUGGCGACUCUCCGGUCUCAAGGUUUGACCGAAGUGGACUUGAAACAUUGCUGGGCAUCCUGGAUGAUCCUCCCACCGAGUUGUUGAAAUGCCCUUAUGUGCAAGUAUUUUAUUCGUGCGGAUGACCGUCAGAGAUAUAACAUAGUGAUUUUGAUAGAUGAAGACGUGAAUAAGGUUGUGAUGAAACUGCUUGGGGAAACUUAGGCGGCGUGCGAACAAGUCGGCUUGAAGCCUUUCAAUGCCAUCAACCCGACUCCUUAGGUAUGAAGCUUACUCGGCUAUUACCUGAUUGUCUUUGUAACAACAUUUCCAAGAUUAAGCACUUUAUUUUUAUUUUUAUUUACCCAAAUCUUGCAGAAUUCUUCUUUGUUUUGGAAAAAGAAGAGGAAAGUUCCGACUAGCAGAUCUAAGGCUGCUCCUUCCAAGAAGAAAUGUAAGUCGAUUGCUACUACAAUAUCUCGGCGCCAGUCUACAAUAUCUAGUAGCUCUCUUGAUUCCACUAAUGAUUCUCUUAGCCAAGUUACACUUGAGAAAGAAAACGAUUUAUUGAAAUGGAUUAUAGCUAGAUGUGUCUUCAAGAGUCUUGCCGGAAGUAAGCAAUUUGACGAAAUUGUCCGCAAGCAAGGAGAACAUCGAAAGAAGCAAGGUGUUGGCUACUUCAAUGCCAACGGAGAUGUUUGGGAAGAAGGUCCAUAUCCCAUUCCCAUGUUUGUUCCUAAAGAGGAGAAGUAUGAUCCUACUCCUCCCAAGGGAACAAGCUCACAAGAUGGCCUUAUACCACAAGACCACAAGGGAAAGGGAAAGCUUCAAGAGGACAUUGACUCAUUUGAAGAAGAAGCCCAAGCCAAGGUUUAGUGGGUUCCCAAGGACACUUCUAGCAGUACCUCAUCUAGUGCUACCACAACUCCAAGGAUCCCCAUCAAGGUGAUGUGGGUUCCCAAGAGGAAGAACUAGAAACUUCUUGUGGGGUGACUCCGCCAAUGAAAUUCACUCUUAUUCAUUUUGGCAAGAACUACAUGCAAUCAACCUCAACCAUAUGCAUUAUUUCAAGGAAUCACACAUUUUCACUCAAAGGUGAGCAAGUGACAAGGUAAUUAAUGCAUCUUUGGACAUCACUUCCCAUGUACUUCACUCCAUGCCCAUAGAUAUCCUUGCAUUUGUUCCUUUUGCUUUGGGACUAACCCAGAUAGGUGAUAAGAUUAAGAAACUUCAUCAACAAUGAGCAUCCACCACUACUUCACCUACUUGAAGUCUUCUAUGACAAAACCCAAGGUUAGUUGAUCUCUCUUAGGGGGGAUGUCACAUCUAGGGGGAGCUUUACUCUAAGACUUGAGUACAAGCAUCUCCUAAAUGAUGUGAACACAUUAAUGCAUUAUGUAAAAGUGGUAACCCCACUUGUGCUUAACCGAUGAGUAUGACCUAUGAUCAAGUAUUCUUACUUGACUCCUAAGUCAAUAUACUCAUAUAUAGAUGACUUCGUCAUCGCCAAAGUGCUUGAUAGAUGCUAGAAUGUUUGUGCAUGUUCAUCAUGAUUUCAUUUGACAUCUUAUGGUGUCAGCAUGUUGGUCUGCAUAUCUGUCCCCAUUCAAGGACAUCCAAUUGUUGCUAUUUGGCUUUUGAUUUAUCUUUUGCCAAUUUGAUGGACAAAAAUUCCUAGGACCCCUCUCUAGCUAUCUAUGCUUUCUCAUAUCAAGUUCUAUUCACGCUACAUCAUAGAACUUGAACAUGCACUUCUCGACCCCCCUAUGUGAGGAGCACUCGGAGUUCCGUGUUUACAAGGACUGCUUUCAAAAACCUCUUUGUGAAUCUUGGUGUAACCAACCCCAAAUUCUCGGUUCCACCGAUUCUCAAAGUUGAUAUUGGUUUUAAUCUCGGUACCAUGGAUAACAUAAUCUCGGCUUCACCGAGUUUCCCUGUUAACACAAAACAGUGGAACUCGAUGGCACCAAAAUUUUAGUGUGUGUGACACCAAAAGUGAGGGGUACUUAUAUCCGCGGACCCGAAGUUUUGAAAUUCCAUCUUCAAACGUCAAGUACCCAACCCCAAACUACCGCACCAGGACCCCUUGGUCGUCGCCCUUGUAUCCCCGAGCGGCUUCAUCGUUGGGAAUAAGCGCUGCCUAUGGAAUCUUCACCACCAUCGUCGCCUAGCGGAUUCAUCACCAAGCUAGGGUAUGAACCCGACCCCUUGUGCACUCCUCUAUCCGAAUCAUGUGCACUAGGUUACUUCCAUCUACAAUCCACAAUGUGAAAUUAUUCUAUGCCACAAGAUUCUUCCAUGGAAUAGAGAACAAAGAAAUUCUGGAUCUGAUCUCCUGCAACAUGCAUCUCGGUGAUACCGAGUUAUAAAAUCGGUACCACCAAUUUAGUUUUAGGGUUUUUGAGAACCACUUCGGUGAUACCGAGUAGUCCUUGUCGGUUACACCAAAAAGGCUGCCAAGGUUUCUAUUAAUGCAAGUGGUCAGUCUCGGUGACUCCAAAAACUCCAACCCAUGCUACCAAAAUACAUUCUGUAGUAGAUCAUACCCAAAAGUUUCUAAUUCAAAUUUUGAAAAACUUCUAUAAUUUUGUGAUGCUUAUAUUUUCAAGCUCUUCCACAUCUUUUCAUAGGGUCAACCAGUCUGUGUAUCAGCUUGUCUGCUUGGAUUGCAAGAUGUCAGGUUCCGAUGAAAGUCAGAACAACUUCAGUGAGCCCCAUGUCGAGUCUAAUUUAGGCACUAGUCCUCAGAGGACCUCUUCUCAUCCAGGUACCCCCAGCUCCCAUGGCUUUCCCAAGGCAGCUACGAGGCCCAGGAAGAAGCUGAAUUCUGAUGAAGAAGAUUCUCAUUUUGUUCCUGAACUCCCCAGAAGCAGAAAGAGAAGUCUGCAGUCAAGAAAACUGUGAGGAAGGAGUAUGCUUAACCUUCCAACCUGAGAACUCUAGAGUCUGCAAGGCAAGGGAUGGCACUUACCUUUGAGAGACCUUCUAAGAAGCCACGAGUUAAAAGAGCCAGGAAGAGAACUAUUCAUGCCAUUGGUAGACAAACCUCUAUGUAUGAAGACCCAGCAGAAACUGCUACAACUGCUGAGGAAGAGGAAUAAGAAAUUCCAGCUAAGGCCCCUACUCCAAAAAAUAAGAAGCUUAUGGAAGAUGCUAUGAAGCCUUUAGCUCCUAAGAAGCGUGUAGCUCCCAAGAGAACUACAAAGUACAUACCUGCAGGGCUGACUGAACAUUGUAAUUCAUGGCAUAGAUAAUCCAGUCACAGUCAUACUCAAUAACAAUUAAAAGCAAAGCAUAAAAAUGACGGAGGUGCUCUCUAAUUGGUGCCUUUAUAAGGAGAGGAUGACUCAACAGAAACAUAAAUAGAUAGGCCCUUCGCAAAGGGAAGCAUUGAUUUGCAGAGGUGCGAGAGCUCAAGCUUUUAAAACAGAGAUACAUAAUUUGGAGUGGUAUGCUCUCAUUGUCAACGCAAUGACCAAGAGUUUUCACCAUCUUCCAUGCUACACAAAUUAUAGGCGGUUCCCAAACAGAAAAGUAAAGUUUUGAAUCCCCCACCACCGAUCAAUCACACUCCACGACUAGCCGAAUACUCGGGUGCCGUCCAUACCAACAACAAUCCACGUGGAGUUUUGUUUGCAAUUAUCUUUUUGAUUUGAGCAUGGAACUGGGCAUUCCAAUUACCGACCCUUUCUCAUGAGUGAUAGUGAAUAAACACAUAUCGAGGAUAAAACGCCUAGCAUGGAAGAUAUUGACCGCCCCUUGUCACCACAUGAGCGGUUCGGUCAUACAAAACAUAUUAUUUCUUGAAGAUUUAGAGAGUAGUACAUGAAAAUUUACUUGGAACGGCUGGUAGAUACCGCAUAUAGGUAGGUAUGGUGGACGCAUACGCAACAACUUUGGGUUUAUGGAAGUGGAUGCACAAGCAGUAUUCCUGCUUAGUACAAGUGAAGGAUAGCAAAAGACUGGGAAGCGACCAACUAGAGAGCGACAACAGUCAUCAAUAUGCAUUGAAAUUAACCAACAUUGAGUGCAAGCAUGAGUAGGACAUAAAUCACCAUAAACAUGAAUAUCAUAGAGGCUAUGUUGAUUUUGUUUCAACUAUAUGCGUGAACAUGUGGCAAGUCAAGCCACUUGAAUCAUUCAAAGGAGGAUACCAUCCUGUCAUACUAAAUCAUAAUCAUCUUGAAAUUCAUAUUGGCAUCCAAGACAAACCAUUAUAAGCUCCUAGCUAAUUAAGCAUGGCAUCAGAAACUAUGAUCUCUAAGUAGUCAAUGCAAACAUGUUUCUCUCAUAACAAAUCUGAAUUAGGAACGAAUAGCUAGUCAUAUUUACAAAAACAAAAUAUAUCGAGUUCAUACCAGCUUUUCCACGCUCAGUCACUUCAUCAUAUAUCGUCAUUAUUGCCUUUCACUUGCACGACCGAAUGAAGUGAAUAAUAAUGAGAGUGUUCGUGCAUUGCACUAAGCUGGAAUCUGCAAGCAAGCACAAAGGAGAAGACAAGAUAAUAUGGCUCUUUGACGGAUAAAUAGAUAUGCAGGCGAGAGCCACUAAACAUUGUAACCAUGGUCUUCUACCUUGACCCAAAGAAAAAGAAAACUAUUUACACGGGAAAGCUCCCAACAAGCAAAAGAAGAAUGGGAAAUCUUUUUGGGUUUUCUCAAUCUAAAAAAACACAUGAGAAGAAAGCGAGAAAAAGAAGUAAACUAGCAUGUAUUAUACAAUGGCAAGGUGUGAACACCGACUAUCAAAGUGAAUGUGUGAGCAUGAAUAUAAAGUCGGUGAGAAAAACGUACUCGCCCAAGCUUAGGCUUUUGGCCUAAGUUGGUCUACUCCCAUGGCUGGUCCGGGCGAUAUCCAAAAUCAUAAUGGUGGUUGUACGGGAACGCGGCAGCUACCGCCUGAAUUGCUGCCUCACGGAGGCGAGCAGCCUUUGCCUCCCUCUCAUACUCCUCUGCCUCUCCUCUGGUUAUAUAAUAUCUUUGUUUUACCCGAAAGUCAAAGAAGCCAGGACCAGGAAGGGUAAUAUGGAAAACAUGUUGUCGGUUAAAUAUUAACCGGUAUAGGAGGGAUUCUUUAUCCCUCUCAAGGAACUGAUAACGUGUCAUAGAGGCGCGAUCAAGGAAAGCUGUAUGGAGCGGGAGAUCUCCUUCGCGGAUGGGUACUCCAAGAAAAUUUGCUAUGCGCGUGGCAUAGAUCCCGCCAAAGAAAUCCCCUUCAAUAGCAUUAUUAUUUAGCCUCCUCGUGAUUAUAGCUCCCAUAAUGAAACUUCUAUCACCCGUUACUGCGCUCAUAAGAAUACUAAGGUCAGGUGUGUAGAGGUGACAAUGCUCAAGAACAGGGUCACCAAGGCAGUAAUAAUCCGCAAUGAAUAAAGCACUAGAGCACAAACUAAUUGGACCAAUAGAGGAGUCACAUACCAAGGAACAAUUCCCCCAAAACAGUUUGGUGAAUGGGGCUUUGCACAAGGAAAUUGAAAAAUGGAGCAAGAAGAGCAAGAACACGGGUUUGAGCUGUGGAAUAAUUUUUUCUAGAGGUAGCAGAAGGAGAUGGGAGCUGGAAUAAGUGGAGGGGGGCACGUGGGGCCCACAAGCCAGGCACGCACGGCCACGGGGGGGGGGGUGCCCGCGCCUCCUGGGCUUGUAGCCCACUCGUGCAUCCCCCUGAUUAGCUCUCGAUCUCAGAAUUUUUUGAAAAUUCCAUAAAAAAUAAUACUUGAUUUUCAGGGCAUUUGAAGAACUUUUAUUUUCGGGACACUUUUCUAAGGGAUCAAAAAGCAGAAAACAGGAAAAACUAAAGCUAAUUUUAUCAUUUUUCUUCUAAACAACAGAAAGUAAAAGUUCGGAGGAGAAGGUUGUGACCCCUAGAUUCAUCCAUCUCAUGGUCAUCAAAAGAAAUCCGCCAAUGAGGUUGAUCAAGUCUCCUUGACAAACUUUUUUUGAAUUACAUGAAACUGGAGAAUUUUCGAAUAAUCACUAAGUUACCUCAAUAGGGAUGUGCAUAUCCCCUACAAGCAAUUCAUACUUCAUCUUGACAGUAGGUAUAGGGCAUUCAAAGCUCCCAAUAAGGAUUGAUGAAGUUUUUCAAUAGCAUUGAUGCAAUGUACUCGAUAUUGUUACUUCGGAAAGUGCACCGUAUGCUCAUUACCAUUUACAUGGAAAGUGACAUUGCCUUUGUUGCAAUCAAUAACAGCCCCUGCAGUGUUUAAAAAGGGUCUUCAAGGAUGACCGCCAUGGCAUCAUCCUCGGGAAUAUCAAGAAUAACAAAGUCCGUUAAGAUAGUCACGUUAGCAACCACAACAGGCACAUCCUUGCAAAUGCUGAUAGGAAAAGCAGUUGAUUUGUCGGCCAUUUGCAAAGACAUUUCAGUAGGUGUCAACUUAUCCAAUUCACGUCUACGAUAAAGAGAGAGAGGCAUAACACUAACACCGGCUCCAAGAUCGCAUAAAGCAGUUCUAACGUAGUUUCCUUUAAUGGAGCAAGGUAUAAUGGGCACUCCGGGAUCACCUAGUUUCUUAGGAGUUCCACCCUUGAAGGUGUAAUUAGCGAGCAUGGUGGAAAUCUCAACCUCAGGUAUCCUCCUUUUAUUAGUCACAAUAUCUUUCAUGUACUUAGCAUAAGGAGAUAUUUUGAGCAUAUCUGUCAAACGCAUUUGCAGAAAGACAGGUCUAAUCAUUUCAACAAAGCGCUCAAAAUCCUCAUCAUCCUUUUUCUUGGAUGGUUUGGGAGGAAAGGGCAUGGGUUUCUGAACCUAUGGUUCCCUUUCUUUACCAUGCUUCCUAGCAAUGAAGUCGUUCUUAUGAUAUAUCCUAUUCUUAGGUUGUGGGUUAUCAAGAUCAAUAGGUUCAAUCUCCACAUCCUUAUCAUUGCUAGGUUGAGCAUCAACAUGAACACCACUAUCGAUAUUAUCACUAGGCUCAUGUUGAUCACCAGAUUGUGUUUCGGCAACAGAAACAGAGAUAUCAUUUGGAUUCUCGGGUGUAACAGUAGCAGGUUUGCUAGCAUGCAAGUUCCUAUCAUCUUUCUUUUUCUUCCUAUUACUAGGAUGACUAGGUGCCUCAGUGCUAACUCCUUGAGAAUCUUGUUCAAUUCUCUUAGGAUGAACCUCAUGAUACAAAGGUUCUUGGGUCAUUCUACCACCUCUAGUGAUAACUCUAAUAGACUUGUCGUUUAGCUCAUUGAGCAAGUCAUUUUGAUCCUUAAGUACUUGUUCUACUUGAGUGGUGACCAUAGAGGCAUGUUUACUGAAGAGCUUAAGAUCAUUGACAUUUCUAUCCACACAAGCACUUAUAUGACCAAUCAUGCGAGCAUUUUGCCUCAAUUGUAUGCUAACAUAAUCAUUGAAACUUUGUUGUCUGGCAACAUAGUUAUCAAAUUCAUCUAAGCAUAAGUUAGCAGGUUUAUCAAAAGGAAUAUCACUCUCAUUGAAUCUACGAAGAGAAUUUACCUCUACUACCUGUGUUGGGUUAUCAAGACCAUGUAUUUCUUCGAUAGGUGGUAGAUUCUUAACAUCUUCAGAUUUGAUACCUUUCUCUUGCAUAGAUUUCUUGGAUUCUUGCAUAUCUUCAGGACCGAGGAAUAGAAUACCUCUUUUCUUCGGAGUUGGAUUCGGAGGUGGUUCAGGAAUAAGCCAAGCAUUCUCCUUGCGCAAGAUAUUAUUCAAUAGAAUCUCAGCUUGUUCCACAGAUUGUUCCCUGAAAACACAACCAGCAAACUAUCUAGGUGGUCCCUAGAAGCAUCGGUUAGUCCAUUAUAAAAGAUAUCAAGUAUUCCAUUUUUCUCAAGAGAGUGAUCAGGCAAAGCAUUAAGUAGCUGGACAAUCCUCCCUGAAGCUUAUGGGAGACUCUCUUCUUCAACUUUCACAAAGUUAUAUAUAUCCUGCAAGGCAGCUUGUUUCUUAUGGGCAGGAAAAUAUUUCUCAGAGAAGUAGUAGAUCAUAUCCUGGGGACUACGCACACAACCAGGAGCAAGAGAAGUAAACCAAGUCUUAGCAUCACCCUUUAGCGUGAAAGGAAACAAUUUAAGGAUAUUGUAGUGGCGGAUCUUUUCCUCACUCAUGAAUAGGGUGGCUAUAUCAUGCAGCUUAGUAAGAUGUGCUACAACCGUUUCAGGCUCAUAACCAUGAAAAGGAUCAUAUUCGACCAAAGUGAUUAAAUCAGGACCGACAGAGAAUUCAUAAUCCUUAUCAGUAAAAAAGAUAGGCGAAGUAGCAAACUUAGGAUCGUAUUUCAUCCUAGCGUUCACAGAUUUUUCUUUCCACUUGCGCAAUAAAUUCUCAAGAUCAUAGCUAUCCUUACAAGCAAGAAAGUCCUCGACUACCUCUCCCUCCAUAACAUAACCCUCGGGUAUAUCAGGCAAUUCAUAUCUAGGAGAGCUAGUUCUAACAGGUGUAACAACAGGUUCUAGUUCAAUAAUUUCAGCAGUUUCAGAAGUAUCAUCACAUUCAGCAGCAACUCUAGCAAUUUGUGCAUCAAGGAAUGCACCUAGUGGCAAAGCAGUAUCAAGCAAAGCAUCAUCAUAAGAAUCAUGUAUAGCAUAAGUAGAAUCAUUAAGCACAGGCGACACAUCAGAAUUUCUAGUAGGUGGUGGUGUCACAAAUUUACUCAUAACUGAAGGUGAAUCAAGUGCAGAGCUAGAUGGCAGUUCCUUACCUGUCCUCGUAGUUGAGGGCAAGACUUUAGUUUUUGGAUCUCUCGGAUUGAUCAUAGUGAUCAACAGACGUAAAUUCCAAGUGACUCAGAGAAUAGUGCUAGGCCUCCCCGGCAACGGCGCUAGAAAAUAGUCUUCAUAACCCACAAGUAUAGGGGAUCGCAACAAUUUUCGAGGGUAGAGUAUUCAACCCAAAUUUGUUGAUUCGACACAAGGGGAAGCAAAAGAAUAUUCUCGAGUAUUAGCAGUUGAGUUGUCAAUUCAACCACACCUGAAAGACUUAGUAUCUGCAGCAAAGUUUCAGUAGCAAAGUAGCGUGAUAGCAAUGGUAGCAAGUACCAGUAGGAAAAACUCAUAGGAAUUGGAUCGGUGAUGGAUAAUUAUGCCGGAUGACAUUCAUCAUGUAUCAGUUAUAACAUGGGGUGAUUUGUAACUAGCUCCAGUUCGUCAAUGUAAUGUAGGCAUGUAUUCCGUAUAUAGUCAUACAUGCUUAUGGAAAAGAACUUGCAUGGCAUCUAUUGGCCAUCCCUCCUGUGGCAGCGGGGUCCUAAUGGAAACUUAGGGAUAUUAAGGUCUCCUUUUAAUAGAGAACCGGAACAAAGCAUUACCACAUAGUGAAUACAUGAACUCCUCAUACUAUGGUCAUCUCUGGGAGUGGUUCCGGCUAUUGUCACUCUAGGGUUGCGGGGUCAUAACACAUAGUAGUUGACUACAACUUGCAAGAUAGGAUCAAGAACACACAUAUAUUGAUGAGAACAUAAUAGGUUCAUAUCUGAGAUCAUGGCACUCGGGCCAUAGUGACAAGCAUUAAGCAUGACAAAGUAGUAGGAACAUCAACCUCAGAACAUAGUGGAUACUUGGGAUCAAACCCCAUCAAAACUAACUCGAUUACAUGACCGUCCAGCAAGCCUACGAUGAGAUUACUCACGAACGGUGAAGAGCAUCAUGGAAUUGGUGAUGAAGGAUGGUUGAUGAUGACGACGGCGACAAUUUCCCCUCUCGGGAGCCCAAAACAGACUCCAGAUCUGCCCUCCAAAGGAAGAACAGGUGGUGGCGGUGGCUCCGUAUCGUGAAACGCGAUGAACUCUUCUCUAUUAUUUUUUCUGGGCGAGAGAGACUAAAUAGAGCUGGAGUUGGAGGCGGCGGAGCCCCGAGGGCCUCACAAGCCUGCCAGGCGCGGCCAGGGGGGCGCCUCCUGGGCUUGUGGGCUCCUUGCUCCGUCCCUCCAGGUAUUUCUUGCGCCAAUAUUUUUUAUAUAUUCCACAAAAAAUCCUCGUAAAUUUCCAGGUCAUUCCAAGAACUUUUAUUUCUGCGCAAAAACAACACCAUGGCAAUUAGAGUCCGGGUUAGUUCCAUUCAAAUCAUGCAAAUUAGAGUCCAAAACAAGGGCAAAAGAGUUUGGAAAAGUAGAUACGAUGGAGACGUAUCAAGUGGCGGCGGAUCUCUCCGGUGACCCAGAGCUUUCGAGAGGUGCCACGCGGCUGCCAGGAACACCGUUGACACCACGGACAAGGAGGGGGCAGCGAAAGACGGCUCGGGCGCCUUGGCUGUCACAGUAACUGCAUAGAGCGCGCGUUGUGGCAUGCCAGUACUGUGGUCACCAUGGUUACGGCUGCCACAAGGCCACACAAGCCUGGAGACCUUGUCCAUUGCGUCGACUAGACUCUCAUUAGUCACCAUCCACCACUGGUUAGACCAGUCACACUCCCGUGCGAAGUGUAGCUUCAACUACAAUUUCUGCCUGCAGACUUGGGGAGUUCUAGAGCUCAAAUGGAUUAGGGUUCGAGCAAGCUAGCAUGUCCGAGUUAAUCAGCAUAGGAGGGACUACAAACUGGCAAGGUUUGAAAAGAUUUGAAGAUCAAAUGAAUAUAGUUCCUUUGAAAAUCACCUUUCUGGUACAGAAUGCAAAUGAGCUCAUGGCACUCACAUGCAAGCCCUGCUAAUGGUGAAACUUGGUGGAGGAGUGUUAUUAGGUAGUGCACACAUGUCCAAAAUUUUAUAGAUCAUUUGUGCACCCCUAGCUAGGGCUUCCUUCACAAAGGUUCAAUUUUAACAGAAACUUAGCAGAGUUUUCCUGCUCAAAACUUGUAUUGGACCAUCAGAUGUUUUUACAUAUUGGCACUAAAUAGGAUCCCUAGGAGCUAAGGGAAUUUAUUGGGAAUUUUCUAAAACAGGAAAAAUAGGGUUGCUUCACAAAGUGACAAUUCUAGUCAGAAAAGAAAUAAUUAUUCUGGCCAAAAUUUUACAUUGGGCAAGGAAAUGUUUUUGAAGAUUUUGAAAUAAUAUGAUACUGAGAAUAUGUGGAAAACGUUUUGGGGUUUAUAGCUUAUCCCAACUAUAGGUUUCUUCACAACCCAUGGUGAUGCCUUAAUUCCCCAAAAUAUAAAAAGAAUUAUUUGAAAGAAUUAAAUAUUGCAAAUUAAUCCAAGAAAUGUUUUGGCAAUAGGAAAAAGGUUUUAGGUUAAUUGAGACAAGAAAUCAGAGACUCACAAUCCAACUUGCUUGAAAGCAUUUGAAAAUCCACCAAUUUGAAAGUGAAACUCCAAAAUAUUUUGAAAAGAAAAGAAGUUUGAAAAAUCAGGGUGUUACAACGCGUCCAGUAGAGUGCCGGCGUGCGGGGCGGCCGAGUGACGAUGGAGUGUCUCGCCGAGUGGUGAUGCGUGGAGCUGUCGAGUGACGAAGGCGUGUCUCGCCGAGUGGCGACGCGCGGAGCUGCCGAGUGAUGACGACACGUCCAAUAGAGUGACGACACACGGAGCUGCCGAGUGACGAAGGCGUGUCUCGCCAAGUGGCGAUGUGUGGAGCUACCGAGUGAUGAAGACGCGUCCAAUAGAGUGACGGUGCACGGACCUGCCGAGUGAUGACUACGCGUCCAGGAGAGUGACGGCAUACGGGGCGGCCGAGUGAUAACUACGCGUCUAGCAGAGUCACGGCGCACGGGGGGCCGAGUGUCGAUGGAGCGUUCAGUAGAGUGACGGCGGGCGGGGUGGCUGAGUGUCGAUGGAGCAUUCAGCAGUGACGGCGCGCUGAGCAGCCGAGUGAUGACGACGCGGCCAUCAUAGUGAUGGCGCGCGGAGCUGCUGAGUGAUGACGACGCGUCUAGCAGAUUGAUGGCGCGUGGGGCGCCCGGAUGAUGGAGAUGCGUCCAGUCGAGUGGUGGCAUGCUGGACGACCAUGUGAUGAAGACGUGCUCGGCGGAGUGAUGGCGCGCGGGGUGCCGAGAUGAUGGAGAUGCGUCUAGCUGAGUGGUGGCGCGCUGGGCGGCCAUGUGAUGAAGACGUGCUCGGCGGAGUGAUGGAGGUGCGUCCAGCCGAGUGGUGACGCGCUGGGCGGCCAUGUGAUGAAGAUGUGCUCGGCGGAGUAAUGGCGCAUGGGGCGCCCAGAUGAUGGAGAUGCGUCCAGCCGAGUGGUGGCGCGCUGGGUGGCCUUGUGAUGAAGACGUGCUCGGCGGAGUUAUGGCGCGCGGGGCGCCUGGAUGAUGGAGAUGCGUCCAGCCGAGUGGUGGCACACUGGGCGGCCAUGUGAUGAAGACGUGCUCAACUGAGUGACGAGGCGUGAGGGGGCCGAAUGAUGGUGUAACUUAUGUACGAAGAAUAGGAGAAGCCAACGUAAAAAAUUCUCAAAGUAAUAUGAGUUUGCUGAAAUGAUUUGUGUAAAUUACACCCGUAGACAACCGCCGGGUGUGCCACGUGAUUGCUGGUUUGGAACCAGCAAGAGUCUGAAAGAGUGAAGGAUCCAACUAAACUCGUGUGUGUACUGGAUCCAAAUGAAGUGGAAGUGAAGUGUUUCGACAUGAAAAUAAACAACCACUUCAACUAGCUUCCAUGCCGGUGUGCCGUGUUGAGAGACUGAUGGUGGAGGGAAAUCUCAGAAGGUGGAGCCGCUGUGUGUCCCCGCUGCCGGCGUGCAGCUGAGGCCUCGUCGCUCCGGAGGCCGAUCCGUUUCAGCCGACGCUGCUACUGUGGGCCGCGCUGAACUGUCGUGGAGUCAUCGUCUGCGUGAGGUGACUAGUUGCCCAAACCACCGUUUGUAGCUCUUUUGAUUCUUGUAUGUGAUUGCACCGAUCAGCAUGGAUGCAUGAACGUGUGAACAUGCAAAAGAGACAAAAACCAAUUAGUAGAUCGUCGAUUGAUCAUUAGAUCAAAAGAGGAUAUCAUUCAGAAGAGGGAAAACUCCCGAUCCAUCCAUUUGUGAUUCGUCCGGUGAAGAUAUAUCUUUUCCCUUCCUUUUGCGAUACUUCAGUUACUUGUUGUGCUAAGACGAACAUUAUGCUCAAGAAGAACAUGAAAUAAAACAUAGACGAAUAAACCAAACCAUCGGCAUCAUGGUUCGAUGGACGCCAUGCCCCAUGGUGGACGCCAAAUGUCGUGGUAACGAUUCCGGCAUUAGAGAGGGGUAGGAUAGCGGAGCAUGAUCUAUCGAGAUGCAAAUGGGUGACACAUUGGUUUUAGCGAGUUUGGGCCUCUCACGGUGGAGAUAACAACCCUACGUCUCGUGCUCCGGAGAGGCUUUUCUUAUCUAUCAUGAACACGGAGUUACAUGGUGUAUUAGAGAGAGAGGAAGAAGAACAGGUCUCCAAACUAAGUCCUCAGACUAGAGAGAGCCAGGGCUCCAUGAGGAAGAAUGAGCCCCGGUGGGAGAAGAUGCUAACCGACCUAUGUGGUGGGGGUGGCUUAUAUAGAGUGCGCCACCCCCUCACCUCAUAUGUUACAAUGUGGGGCAUUAAUUCCAUGAUGUGAGCCCACUACAAAAACUACGCUAUGAGGACGAUGCUCCGACUGCCUUGCUCACUGUUGAUCCUUGCAUAUCCGAGUGAGUCGUGCGACCGAGUGGUUGACUGUCGUCUGAGUGGACAGACUGUACUCAUCAGAGUGGAUAGGUUUUACUCGUCCGAGUGGAUAGAUUGUACUUGCCCGGACCCACCUCAUCUGUGGACCCCAUGCUAUUAUGGUAUUUUGACCCUUCAUGUGCCUACCCUUUUUGUGUAUCCCCAACAUCCUCCAGUCCCACGAUGUUUCUUUUCCCUGAAAGAACUAUGUGGCGCUUUGGCUCAUCGUAUGAUGUAUUUGCUUCCUUACCUUUUCUUUUUCUUGGCUUGGUAGACAUAUCCUUCACAUAGAAAACCUACGCCACAUCAUUGGCUAGGACGAAUGGUUCAUCUGUGUACCCAAGAUUGUUGAGAUCCACUGUUCUCAUUCCAUACCACGGAUCUUCCUUUACCCCGCCUCCUUUCAGAUUGACCCAUUUGCACCAAAACAAAGGGACCUUCAAAUUUUUCCAUAGUCAACUUCCCAUAUAUCCUCUAUGUAACCAUAAUAUGUGUAUUUUGGCCUAUUGUUGGUGUUUGCUGCAUCAAAGCGGACACCACUGUUUUGGUUGGUGCUCUUUUUAUCUUGAGCAAUCGUGCAAAAUGUAUUCCCAUUUAUCUCGUACCCUUUAAAAGUCGAUAUAGUCAAAGAUGGUGACUUGGCGAGCAAGUACAGGUCAUCUCCAACUUCACGGUCAUGCAUGAGACGUGUUUGCAACGAACUGCCGAAUGACUACAUGUGUACGUUUGAUCCAGGGAGCAGACUGCUCCGGGUUCUUGGAGCAUACAAUAUACAUAUGUUCCUCGAUAUACGGAUCCACCAAGGUGGAAUUUUGUAGAACUGUGUAGUGUGCUUCCGCCCUAGAAUGCCCGUCCUUACAUAUUACUGAAUCCUUUCCUAGCGUGCCUUUUCCACCCAGUCUGCCCUGAUGCCUCGAUUCAGGAAGACCAUUCAACUUAAUAUCAGAAAUAAAGUCAACACAAAAUUCAAUGACCUCCUCUGUUUCAUGGCUCUUGGAGAUGCUUCAUUCUGGCCUAGCAUGGUUGUGAACAUAUUUCUUUAAGACUCGCAUAAACCUCUCGAAGGGGAACGUAUUGUGUAGAAAUACAGGGCCCAUAAUGGAAAUAUCUUCGACUAGGGGAACUAGGACGUGUGUUAUGAUAUGGAAGAAGGAUGGUGGGAACACCAGCUCGAAACUAACAAGACAAUGCCCCAAAUCAUUCUGUAACCUUGUUAGGAAUUCUGGAUCGAUUACCUUCUACGCGAUAGCAUUGAGGAAUGCACAUAGCUUCACAAGGGAUGAUCGGGCGUUUUCCGGUAGAAGUCACCUCAGUGCAACCGGAAGCAAUUGCGUCGUAAUCACGUGGCAGUCAUGAGACUUUAGGUUCUGGAAUUUUUUCUCUGUCAUAUUUAUUAUUCCCUUUAUAUUCGACGAGUAGCCAUAUGAGACCUUCAUACUAACCAGGCAUUCAAAGAAGAUUUCCUUCUCUUCUUUGGUAAGAGCGUAGCUUGCAGGACCUUCAUACUGCUUUGGAUUCAUGCCGUCUUUUUUGUGCUUACAUUGCUGGUUCUCCGUGCCUCCGGGUUAUCUUUUGUCUUCCCAUACACGCCCAAGAAGCCUAGCAGGUUCACGCAAAGAUUCUUCGUCACGUGUGUCAUCUCUAUUGCAGAGUGGACCUCUAGGACUUUCCAAUAAGGUAGGUCUCAAAAUAUAGAUUUCUUCUUCCACAUGGGUGUGUGUCCGUCAAAGUCAUUCGGAACCGAUUGUCCGCAAGGACCCUUUCCAAAAAUUACCUUUAAAUCCUUGACCAUAUGAAGUAUAUGAUCACUAUUAUGGUGGCCAGGCUUCUUUCAGUGAUCUGCCUCACCUUUGAAAUGCUUGCCUUCUUUUCUUAAGAGAUGCUUGAUCGGAAGAAAUCGACGAUGUCCUAGGUACACAUUCUUCUUACAUUUAUCCAAGUAUAUACUUUUGGUAUCAUCUAAAUAGUGCGUGCAUGCAUAGUAUCCCUUGUUUGUCUGUCCUGAAAGGUUACUAAGGCAGGACAAUAAUUGAUGGUUACAAACAACAACGCUCGUAGGUCAAAUUCCAGCUGUUUGUGUUCAUCCCACACACGUACACCUUUGAUAUCCCACAACUAUAGAAGUUCUUCAACUAAUGCCCUCGGGUACACAUCAAUGUUGUUGUCGGGUUGCUUGGGGCCUUGGAUGAGCACUGGCAUCAUAAUGAACUUCCGCUUCAUCCACAACCAAGGAGGAAGGCUAUAGAUACAUAGAGUCACGGGCAGGUGCUACGAUUGCUUCUCUGCUCCCCAAAAGGAUUAAUGCCAUCUGCACUCAAACCAAGCCAACAGUUCCUUGGGUCAUCUGCAAAGUCCGGCCACUCUCUCUCGAUUUUCCUCCACUGCGACCCAUCUGCGGGUACUCUCAACUUCCUGUCUUGCUUACGCUCGUCUUUGUCCCAUCGCAUCAACUUGGCAUGCUCUUUGUUUUGGAACGAACGUUUCAAUCGUGGUAUUAUAGGCGCAUACCACAUCACCUUGGCAGGAAUCCUCUUCCUGGGGCGCUGGACCUCAACGUCCUCACCAGGGUUAUCGCGGCCGAUCUUAUAGCGCUCGGCACCGCAUACCGGGCAUGCAUGCAAAUUCCCGUACUCCUCACCGCGGUACAAGAUGCAGUCAUUAGGGCAUGCAUGUAUCUUUUGCACCUCUAAUCCUAGCGGACAGAUAGUCUUCUUUGCUUCGUAUGUACUGUCGGGAAAUUCGUUGUCCUUUGGAAGCAUCUUCUUUAACAAUUUCAGCAUAUUUUCAUAACCCUUGUCAGAUACACCAUUCUCUGCCUUCUAUUGCAGCAAUUCCAGUGUGGUGCCCAACUUCUUCUUGUCAUCUCCGCAAUUUGGGUACAACAAUUUCUUGUGAUCCUCUAACAUGCACUUCAACUUCAGCUUCUCCUUUUCACUUGCGCAGUUUCCCUUUGCAUCAGCAAUGGCCCGACCAAGAUCAUCAGCAGGCUCAUUUGGUGCCUCUACUUCAGCAGGCUCAUCUGGUGCCUCUACUUCCCCCAUUGUAGUACCAUCGUAUCAUGGGAACAAAGGAUAGCCGUCAUCAUCAUGUUCUUCAUUCUCGCCGGACAUGAAACCGGACGUAAAUAGGUGGACGUGAAUGACUCUUGACAUAUUGCAAGUUUUAUCAUUCUUACAGACAUGGACAACACAUAAAACCAUCUCGUUGGUUUGCCUCAGCUAUGCGCAGAAAACUCUGCAAGCCAUUAAUGAACUGGGGAGAGCGUCGGUCGUCAUACAUCCAUUCUCGGUUCAUCUUCAUUACAGAAGACCGAAAAGACCAAAUUUAUAAAAGUUCACACAUAUGGUUCAUACACACGUAUUCUCAUAAAACAACAUAGAAGAGUUUCUAGCUAAAGUAUAUAAAUGCAAGAACAAAUGUGACCAAGAUCGCAACUAAGGUAACAAUUGAUCCAACAUCAUAGUGAUACAAAGCCUCUUUAUUAAGGGCAUAUUUUCUAAUCCUUCUAAUCUUCAAGCGCAUUGAAUCCAUCUUAAUCUUGUGAUCAUCAACGACAUCGACAACAUACAACUCCAAUAUCAUCUUCUCUUCUUCAACUAUUUUCAAUUUUCCUUUCAAAACCUGGUUUUCUUUUUCAACUAAUUUUAACUUCUCGACAAUAGGGUCCGUUGGAAUUUUCGGUUCAACUACCUCCUAGAUAAAAGUAUCUAUCUCAACUUCAUGGGCAUAAUUGUCAUAAAUAUGAAAUGCAACAAAUAGUUAAAGAAUAGAAUAUACCACAUCUGAAUCGUAAACCGGACGAGGGCCGACGGACACGGAUAUCAAAACCAUGGCACUUCGUAUAACAAACAAUUAUACAAGUAAGAAUAUUAUACAAGUAACUAUCUAAAUCAUACAAAUAAGAUCUAUUUUGUAAAAAGGAUAAGAACAAGGGCUUCACCAAGGUGGUGUCGACGGCGACGGGACGGUGCGUGCGAUCAACGGUGCUUAGGACGGGGACGACACUAAGUAAACCACACCUACACAUAUGCAAACUAGCAAGUUAAUUUGAGCUCAAAUUGCAUAUAAAUCAAAUAAACUACCACAUAAUUACUCCCAAACUAAAAUCCACAAAUCACUAUACUUAUAGAGCAUUGCACAAGUCGAUCUAGCAAUGAGAGAUGAAAGGACAAAGUUGCUAACCUUUGUGAACACUUGGAGAGAUGGGGUGCCUCAAACCUUGACAAAUCUAGGAAAAAAUGGAGGUUGAGCUCGAGCCAAGGUGGAGAACAGAGAGGGAAAUGAAGAAAAUAGAGCAAUGUGCUCGGGCUGGACGAAGGUGUUUAUAUAGGAAAACGUGUAGUCUCAGUUUUUAUCACAAUGCAUGACUAAUGGUCUACCUAUAGUCCCAGUUUUGAUACAAACCGGGACUAAAGGGGCUAGUGGGGGCCCCAGCCUCACACGAGACUGCACGCUUGUCGUCUCCCGGUAAGUGUCUUGCCCCUUACUCCAAGUCUGGCAGGUUUCUUCUUGUCCAAGAAAAAUCAUUCCGGAGAUUUAUUCCGUUUGGACUCCGUUUAAUAUUCCUCAUCUGCAAUACUCAAAAACAUGGAAAAAACAGAAACUGGCACUAGGCUCUAGAUUAAUAGGUUAGUCCCAAAAAUAAUAUAAAACAGCAUAUUAAUGCAUAUAAAACAUCCAAAAGAGAUAAUAUAAUAGCAUGGAACUAUCAAAAAUUAUAGAUACGUUGGAGACGUAUCAAGCAACACCAAGCUUAAUUCCUGCUCAUCCUCGAGUAGGUAAAUGAUAAAAAUAGAAUUUUUGAUGUGGAAUUCUACCUAACAUAUUUAUCCAUGUCAUAUUCUUUAUUGUGGCAUGAAUAUUCAGAUCUAUAAGGUUCAAAACAAAAGUCUAAUAUUGACAUAAAAACAAUAAUACUUCAAGCAUACUAACAAGGCAAUUGCUUCCCUUGGAAUUAACAUGGUCGUAGAAAUUUAUCCCUACCAAAUCAUAUGGUCUGGCUAUGCUCCAUCUUCCCCACACAAAGUAUCUAAAUCAUGCACAACCCCGAUGAAAGUCAAGCAAUUGUUUCACACUUUUUAUGUUCUCAAACCUUUUCAACUCUCACGCCAUACAUGAGCAUGAGCCAUGGAUAUAGCACUAUAGGUGAAAUAGAAUAUGGUGGAGGUUGCAAAAAUAAAGAGGAGAAGAUAGUCUCACAUCAACUAGGCGUACCAACGGGCUAUGGAGAUGCCCAUCGAUAGAUAUCAAUGUGAGUGAGUAGGGAUUGCUAUGCAACAAAUGCAGUAGAGCUAUAAGUGUAUGAAAGCUCAAAAAGAAAACUAAGUGCUUGUGCAACAGAUGAAAUUCCACUAGUUAUAUGAAAGUUACAAAAUAGGAGACUCUCUAUGAAGAAGAUGGUGUUUGUUUGAAGCACAUGUGUGGAAAAAGAUAGUAGCAUUUUCCCUUCUCUCUUUCUCUCAUUUUUUUGGUGGCAUCUUUGUCCUCUAUUAUUUUUUAUGGGCUUCUCUGGCCUCUUUUAUUUUUUGUGAAGUUCAGAGACUCAUCCCAACUUGUGAGAGAAUCAUAGCUUCCACUAUCCUUUUCUCACAUAGGACAAUGCUCUAAUAAUGCAAAUCAUCACACUUUUAUUUACUUACAACUCAAAGAUUACAAGUCGAUAUCUAGAACAAAAUAUGACUCUGUAAGCAAUAUGGAAGUGAUGGUGUGUGUCAUAAAAACAAUAGGAUGAUGGUGUUGCAUGGCAAUAUAUCUCAGAAUAGCUAUGAAAAUGCCAUAAUAGGUAGAUAUUGUGGUUGUUUUGAGGAAAGUAUAUGGUGGCUGUUUUGAGGAAGGUGGGUUUAAUGUAGCGACGAAAGUUGUGCGGUACUAGAGAGGCUAGCAAAGGUGGAAGGGUGAGAGUGCGUAUAAUCCAUGAACUCAGCAUUAGUCAUAAAGAACUCCCAUACUUAUUGCAAAUGCCUAUUAGUUAUCAAAGCAAAGUAUUAGACGCAUGCUCCUUGGGGAAGGGUUGGUAGGAGUUAACCAUCGCGCGAUCCCGACCUCCACAAAAAGGUUGACAAUCAUUAAACAAAUCAUGCUCCGACUUCAUCACAUAACGGUUCACCAUACGUGCAUGCUAAGGGAAUCACAAGCUUUAACACAAGUAUUUCUUCCAAUUCACAAUUACUUACUAGCAUGACUCUCAUAUUACCAACUUCAUAUCUUAAAACUAUAUGCAAGGAAUCAAACUUCUCAUCAUAUCCAAUGCACUUAAUAUGAAAGUUUUUAUUAUAUCCCUCUUGGAUGCCCAUUAUAUUAGGACUAAAUUCAUAACCAAAACGGAUUACCAUGCUAUUUAAAGAACUCUUAAAAUAAUAUAAGUGAGGUACGAGAGUUUAAUAAUUUCUAUAAAACACCGCUGUGCUCUAAAUGAUAUAAGUGAAGCACUAGAGCAACAUUGCCUAGCUCAAAAGAUAUAAGUGAAUGAUAACGAGUUUAUGUAUAUACUUCUCGCACCUCGUUGGACCCCAAGUGGAAGGUGGAGAUGUAGGCAGCAGCAAAGUUCCCUUACACAGAGAUUGUAAGGUUUAUCUAACCAAGAGGACUCCUAGGCUCAACAAGUAGGUGUCUUCCACCCUGGCGAUAGCAGAAGACGUGGACCUGCACACACAAUAAAUAACUUUGCUCCCAACGAGUAUAGAGAGGUUGUCAAUCUUUCCGGCCUUGUAGUUUGCAAAGGAUCAAAACACAAGCGGGAAGGUAAUAGUGAUUGCAAUGGAAAAGUAAAUGAAAGCGGUAAAUGAUGGAGGUGUAAGCAAUGAUGGUGAUAUGGACCGGAGUCACAUGAUGUUCACUAGUGAUGUCUCUCUCCCAAAAGACGAUAAACAACUAUGCUAGGGUAAACAAAUCAUAGUUGGGCAAUUGACAGAAUUAUGCUGGCACCGCAAUGCUAAUUAUGCUCCUUGAUAGUUAGAGGUUCAAUAGUAAUGGGCAAUACGCCAAGACAAGUAGACCGUUUACUCAUAAUCAUCUACUUACUAAUCAUCCAUCUUGAUAUAUCUAUCUAGAACAUCUCUCCGGUAUUAAGUUGCGAGCGCAACCCAAACUGUAGACUAAAAGCAACGGACAACUACAUUAACGAACUAUGCGUAAGGUAAACAAUCCUUGCAACCGUGGUCACAAGCACCAUUGUUUUCUCCCUGGUGGCAACAAGCACAUCCCCUAGUCUCUUGUUUCUGUCACUCAAACUAGACAUCGAGGGGCCCGAACCCACAACCAUGCAUAAUGCUCCCUCUUGGAGUUGCGAUCUACUACUUGGCCAAAGCAAUAAAAAGCAAAGGAGAACAUGCAUGAAUCACUAAGGAACGUAAUAUAAAAGGAUAAUCAAAUAUAUAACUCAUAAAAUCUGAACAUAAUCUCAUAAUCCAUCGGAUCACAACAAAUCCAUCAUAGCAAUAGCAAGAGAAUUACAUAGAUUCCUUUAUCGUGUAGGGCAGCUCACAAGGACUAACCAUUGAAGCACAAGAUUGGAGAGAAGACAUCACAUAGCUACUGGUCGUGGACUCAUGGUCCAAGGGAAACUACUCACGGCACGUUCGGGAGGCGUCCAUGGUGGUGGAGAAGCUCCCGGAGGUCAAUCCUCCCUCCGACAUUGUGCCGGGAAGAGGUCUCCUAACACUCCCGAUCUCGGAAGUGCUGCGGCGGCGGAACGAUGAAGAAAUUCGCGAUUCCAGAAAGUCUGCGAGGGUUUCCUCUCGGGACUCUAAAUAUAGGCCAAAGGAGGGCACCGGAGGAGGUGGGACCCACCCAGACGACCUCCUAGCGCGGCCUAGGGCCUGGCGGCGCCAGCAGGCCACCUGGGAGGCCCCUGGCCCCCCUCGGGCCCUCCUUUGGUGAUCCUGAAGCUACUGUUUCUCUUAUUUUUUAUAUAUUUUUUCUGGAUUUUUUCGGGCUUCGGAAAAUUGGGUAAAAGCCCCUGCAAAAAAGACAUCAGCAGACAUAAACUGGCAUUGGGUGCACUGAGUUAGUAGGUUAGUCCAAAUAUGUGUAAAAUGGUAUAAAAGUGUAGCAAAACAUAUAACAAUCUCACCCAAAAGAUCAUAGAACAAGCAUAAAUUAUAGAUAUGUUUGGGACGUAUCAGUGAAGCACAUAGAGCAUUCAAACAAAUUAAUGAUUCAGCUUGCCUCUCUCAAAAGAUGUGUGCAGCAAGGAUGAUUGUGGAAAACUAAAAAAUAAAGACUCAUAUCAUACAAGACGCUCCAAGCAAAACACAUAUCAUGUGGUGAAUAAAAAUAUAGUCUCAAGUAAAUUACCGAUGGAUUGAAGACGAAAGAGGGGAUGUCUUUUGGUGCAUCCCCAAGCUUAGGCUCUUUGGUAUCCUUGAAUAUGGGUUGUGGUGCCUUGGUCAUCCCCAAGCUUAGGCUCUUUCCACUCCUUAUUACAUAGUCCAUCAAAUCUUUACCCAAAUCUUGAAAACUUCACAACAAAAAACUCAACAAAAAACUCAUGAGAUCUGUUAGUAUAAGAAAAAUAAAUGACAACUUUAGGUACUAUUGUAUUGGUGUAAUAUUUACUGUAUUCCAACCUCUCCAUGGUUCAUACCCCCGAUGCAACCCAUAGGUUUGUCAAAAUAAGUAAAAAACACAAAGAAAACAGAAUCUGUCAAAAUGCAAUAGUCUGUAGCAAUCUGUAUACUUCGAAUACUUCUGAACUCCAAUUUUUUUGAAAAACUAGGAAAAUCUGGGAAAUUUGUAAAUCAAUCUUUUUCGAAAAUUUCAGAUCAAAAGCACGUUCCAACUUAUUUACAAAAUUCCUAGACUGAGAGAAAUUUUUUUGGUUUUUUAGCAAAAUCAACUUGCAAACACUAUAGACCAUCCCAAAGGUCUUACUUGGCUCAAACACUAAUUAAAACAAGAAAACACAAUCAUUACAGAGGUAAUAAUGUCAUAAAAAUAAAAUUGGUUUCCCUCCCAACAAGCGCUAUUGUUUAACGCCCCUUGCUAGGCAUAGUGCAAUAGAUCUAGGUAUUAUCAUCUUUGGUAUGCAAUCCAUAAGUAGCUCUUAUAAUAGAUUCAUAAGGUAAUUUUAUUUUCUUUAUAGGAAAGUGAUGUGUGCCUUUCCUUAACGGAAAUUGAAAUCUAAUAUUCCCUUCUUCCAUAUCAAUUAUUGCACCAAUCGUUCUAAGGAAAGGUCUACCAAGAUUAAUAGGACAUGUUGGAUUGCAAUCUGUAUGAAGAACUAUCAAAUCUAUGGGUGCAUAAUUCCUAUUUGCAACAAUAAGAACAUCAUUAAUCCUUCCUGUAGGUUUCUUAAUUGUAGAAUCCGCUAGAUGCAAAUUUAAAGAGCAAUCAUCAAAUUCACGGAAUCCUAGCAUGUCACAUAAAGUUUUUGGAAUCGUGGAAACGCUAGCAGCCAAAUCACACAAAGCAUGGCACUCAGAAUCUUUAAUUUUAAUCCUAAUAGUAAGUUCCCACUCAUCAUAAAGCUUAAUAGGUAUAGAAACUUCCAACUCAAGUUUUUCUUCAAAAGAUUUCAUCAUAGCAUCCACAAUAUGUUUAGUAAAAGUUUUAUUUUGAUUAUAAUUAUGCGGAGAAUUCAACAUGGAUUGCAAUGAGGAAACACAAUCAAUCAAAGAACAACUAUCAUAAUUAAAGUCCUUGAAAUCCAAAAGAGUGGGUUCAUUGCUAUUUAAAGUUUUGACCUCUUCAAUCCCACUUUUAUCAAUCUUAGCAUUAAGAUCUAUAAACUCUGAAUCGUUGGGAUGCCUUUUAACUAAAGUUGACUCAUCUCCAGUACCAUCUUUUUCAAGAUUUAUACUAGAAAACAAAGGUUCAAUAGGAUUCAGAUCAAUCACUUUAAUAUCUUCAUCAUUAUUAUCACAAGAAAACACAUUUUCAAGCCAUUCACGCUUAGCGCGUAUUCUAGCAGUUCUUUCCUUACACUCAUCAAUAGAAAUUCUCAUAGCUUUUAAAGACUCAUUAAUAUCAAGCUUGGGUGGAAUAGAUCUAAUUUUCAAAAAAUGAAACUCAAGAGAAAUUCUAUCAACGUUCCUAACCAAAUCAUCAAUCUUGAGCAAUUUUUCUUCAAUCAUAGCAUUGAAACCUUUUUGAGAGCUAAUGAAUUCUUUAUAUUAUUCUCAAGAUCAGAGGGCAUCUUAUUAUAAUUUCUAUAAGAAUUGUUGUAGGAAUUACCAUAAUUGUUAGAGCAAUUACUAGGAAAUGACCUAGGAUUGAAAUACCAAUAUACGCGUUAUUGCUAAAAUUAUUCCUACCAACAAAAUUCACAUCCAUAGAUUCGUUAUUAUUUCCAAACAAAGAAGACAAAGGAAUAUCAUUGGGAUCAAUAGGAUCAUUCUUACUAGCAAACAAUUUCAUCAAUUCAUUCAUCUUUCCACUCAAAGUAUUUAUUUCUUCAAUAGUGUGCACUUUUUUACUAGUAGGAGAUCUUUCGGUAUACCAUUGAGAGUAAUUUGCCAUAAUGUUAUCUAGGAGUUUAGUAGCUUCUCCUAAUGCGAUUUCCAUAAAAGUACCAUCCGCGGAGGAAUCUAAAACAUUUCUAGAAGGAAAAUUUAGUCCCGCAUAAAUAAAUUGUAUAAUCAUCCAUAAACUCAAACCAUGCGCGGGGCAUUUCCUAAUCAUUAGUUUCGUCCUCUCCCAAGAUUGUGCAACAUGAUCAUGAUAAAGUUGCUGAAAAUUCAUUAUAUCGUUCCUAAGGGAGAUAAUCUUAGUGGGCGGAAAGUACUUGGAAAUAAAAGCAUCUUUACACUUAUUCCACGAAUAAAUACUAUUUUUAUGUACAGAUGAAAACCAAGUUUUAGCACGAUCUCGUAGUGAGAAAGGAAAUAGCUUCAAGUUAACAAUUUCAUUAUCCACAUCUUUAUUCUUUCGCAUAUCACAUAACUCAAUGAAAGUAUUUAUAUGGGAUGUCGUAUCUUCACUAGGAAGGCCAGAAAAGUGUUGUUUCAUAACAAGAUUGAGCAAAGAGGCAUCAAUUUCACAAGAUUCUGCACUAGUGAUGGGAGCAAUCGGAGUACUAAUAAAAUCAUUAUUAUUAGUAGUGGAAAAAUCACAUAACUUGGUAUUCUCUUGAGCCAUUGUGACAAAGCAAGCAAUCUAGCACACAAGCAAUCAAACGAAAAGACGAAUGAAAAAAGGCGAAUAGAAAGGGAAAUCUUUUUGGUAUUUUCUGAAAAUCGUUUUAGAAGUGGGGGAGAGGAAAACAAGAGGCAAAUGGAAAAUAAAGUAAAUGCAAGAUAUGAGUUUAUGAUGGGUACUUGGUAGGAUUGAUCUUGCUAUGUAUCCUCCCCGGCAACGGCGCCAUAAAUCCUUCUUGCUACUUCAUGAGCUUGCGUUUGUUUUCCCUUGAAGAGGAAAGGGUGAUGGAGCAAAGUAGAUAAGUAUUUCCCUCAGUUUGUUGAGAACCAAGGUAUCAAUCCAGUAGGAGGAACAAGCAAGGCCCCAAUCGUAGUACUUACACAAACAAUCAAACACUUGCAACCAACGCUAAAAAGGGGUUGUCAAUCCCUUCACAGUUAUUUGCAAGGAUGAGAUCUGAUAGAGAUAGAUAUAAAAGAUUGAUAGAUCUAAAAGUUAAAAAAAUGUAAAUAUAUAGAAACAAUAUAUUUAUGGUAUUUUUGGUUUAUAGAUCUGAAAGUAUAAUAUGGAAAUAGACCCGAGGGCCAUAGGUUUCACUAGAGGCUUCUCUCAUAAAGGAACAUAACAUGGUGGGUGAAAAAAUUACUGAUGAGCAAUUGAUAGUGAUGGGGUUAUAGUCCUAGGGUAGGGUCAUAGGCCUGCCCUAAAGGUCCAACCCAAGGACUACCCCUCACAAGGGACAAGGCCCUUAGUCAGUUCCGACUGAACGAAGGAGUUCCAUUCAUCCAGUCGGUAACAGAUCCUCGACCGUCCAGUCGGAGAUUAGCAUUCGGAGUUUAUCAAACUAACCGACUGGAUUCCACUCUGCGCAUCGUAACCCCCUGGAGGGAAACGGUCAUACAUUUCCAUAUGCCUUAAUUAGCAUUUAGGACGUACGUUACCUGUAACGUAGACAUUUAUUCGCCACUACUCCACCCCUGUGCACUGAACCGUUGUGGAGGGCAGCGCACUCUAUAUAAGCCACCCUCCCCUUCUGGUGCAGGGGUUAGAAAUUCACUGUAUUUGAUAUUCCACUCGACAACAAGCUCCCUGAGCACUGAGACGUAGGGCUAUUACCUCCACUGUAGAGCGGCCUAAACUCAUACAAUCUCGCCGUAGCUAAGGCUCUGCCCAUUCCUUUCGUACCCUACUCAUCUAUUGUCAGGCUUAUACCCACGACAGUUGGCGCCCACCGUGGGGCAGGCGUCUAAGCGACUUCCGGCGAGUUUGCGACUACAUCACUUCGUCAUGUCGUCUGGUGGAGAUUCGAGCAUGGGUCACGAGAUCCUCUACGGCGCUCUCUCCUUCAUCGUCGACGAUUCGGUAUGGCUUCGGGACGCCCCUCUCGACGUCGAGGCGCUUCCCCGUCGCGGGGCUACGCCCUUCCGUGCCGGCGCCCGCGACAUUCUUCUUCUCCAGCAGUCGGCUCCGGUGUCGACCUACACCGCCGUCACGCGCCGCAACAAGCAGUCCCGUCGUCCGCGGCUCCAGCAUUGGGUGCAACACGCCCAGGCGCGCCACUACGCGUCUUCACAAGUGGCAGUUCUAGAGUCAGUUGUGGUUGCCCCGCCGUCCCAGCGCUCGGGCUGGGUUCCGACUGAGUUUCCUUCCGAGUACGCGGGUCGCAGGCCUGCAGCAGAAGUACACAUGGCCAAUUCCCAUGAAGAUCCCCGUCAAGCUGGCCGGAACGAGCACGAGAUCGGCGAAACGUCCGGCGCGCGUUGUCCGCCUCGCCGUUCUGCCAGUCGGCACACUCGGCGGAGCAACGUGGAGCUAUUCCGCACACCCCUCCUCAACUUGGCCGCGGCUGCCAAGAUAGCCGAUUCCCUUCAGCCGACUGAUUCAGAGGCUGGCAGGGGAAUCGAGUAAAUCCACGCCCUGUUGCACACGGUGCAGCAGCUAAAUUCGGCGGUCUCCCAGUCGCACAACAGGAUCUGCAAUAGUUCUGUUCAUGCGAAUACGCAUCGGUCAGUUCAUAGCCCUGGUUCUCAUCAGCGACACAGAGGAGGCAGUCGUUCCAUAAAUCCCGAAGAUCGUCGCCGUUCACGCACCCCUCCGCGGGGUGGGCCCUAUGGGCCCCGACAUCCUGAUGAUCGGCGUUCAGUCGGCGGCACUUACGACCCAAGGCCCGACGCGAGAGGGCAUAUCGCCCAGCGGAGGGUCGACAGGGGCCGAGCCCACCGCGAUGGUUACGAUAUUGACCAUCCGAGUGGAAGCAGGGCCAUCGUUUCUGGUCCCGAGUGUUUCAGUCGAGCCAUCCGUUCGGCUGACAUCCCUCCCAACUUCCGAUUGGCGACGGGAAUUAGCAAGUUUAUAAGAGAGUCCAAGCCAGAAACGUGGCUGGAUGAUUACCGAGUAGCAGUCCAGAUCGGAGGAGGAGACGACCAUGUCGCCAUGAAGCACCUCCCCCUGAUACUCGACGGCUCGGCGCGAGCGUGGCUGAACGAGUUGGCCCGCUCAAGCAUCUACAGCUUGGCAGAUCUGGCCCGAGUGUUCAUCAGGACCUUCGAAGGGAUGUGCAAGCGCCCUGCUGGCGUCAUGGAGCUCCAGCACUGCGUCCAGAAGUAGAAUGAGCCCCUGCGUGAUUUCAUUCAGCGCUGGACAACUCUCUACCACACGGUGGAGAACGUCACGGAGCAUCAAGCAGUCUGCGCCUUCAAGACAGGCGUGCGGUACAGGGAUCUGUACCUGAAGUUCGACCGAACAGGCGACAUCUCCAUGAGCAAGAUGAUGGAGAUAGCAACACGCUAUGCAAAUGGCGAAGAAGAGGACCGCAUCCGAAGCGGCAAGCACAAAACAGUCGCCGAUGGAGAUGGGGGCAACACUCGGAAGCAGAAGCAGAAAGCUCCGUCUACUCCGCAGGCAGAAGCUGCAGCCGUAACCAAUGCCAAGUUCAAGGGCAAAGGGAAGGCUCAGUUCACCCCUAAGAAGAAACAGUUCAAUAACCCCAUCCUGGAUCAGCCAUGUCCGGUUCAUACGAAGAUGGAUGAAGAGGGCAACCCCAUAUAUGCGAAGCAUACCACUCGACAGUGUCGCCUCCUAAUCCAAGGGUUCAGAGAAGGGUAACCGAGUGAGAAGGACAAUGAACAGGAUGAGGAGGAUAAGGAGGAUCCGUUCCCCCAAGUCCAUGCAACACUCAUGAUUUUCGCUGACGUCGAGGGCAAGAGUCGACUGAAGCUGGUGAACAGGGAGGUGAACAUGGCCACCCCUACCAACCCCAAGUUCCUCAAAUGGUCCCAGACUGCGAUCACCUUUGACCAGUCAGAUCAUCCAGCACAUGUACCCACCCCAGGGAGACAGGCUCUAGUCGUCGACCCAGUGGUGGAAGGAGUCCGACUGCGCAAAGUCCUCAUGGACGGUGGCAGUGGCUUGAACAUCAUGUAUGCCGACACUCUCAAGGGGAUGGGCAUUCCGAUGUCCAAACUCAGCGAGAGCAGAAUGCAGUUCUAUGGAGUCGUCCCUGGACGAAAGGCCAAGUCACUCGGCCAGAUCGCGUUGGACGUCGUUUUUAGCUCCGACAAGAACUUCCGCAAGGAAAAGCUGACGUUCGAAGUGGUCGACUUCCAGAGCGCUUACCACAUGAUUCUGGGCCGCCCAGCGUAUGCACGUUUCAUGGCCCGUCCAUGUUACGUAUACCUGAAGCUGAAGAUGCCGGGCCCGAAGGGCGUGAUUACCAUCACAGGCAAUCGGCAGCGGGCCGAAGAAUGUCUGCAGCAGGGAUCAAGAAUCGCCGACCAGCAGAUGGCCGUCCUCGAGCUUGACGAGUACAAGAAAACAGUCGACCCCGCAGACUUGAUGCGUUCGAAGAAGCCAGCUUCGGAGUCUGCAUUCCAGUCGGCGGGAGAGACGAAGAAGGUCAGCAUCCACCCGACGGACGCCACUGCUGCCCUGACGAACAUCUCCACCACCCUCGAUCCUAAAUAGGAAGCCGAGCUCACCCAAUUCCUCCAUGAGAACUGGGACAUCUUCGCAUGGAAACCCUCUGACAUGCCAGGUGUACCCAGGGAGUUGGCUGAGCACCGACCGCAUGUGGAUCCCACCGCUCGGCCUGUCCGAGAACGCCUGCGUUGUUCCGCCGCGCAUAAGAGGAAGGCAAUCGGAGAAGAGGUGGCCAAGCUGUUGGCAGCCAACUUCAUUCGCGAGGUUCACCACCCCGAGUGGCUCGCCAAUGCUGUCAUGGUGCCCAAGAAGGACAAGUCGCGCCGAAUGUGCAUCGACUUCAAGCACCUCAAUAAGGUCUGCCCGAAAGACCAUUUUCCGCUCCCGCGCAUCUAUCAAAUCGUCGCUUCGACAGCGGGUUGCGAGCGUCUGUCAUUUCUAGAUGCCUAUUCGGGCUAUCAUCAGAUCCGUCUGUAUGGCCCCGAUGAAUUAAAAACAGCCUUCAUCACCCCAUUCGGGUGCUUCUGCUACAUCACUAUGCCAUUCGGUAUGAAGAAUGCAGGAGCUACCUUUAUGCGCAUGAUCCAAAAAUGUCUCCUCGACCAGAUCGGCCGGAAUGUGGAGGCGUAUAUGGAUGAUAUCGUAGUCAAGUCACGCAAAGGUUCCGACCUGCUGACUGACUUGGCAGAAAAGUUCGCCAACCUUCAUAGGGACGAUAUCAAGCUUAACACCGCCAAAUGUUCAUUCGGUGUUCCCAGCGGGAAGUUACUUAGUUUCUUCGUUUCUGAACGAGGGAUCGAUGUCAACCCCGAAAAGAUCGGGACCAUCGUCCGAACGGAGAGGCCGGUCAGAAUACACGAUGUUCAUCGUCUCACAGGUUGCCUAGCGGCUUUCAGCAGGUUCAUCAGUCGACUCGGCGAGAAAGCACUUCCUCUGUACCGACUCAUGAAGAAAUUAGAUACUUUCGAGUGGACAGACGAAGCCCAAGUCGCAUUCGACGACCUCAAAGUCCUACUUUCCACCCAGCCGGUUCUUACUGCUCCGCUCAGUAAAGGGCCCCUUCUUCUGUAUAUCGUGGCUACAAAUCAAGUCGUCAUCACUGUUCUUACAGUCGAACGAGAAGAAGAAGGCAAAGCAAAAAAAUUCAGCGGCCAGUGUAUUACGUCACCGAAGUCCUGACUCCUUCCAAGCAGAGGUAUCCCCACUAUCAAAAACUCAUCUAUGGGAUUUACAUGACUGCGAAGAAGGUAGCCCAUUAUUUCCAAGACCACUCGGUGUCUGUCGUUUCUGAUGCUCCGUUGUCGGAAAUGCUCCACAAUCGAGACGCAUCAGGCCGAGUGGCGAAGUGGGCAAAGGAGAUGUUGUACUCCGAUAUCAAGUUCGAGGCCAAGAAAGCUAUUAAGUCUCAAGCUCUGGCUGACUUUAUAGCAGAAUGGGUAGAACAACAGCAACCAACCCACAUCUACUCGGCUCAUUGGACAAUGUUCUUCGAUGUGUCCAAGAUGUUGAAUGGCUCUGGCGCUGGCGUUGUGAUCGUAUCGCCAAAGGGCGACAAACUCAAAUAUGUGUUGCAGAUACACUUUGAUUCCUCCAACAAUGAGGCGGAGUAUGAAGCUCUCCUUUAUGGACUGCGUAUGGCCAUCGCACUCGGCGUCCGUCGCCUGAUGGUCUAUGGCAAUUCAGACUUGGUGGUUAAUCAAGUGAUGAAAGAGUGGGACGUCAGGAACCCCACCAUGACCACAUACUGCAAUGCAGUGAGGAAGCUUGAGAAGAAGUUUGAAGGUCUAGAACUCCACCAUGUUCUGCGACUGAAGAACCAAGCAGCUGACGAGUUGGCAAAACUCGGAUCCACACGGAGACCAGUCCCGAGUGACGUCUGCCUCGAGCACCUCCACCUUCCCUCAGUCAAAGAANNNNNNNNNNNNNNNNNNNNNNNNNNNNNNNNNNNNNNNNNNNNNNNNNNNNNNNNNNNNNNNNNNNNNNNNNNNNNNNNNNNNNNNNNNNNNNNNNNNNGGGGUUGCGCGCGGUCACCGUGAACUCGAUGCGGGAGGUGACGGAGUCGGAGUCCGAGACGUUCAGCGCCGCCAGACGGAGCGACGUCACGGCGAAGGUCGGAAGCUCCCGGGUGGUAAAUCACGUAGAACACCCCCAACGCGAUUGCUCCAAGGAACACCAGCCCCACCAACACCAGCGUCAGCCACAGGCAACACGCGCAGCACCACCCGCGCCCGCUCCUCCGGCGGCGCGGUGGCUGUUGCAUCGGCUUCGGCCGGUACAUCGGCGGGGGCGGGACGCGGCCGGGCACCAUGGGCGGAGGCCGAGGUGGCCCUACGCCGCCGCCGUUCGCCGUGCCGUUGGCGGACCGCGGCGCCGCCACAGGGACAGGCUUGGAGGCCGGCGCGUACGCCCGGUCGCCCAUUUCUUGGCCUCUGCUGCUUCUUCUGGGCUUGGGGAAGGAGAAGGCUUGGGGAAGGAGAAGGGGGGAGUAAAAGAGACUGGGGGGAGAAACGCGAAGAAGACGGGCGCAAUAAGUGGCCGCAUUUAUAUAUACACUGUAUAUAUUGUGCUAGUGCUAGUACUGCGUGUUUGCUUGCUCGUGUCGUGUGGGCGUUUAGGCAUGGGAAACGCUUCUCACCAGAAGUCUGGUGCGUAGCAUUCGUCGGACCAGUUGUCGACUGUCGAUUCUUCUUUGAUCUCACGGUCGAGAGAAGCAAGCAAAACCAGUAUUUUUAUGCUCCAAAAGAACCCGAUUUUCAUGCCCAUGAUCCCGUGAUCUCUCCUUAUCCGGUUAUCCCGUAUUAAUUGGCCCAAACAAAUCAACCCAGUGCCCAUCUCUCUGCUCGUUCCCUGCUCUCGCCGCCCUGGCUCUCUCCUCAUCCAGUAUCGCGUCUAACCUCUCUGCGGCGCCUCCGCUCAACCAAACCGGUGUGUCGUCCCGUUUGAUGGCCACGCGAGAAASGRCCUGUCAGUGUACGCCCUCGCGAGCUCCCAGUCGUGCUGAUCUCCACCAUGGCCAGCCGGCGAGGCCCUACUCCGUUGUAUGCCUGCGGUUCACCUCGUCAGACUGUCUUCUCUGUCUGGCAAUGNNNNNNNNNNNNNNNNNNNNNNNNNNNNNNNNNNNNNNNNNNNNNNNNNNNNNNNNNNNNNNNNNNNNNNNNNNNNNNNNNNNNNNNNNNNNNNNNNNNNGAUCCUUUCACAGAGGAACCAACACAACCAAAGAGCUCGUCUGAUCCGACUGAAGUCGACGUACCUGCUGUGGUUGAUCUGAUCAUGGAGAUUCUUGCUGUCAUCCCCGAUUGGACUGUGCCGAUCAUUGCAUAUAUCCUAAGGCAAGAAUUACCAGAACACGAAGUCCAGGCCCGGCAGAUAGUCCGCUGGUCAAAGUCAUUCACUGUCAUUGAUGGCCAGUUGUACAAGGAAAUCGUUUCGGGCGUUCUUCAACGAUGCAUCUCCUGAGAGGAGGGACAGUUAAUCCUGGAAGAUAUUCACUAGGGAACCUGCGGUCAUCACGCCUCUUCAAGGGCAAUCGUCGCCAAAGCGUUCAGACCUGGUUUCUUCUGGUUGCAGGCAAACGAAAUGGCUAAAGAUAUGGUCGAUCGAUGUGAGGGCUGUCAGUUCUACUCCAACAAGUCCCAGAAGCCAACAUCUGCGUUGAAGACAAUCCCUCUUGUGUGGCCGUUUGCAGUAUGGGGAUUAGAUACAGUCGGUCCAUUCAGGACAGGCCAAGGAGGAUACACACAUUUGCUGGUGGCAGUCGACAAGUUCACAAAAUGGAUUGAAGCCAAGCGCAUCAAGAAGCUCGACGCCCUAACAGCCAUCAAGUUUGUCAGGGACAUCAUCUCCAGAUUCGGUGUACCUCACAACAUAAUCACGAACAACGGGACAAACUUUGACUCGGACAAAUUCAAAAGUUUCUGUGCAAGCCAAGGUAUCCGAGUGGAUUUUGCUUCCGUGGCGCAUCCUCAAUCCAACGGACAAGCAGAGCGGGCGAAUGGACUUAUUCUGCAAGGUUUGAAGCCCCGACUGCUGCGAGAGGUGGGACAUGCCGCUGGUGCAUGGGUCACCAAACUACCUUCAGUGCUUUGGUGUCUCCGCACAACCCCGAACAGAUCUACAGGGCGAUCACCGUUCUUCCUCGUUUACGGAGCAGAAGCAGUCCUUCCGAGUGACUUGCUUCACAAUGCUCCACGAGUCGAACUCUUCUCCGAAGCUGAAGCAGAACAAGCAAGGCAAGAUGGAAUGGACCUUCUAGAGGAGGAGCGCGAGAUGGCACUGACUCACUCAACCGUUUAUCAACAAGAUCUGCGGCGCUUUCACGCACGCCACGUCAGGAGUCGCACGUUCCAAGCAGGCGACCUGGUGCUCCGAGUGGAUCAGCAAAGACCUCACAAGAUGGCUCCUGCCUGGGAAGGACCCUUCAUCAUCUCCAAGGUACUGAACAACGGAGCAUAUGGACUCGACAAAAUCGACAGGGAGACAAACGAGCCGCGAGCAUGGAACGGAGAUCUCCUGAAGCGCUUCUACACAUGACCGUCGACUGAAGCGAUGUAAAAAGCAAGUAUUGAUGAAAUAAUAUAAAGCAGAUUGAGCUUUUGCAGAUUCAGAAUUCUUCCGUGGUCACAGACUCCGGUAUCAAAAAAAAACUUAGCUGCGUUCCAGAAUCGCCUAAGUUCUAAUUUUCUCCGAGUGUGCACUAAACGCCGCACUCGGGAGAUUAGCUGCGAUCCAGAAUCGCCUAAGUACUAACUUUCUCCGAGUGCGCACUAAACGUCGCACUCGGGGGCUUAGCUGCGAUCCAGAAUCGCCUAAGUACGAACUUUCUCCGAGUGUGCACUAAACGUCACACUCGGGGAUUUAGCUGCGAUCCAAAAUCGCCUAAGUAUCUACAAUCGCCGAAAUGGGAAAGCUUCCCUCGACUGUAUCCUACAGAUACACUCGGAGACUCAGCAGACCCUCAUUGAGACUCAUGUGGAUGUCAAGACAACUGACAAUUACAUGAGUAGCAGACCCUCAUUGAGGCUCAUGUGGAUGUCAAGACAACUGACAAUUACAUGAGCAACAACUUGCUCCGAGUGCAGCAUGUCCGUCGCACUCGGAGACUUAGCUGCGAUCAAGAAUCGCCUAAGUACUCUAUUAUCUUCGAGUGUAUCCUAUAGAUCCACUCGGGGACUCAGCAGACCCUCAUUGAGGCUCAUGUGGAUGUCAAGACAACUGACAAUUACAUGAAUAGUAGACCCUCAUUGAGGCUCAUGUGGAUGUCAAGAGAACUGACAAUUACAUGAGUAACAACUCGCUCCGAGUGCGGCAUAUCUGUCGCACUCGAAGACUUAGCCGCGAUCAUGAAUCGCCUAAGUACUCUAUUACCCUCGAGUGUAUCCUACAGAUCCACUCGGUGACUUGGCAGAUCCUCCGAAAGGUUCACACAGAUGUCAAGCAAACUUCCAGUUACAUGCUCCGCAUGUUUGCCAUUGGCUUAACCAAGAAACGCCAAACAAAACUCGAGCCAAAAUCGCAACAGAAGAGCAAACGAUUUGAUUCAAAUUUGAAGUCCACCUAAAGAUGGUUCACUCGGUGCGGAUCAAGCUUACCCGCACCGAACCAAGAAUGGGACGGCGAACAGAAGUGGCCAAGGUUUCUUACAACCAACACUCGGCAUACUGAGGUAAAAUUUUUCUUACGUGUCGUCCGGAUUGGCGCCAGGACUGGAGGGCUCCACGAAUGUGUCCAGGUCGAUCCCGUUGGUGAUGCGGGUGGCACUCUCAAGGAAGGUUUCCAUGAAGUCUUUGAAUCGUAGUUUCUUUGUGUUGGCGACCUUCAACGCUUUCAGCUUCUCCUCGCGCACCUCCUUGCAAUGCACUCGGACCAGGGACAGAGCAACGUCGGCACCACAGCGAGCCGCAGAUUUCUUCCAUGACUGCACCCGGUUUGGGACGUCCUCCAGUCGAGUCAUCAAGUUUUCCAUCUCAUGCCGCGACUCAUCUUCUGGCCAAAGCUCCUUGUCGAUCCAGCCGACGAAUUCUCUCAGUCGACCGAUGAAAGGACCAACUUUGCCCACGCGAAUGUGCGCUGCGAGCAGAUCUCGAUUGGCGUCCUCGCCAAGUGGAGUGUUCUCGCGAAUCGACCACUCCACGUCAGCUGCUUUAGCUUCAGCGUCCAUGCAAAAAUCUGCAAACACAGGACAACCAAACAAUUAGCGCCGAGUGUAACGCACGUACCACAAGCACUCGGAAAAACAGGACUUACCACCCAGACGCGCCAUCAUCUGCCGAGCCCAGUCACUGACGUAUUUCUCCUGCGCUAUACACCGUUUGUUCAGCACAGCCAUUUGUCCCAUCAGUGCAGACCUUUGUUUCCCCAUAUUCUCAACUUCAGCAGUCAGGGCCUUGUUCGCUUCACGAGCCUGCUCCAACGACUUCUCUCGCUCCACCAGAACCUCCUUCAUACCAGCCAUUGCAAUCAGUGCCGCAUCCAGCUCACCGGCAAACUGAACCUUCUCCGCCCUAAGAGUCUCGUAUGCUGCCCCCAUCUCACAAGUUUUCUGCCAGCCAGCAACAAGAGACGAUCAGACAAAUCAAACACUACAAAGUCUAAGUUCUUCAGACCACUGCCGACGUAAGAAGUCGACAGCGGUCUCGGGGACUACACCCAGUGGGUUCGCUGAGAGUGACCCCACUGGCAUGAAACUCAAACGGCCCGCCCCAUUGAGAUACAUGACAACACCUACGCCCACAAGGCUAAUACUACCCGACCUGAGUAAAAUUACUCUCGGGGACUCUUACAGUAGGUGCACUCCGAGCGCCCCAACUGUUAGCAGUCGACCAUAUUAUUUACGGAUCUGGCCAAGGCAAAGACAAUAUGCGUAAAGACAACUGUCGGUGCAAGCACUCGACAGAAGUCUCGGGGACUACACCCACUGGGUUCACUCAGAGUGAACCCAUUGCAAACAUCAUACGGUAUCCGAGCACACCCAGUGGGUUACAAGAGAAAAGUAAAUACUUAAUAGCCCACUUACUCGGAUAUCGUCCCGCAGCUCCAAGCUCCGCUGGUACAAGGAUGUGAUGGAGUCGUACGCCUUCUUGGCUUCUCCCGCCAUCAGCUCCGCCUGCACCAUGGCCCCCUUGGCCGCUCCCACCUGAUCCUCCGGGAGGCGCUGGACGUUGAACCCGACAUUUGACGGGCCUGGCAUCGUUGGAAGCUCCUUGGCUUCUCCCGACAAUGCACUUACGUUGAGGUGACGGGAAUAGCGACCCUCAUCCGCGGCAAAGCCUUCCGAGGUUUAGAUCCGCUCGGUUUAGCCACCUUGGAAGGCUGACCCGCAGGCUCAGCAGCAACGUCCCUGGUCCUCUUGGUGCUCCGAGCACUCGAGACCACGGGAACAGUGGGCGGAGCACUCGAGGAUGCCGGAGGGGCCGAAGGAACAGCAGGUUCAUGUCGGCGCUUGGUUCGGUGCUCCGGCAGCGGAGGCGGCGAGUCCUGCUCUUCGUCUUCCUCCUCCUCCUCACUAGACUCUUCCACCAUUUCCCCGCUGUCGGAGACAUACUCGGCGCUCUCCACGCUGCCCUCCUGGCUGCCCUCCUCCUCCUCCUCGGCCGGGUUCCCGUUCGAGAUAGGGGAAAACCAGUUGGUCCACUUCUGCAUAGAAUACGGUCGGUGACAUCAGACGCCAGGCAGAGGUUCAAGAAAACAAUAAAACUAAGACAGAUACGUGCACUCGACAAAUGGUACUCACCUGGUUCGGAGGAGGAUUGUCCGCGCAGAAAGCCCUCACUCGCCAAGACCCUCUGGGGUUCUCGCAGGCGCCUGUGAUCUGGAGCACCCACGACGCCACCGUCUCCUCGGUCACGCCCAAGACGUUGGUCCGAGUGGAGUCUUCGGGCCCCGUGUAGUGCCACAUGGCAUGGUCGCGAGCCUGCAGUGGUUGUAUGCGCCGACCGAGGAAAAUCUCCAGCAAAUCUAUGCCGGUGACCCCCGUUCUGACGGCGUCUGCGAGGGCGUCGACCAGAGGCUGGAUGUCGACCUUCUCCGCCUUCCUGAGUGCAAGCUGCUUAGGCGGAGCGGGUCGAUCUAGGCUAAAGGGAGGCAGCCCUGUUGUGGCAUUCAGGCAGGCAACGUCGUGGCAGUAGAACCACGUCGACUGCCUGUUCCUAACCGACUCCAUCAGCUGAAGGACAGGAUAACUACUCCUACUCUUCUUCUGGAAACCUAAGCCUCCGCAGAGCUGGAGAAGGUGUGUCUUAUCAUCCGACUGGUGGAGUCGUUUGAUAGUUUGGGAUCUAGCAGAGAAAAUAUGUUUGAACAACCCCCAAUGGGGGGGACAGCCGAUGAAGCACUCGCACAGGACUAUGAAAGCAGAGAGAUGAGCUAUAGCAUUCGAGGGAAAGUGGUGAAGCUGCGCCCCGAAGUGGUUCGUGAUGCCUUUGAAGAAAGGAUGCGGGGGCAGAGAGAAACCUCGAUAUACGUGGCUGAGCAAUAGGACGCGCUCUCCCUCCCGAGGCGCCGGCUUGAUCUCAUCCUCUGCCGGCAGCCUCCACGACUUGUGCACGAUCAUCCCGUGCUCCACCAGCUGCAGCAGAUCCCCCUCCGUCACCGUGGAGGGGAGGAAGUCUCCUUGGAUCCACCCCGUCGGCAACGCUCGCUGCCGCCGCCGAGCAGGAUCCGCCGCCUUCCCCUUCUUCUUCUUCGCCUCCAGCUUGCUGGUCUGUCCCUUGGUCAUGGCGGAAGCUGCGGGUCCACGAAGGGGAAGGAAAAGGAGGAAGCUUGGGUGCGCAGGGGAAGGCGAGAGGAGCGGAGCAAGCAAAGGCAAGAGAUCCGGCGAGCGUAACGAGAAAACCCUCGCCGCUGGGGUUUAAGUAAGGUUCCGAUUGUGUCACUGGCGGGUCGCCCCGAAACCUUAUCCCCCGACCAACCGCGGCGAUAUCAGUGGAGAAGAUGAAGGCGCGAGAAUCGAGGCGUCAGGCGCUACUCGAGCGCGAUGGCGUCAACCCCGCUGAGCGCGCGGUAACCGAAAUUUGAGGAUCCCGGAAAAUCCGCCGCUGUCAGUUGACUGGUCACGUCAGAAGAUGUCGCGGAAGCACUCGGUUUCCGACAGUUUGUUUCGCAGCUACUUCCACUCGGAUCAUUGAUCAGAGAAGAUAAAGUGGAUCGCGGCAAACAAUGCCAAAUUCACAUCCGUUCCAGUCGAAUCCAAACUUCGAGGAUCGCUUCGUCGUUCCAACCCCAAUCCAUUCGGGGACUAAUGAUGGGGUUAUAGUCCUAGGGUAGGGUCAUAGGCCUGCCCUAAAGGUCCAACCCAAGGACUACCCCUCACAAGGGACAAGGCCCUUAGUCAGUUCCGACUGAACGAAGGAGUUCCAUUCAUCCAGUCGGUAACAGAUGCUCGACCGUCCAGUCGGAGAUUAGCAUUCGGAGUUUAUCAAACUAACCGACUGGAUUCCACUCUGCGCAUCGUAACCCUCUAGAGGGAAACCGUCAUACGUUUCCAUAUGCCUUAAUUAGCAUUUAGGACGUACGUUACCUGUACCGUAGACAUUUAUUCGCCACUACUCCACCCCUGUGCACCGAACCGUUGUGGAGGGCAGCGCACUCUAUAUAAGCCACCCUCCCCUUCUGGUGCAGGGGUUAGCAAUUCACUGUAUUCGAUAUUCCACUCGACAACAAGCUCCCUAAGCACUGAGACGUAGGGCUAUUACCUCCACCGUAGAGGGGCCUGAACUCAUACAACCUCGCCGUAGCUAAGGCUCUGCCCAUUCCUUUCGUACCCUACUCAUCUACUGUCGGGCUUAUACCCACGACAGAUAGAAAAGCAAGUAAUUAUGAAUAUAUCCAAGGCAAUGAUUAUGCAUAUAGGCAUCACGUCCGUGUCAAGUAGACCAAAAAAAUUCUUCAUCUACUACUAUUACUCCACACAUUGACCUACUCCUGCCUGCAUCUAGAGUAUUAAGUUCAUGAAGAACAGAGUAACACAUUAACUAAGAUGACAUGAUGUAGAGCAAUAAACUCAAGGAAUAUGAUGACAACCACAUAUUUUUAUCCUCGAUGGAAACAAUGCAAUACGUGCAUCACUACCCCUACUUUGUCAUUGGGUGAGGACACCGCAAGAUUGAACCCAAAACUAAGCACUUCUCCCAUUGCAAGAAUUACCCAUCUAGUUGGCCGAACCAAACCAAUAACUCGAAGAGACUUGCUAAGAUAUGAAAUCACGCAUAUAAGAAUUCAAAGAAGGUUCAAAUAGUAUUCAUAGAUAAUCUGAACAUAAACCCCCAAUUCAUCGGAUCUCGACAAACACACCACAAAAGAGUAUUACAUCGGAUAGAUCUCCAUGAAGAUCAUGAAGAACAAAGAGAUAGAAGAAGCCAUCUAGCUACUAACUAUGGACCCAUAGGUCUAUGCUGAACUGCUCACGCAUCAUCGGAGGGGCAAUGGAGUUGAUGUAGAUGCCCUCCGUGAUGAAUUCCCUCUCCGACAGAUUACUGGAAAAGGCUCCCAGAUUGGAUCUCACGGGAACAGAGGCUCUCGGCGGUGGAAAAGUAUUUUUUCAUCUCUUUUUAGCAAUGGGGGAAUAUUUGGGAAUUUAUAGGAGGAAGAUGUAACAGCCUGAGACCAACGCUCCAGAAGAUUCCCCUUUUAUUUCGUUCUUGUCGUGUGAUUCGUCUGCUUGUUGUGUUCAUCAUCGCAUCAUGUGCAUCAUCUGCGUGGCAUCGGCACUCUGUUGCCGCCACUUUUCAAAAAUUGCAUCCGCUAUUAGUUGCUGACUCUCUCCGUUUUCGGAGUUGAGCGUUUUGAGACCAACCACACAUGCACGCGCCCAGGGCAUCGAUAAUAUUUUUUUAAAGUGUGUACCAAAUAUUCUCGGAUUGGGUUGAAACUUGGUGUGCGGUCUUAUUUUGGUGUAGGUAGGCCACAUGUCAAAUUUCAUCGCAAUCGGAGUCCGUUUGAUACCCGUAUGGUCGACCGUAGCGGCACCGUCAUCGAGUUAUCGUCGGACGUUUUUUGGUGUUAUAAAAUAUUGUGCCAGGCCGCAAACUUCCCUCUCUUCUUAGCCCACCACCACUCUACACAGCCCACUAACCCAGUGAUACGUCUCCAACGGAUCUAUAAUUUUUGAUGGUUUCAUGCGAUUAUCUUGUCAAACUUUGGAUGUUUUGCAUGCCUUCUAUAUAUUUUUUGGGACUAACUUAUUAACUCAGUGCCAAGUGCCAGUUCCUGUUUUUUCCAUGUUUUUGACCCAUUUCAGAGGAGAUUUUGAAACGGAGUCCAAACGAAAGAAACUCCCUGAAAAGAUUUUUUUGGAACGGAAGAAGAUCGGGGAGCUUGGGAGCCAAGGCAGGGAAGCCCCAGGGGCCCCACAAGCCUCCACCCCGCGGCCAGGGGGCCGCCAUCCAGGCUUGUGGGCCCCCUGGACGCCCUUUUCCCUAGGUCUUUCGCCUAUAUAUUCCCAUAAAUUGCAGAAAAAAUCAGGAGAUCAUCGCAAUCACUUUUCCGCCGCCGCAAGCUUCUGUCUUUGCAAGACCCCAUCUGGGGCACGCCCUGGUGCCCUGCCGGAGGGGGGAUUCGGACACGGAGGGCUUCUUCAUCAACACCAUGACCUCUCCGAUGAUGCGUGAGUAGUUCACCAUAGACCUACGGGUCCAUAGCUAGUAACUAGAUGGCUUCUUCUCUCUCUUGGAUCUUCAAUACAAAGUUCUCCAUGAUCUUCAUGGAGAUCUAUCCGAUGUAAUCUUCUUUUGCGGUGUGUUUGUCGAGAUUCGAUGAAUUGUGGAAUUAUGAUCAGAUUAUCUAUGAAUCUUAUUUGAGUUUCUUCUGAUCUCUCUUAUGCAUGAUUUCAUAUCCUUGUAAUUCUCUUCGAGUUGUGGGUUUUGUCUGGCCAGCUAGAUCUAUGAUUCUUGCAAUGGGAGAAGUGCUUGGUUUUGGGUUCAUACCGUGCGGUGACCUCCCCAGUGACAGAAGGGGUAGCGAAGCACGCAUCGUGUUAUUGCCAUCAAGGGUAAAAAGAUGGGGUUUUCAUCAUUGGUUUGAGAUUAUCCCUCUACAUCAUCUCAUCUUUCUUAAAGCGUUACUUUGUUCGUCAUGAACUCAAUACACUAGAUGCAUGCUCGAUAGCGGUUGAUGUGUGGAGUAAUAGUAGUAGAUGCAUAAAGUAUUGGUCUACUUGUCUUGGACGUGAUGCCUAUAUGUAAGAUCAUUACCUUAGAUAUCGUCAUAACUUUGCGCGGUUCUAUCAAUUGCUCGGCAGUAAUUUGUUCACCCACCGUAACACUUGCUAUUUCGAGAGAAGCCUCUAGUGAACACUAUGGCCCCCAGGGUUUACUCCACACCAUAUUUCCAGCCUUACACUUUUUACUUCGUUGCACUUUCCGCCUUCAGAUCUCACUUUGCAAACAAUCUUGAAGGGAUUGACAACCCCUUUGAAGCCUUGGGUGCNNNNNNNNNNNNNNNNNNNNNNNNNNNNNNNNNNNNNNNNNNNNNNNNNNNNNNNNNNNNNNNNNNNNNNNNNNNNNNNNNNNNNNNNNNNNNNNNNNNNUGCUCGCGCCCCUAGGGCUUGUGGCCCACUAGUGUGGCCCCCAGACAGACUCUUUUUCCCAGUAUUUUUCAAAUAUUCCAGAAAAAAUCAUACUAGAUUUUCAUAGCGUUUGGAGAACUUUUAUUUUCAGGGUAUUUUUCUACCGGACACUAAUACAGAAAACAUGGAAAACUAAACUAAAUCUAUCAUUUUUCUUCUAAGCAACCUAACGUAAAAGCUUGGAACAGAGGUUCGUGACUCCUCGAUUAAUCCAUCUCAUGGUCAUCGAAAGAAAUCCGUCAAUGGGGUUGAUCAAAUCCCUUCAACAAGACUUUCUCGAAUCGCAAAAGAGAACGGAGAAUUUUUGAAUAGUCACUAGGUCACCUCAAUGGGGAUGUGUAUCUCCCCAACAAGCAAAUCAUACUUCAUCUUGACACGAGGAAUAGGGCAUUCAAAGCUCCCAAUAAGUAUCGAUGAAGUUUUUUGAUAGCAUUGAUGCAAUGUACUCGAUAUUGUUUCUUUGGAAAGUGCACCGUAUGCUCAUUACUGUUGACAUGGAAAGUGACAUUGCCUUUGUUGCAAUCUAUAACAGCUCCUGCACUGUUUAAAAAGGGUCUUCCGAGGAUGACCGCCAUGGCAUCGUCCUCAGGAAUAUCCAAGAUAACAAAGUCUGGUAAGAUAGUGGUGUCAGCAACCACAACAGGCACAUCCUCGCAAAUGUCGAUAGGGAAAGCAGUUGAUUUGUCGGCCAUUUGCAGAGAGAUUUCUGUGGGCGUCAACUUAUCCAGUUCAAGUCUACGAUAAAGAGAGAGAGGCGUAACACUAACACCGGCUCCAAGGUCGCAUAACGCAGUUCUAACAUAGUUACCUUUAAUGGAGCAAGGUAUAGUGGGCACACCGGGAUCACCUAGUUUCUUCGGAGUUCCACCCUUGAAGGUAUAAUUGGCAAGCAUGGCGGAGAUCUCAAGAUCAGGUAUCCUCCUCUUAUUAGUCACAAUAUAUUUCAUGUACUUAACAUACGUAGAUAUCUUGAGCAUAUCUGUCAAACGCAUUUGUAGAAAGAGAGGUCUAAUCAUUUCAACAAAGCGCUCAAAAUCCUCAUCAUCCUUUUUCUUGGAUGGUUUGGGAGGAAAGGGCAUAGGUUUCUGAACCCAUGGUUCCCUUUCUUUACCGUGCUCCCUAGCAGCGAAACCAUUCUUAUCAUAUCUUCUAUUCUUAGGAUGUGGGUUAUCAAGAUCAAUUGGUUCACUCUCCACAUCCUUUUCAUUGCUAGGUUGAGCAUCAACAUGAACAUCACCAUUGAUAUCAUCAUUAGGCUCAUGUUCAUCACCAGAUUGUGUCUUAGCAUUAGAGAUAGAGGCAUCGUUUGGACUCUCAUGGGUAGCAGCAACAGGGUUGCUAGCGUGAAGGUCGCUAUCACCUUUCUUCUUAUUUCUAGGAUGACUAGGUGCAUCAGUGCUAACUCCUUGAGACUCUUGUUCAAAUCUCUUCGGAUGACCCUCAGGAUACACAGGUUCCUGGGUCAUUCUACCGCCUCUAGUAACAACUCUGAAAGAAUUGUCAUUCAACUCGUUGAGCAAGUCAUUCUGAGCUUUAAGUACUUGUUCUACCUGAGUAGUAACCAUAGAGGCAUGUUUACUCAAGAUCUUAAGAUCAUUGACAUUUCUGUCCACACUAGCACUUAAAUGACUAAGCAUUCUUUUCCAAUUGUCUGCUAACAUAAUCGUUGAAAUUCUGUUGUUUGGCAAUAAAGUUAUCAAAUUCAUCCAGGCAUAAGCUAGCAGGUUUAUAAAAAGGAAUAUCACUCUCAUCAAACAUACGCAGAGAAUUUACUUCUACUACCUCUAUCGGGUUAUCGAGACCAUGGAUCUCUUUGAUAGGUGGUAGAUUUUUGACAUAUUUAGAUUUAAUGCCUUUCUCUCGCAUAGAUUUCUUAGCUUCUUGCAUAUCUUCAGAAUUGAGGAAUAGAAUACCUCUUUUCUUCGGAGUUGGCUUAGGAGGUGGUUCGGGAAUAGUCUAAGCAUUCUCAUUGCACAAGAUGUUAUUCAGUAGGAUCUCAACUUGUUCUACGGUUCGUUCCCUAAAAUACUACUGGCACAACUAUCUACGUGGUCUUUGGAAGCAUCGGUGAGUCCAUUAUAGAAGAUAUCAAGUAUUUCAUUCUUCUCAAGAGGGUGAUCAGGCAAAGCAUUCAGUAGCUGGAUGAGCCUCCCCCAAGCUUGUGGGAGACUCUCUUCCUCAGCUUCAGCUAAGUUGUAUAUUUCCUGCAAGGCAGCUUGCUUCUUAUGGACAGGGAAAUAUUUUUUAGAGAAGUAGUAGACCAUAUCCUAGGGGCUACGCACACAUCCAGCAGCAAGAGAAGUGAACCAGGUCUUAGCAUCAUCCUUUAGCGAGAAAGGAAACAACUUGAGCAUGUAGUAGUGGAGGAUCUUUUCCUCACUAGUGAAUAGGGUGGAUAUAUCGUGCAGUUUGGUAAGAUGAGCUACAACCGUUUUAGACUCAUAACCGUGAAAAGGAUCUGAUUCGACCAGAGUGAUUAGCUCAGGGUCGAUAGAGAAUUCAUAAUCCUUAUCGGUAACAAAGAUAAGCGAAGUGGCAAACUUUGGGUCGUAUUUCAUCCUAGCGUUCAGAGAUUUUUCUUUCCACUUGCGCUGUAGUUUCGCAACAUCAUAGCUAUCCUUACACGCAAGAAAGUCCUCAGCUAUCUCUCCCUUCAUAACAUAGCGCGUAUCAGGCAUAGUAGGCAUAGUAGCAGGUUCUACUUUAAUAGUAUCAGCAGUUUCAGAAGUAUCAUCACAUCUAGCAGCAGCUCUAGCAAUAUGUGCAUCAAGGAAUGCACCAAGUGGCAAAGCAGUAUCAGGCAUAGCAGGCAUAGUAUCAAGCAUAGCAUCAUCAGGCAUAGUAUCAAGCAUAGCAUCAUCAGGCAUAGUAUCAAGCAUAGCAUCAUCAGGCAUAGUAUCAAGCAUAGCAUCAUGGAUAGCAGAAGUAGCAUCAUCAAGCACAUGCGACAUAUCAAGAUUUCUAGAAGGAGGCGAAGUCGCAAACUUACUCAAAACUUAAGGUGAAUCAAAUGCAGAGCUAGAUAGCAAUUCCUUACCUCUCCUCGUAGUGGAAGGCAAGAUUUUAGUUCUUGGAUCUUUCGAAUACCUCAUAGUGAUCAGCAGACGUCAAUCCCAAGAGACUCAGAGAAUAUAGUUGUGCUUCCCCGGCAACAGUGCCAGAAAAAAGCUGUUGGCAAUCCCCGGCAACGGGGCCAGAAAAUAGCCUUGAUGUCCCACAAGCGUAUGGAAUCGCUGCAGUUUUCAAGGAUAGAGUAUUCGACCCAAAUUUGUAGAUUCGCCAAGACGGGAAGCGAAAGAAUAUUCUCAAGUAUUAGCAGCUGAAUGUGUCAGAUUCAACCACACCUGAAAGAUUAGUGUCUGUAAGCAAAGUAUCAGUAGCAAGGUAGUAUGAUAGAAACGGUGCCAGAAACGAUCUGUUGACGGCAUACUGUUCCUAACUGUUGUAUCAAUGGCGCCAGCACGUUGACGGGGGAUUAUUCUUGAGAAGUAUGCUUCCCUGGCUACGGCUCCAACAAAGUCUUGCAACAAAUAACGGCAGAGUAGCAAGGAACAGCAGUAGCAACAACAACAAAGUGACAGCAAUAGCAACAGUAGCAGCAAAGUGGCCCAAUCCCUUUUGUAGCAAGGGACAAGCCUAGACAAAGUAACGUAGCGAAAACUAGUAGUGAAAGACUCGUAGGCAUUGGAUCGGUGAUAGAUGAGUAUGACGGAUGUGAUUCAUCAUGUAACAGCUAUAACACGGAGAUAUAUGUAACUAGCUCCCGUUCGUCAAUCUAAUGUAGGCAUGUAUUCCGUAUGUAGUCAUACGUGCUUAGGGAAAAGAACUUGCAUGACAUCUAUUGUCCAUCCCUCCCGUGGCAGCGGGGUCCUAAUGGAAACUACGGGAUAUUAAGGUUUUUCUUUUAAUAAAGAACCGGACCAACGCAUUAACACGCGGUGAAUACAUGAACUCCUCAUACUAUGGUCAUCUCCGGGAGUGGUUCCGGCUAUUGUCACUCCGGGGUUGCCGGGUCAUAACACAUAGUAGGUGACUAUAACUUUCACGAUAGGAUCUAAAACACACAUAUAUUGGCGACAACAUAAUAGGUUCAGAUCUGAAAUCAUGGCACUCGGGCCCUAAUGACAAGCAUUAAGCAUAGCCAAGUAGUAGCAACACCAAUCUAGAACAUAGUGGAUACUAGGGAUCAAUCCCCGUCAAGAACUAACUCGAUUACAUGAUAGAUCUCAUCCAACUCAUCACCGUCCAGCAAGCCUACGAUGAUAUUACUCACGAACGAUGAAGAGCAUCAUGGAAUUGUCGAUGGAGAAAGGUUGAUGAUGACGAUGGCGACGAUUUCCCCUCUCCGGAGCCCGAAACGGACUCCAGAUCUGCCCUCCAGAUGAAGAACAGGAUGUGGCGGUGCCUCCGUAUCGCAAAAUGCGAUGAAACCUUCUCUUUGAUUUUUUUCUAGGCGAAACAGAAGAUAUAGAUCUGAGUUUGGGGGCAGUGGUGCAAUGUGGGCCCCACAAGCCCUCACGGCGUGGCCAUAGGUGGUGGUCGCGGCCUGUGGGCUUGUGGCCCACUGGCAUGCCCCCUCCGGUGGAUCUUUGUGCACGUAUUUUUCUUUUAUUCCAGAAAAAAUCUUCGUAAAUUUUCAGGACGUUCCAAGAACUUUCAUUUCUACACAAAAAAAACCACCAUGGCAAUUCUGCUGAAAACAACGUCAGUCCGGGUUAGUUCCAUUCAAAUCAUGCAAGUUAGAGUCCAAAACAAGGGCGAAAGAGUUCAGAAAAGUAGAUACGACAGAGAGAUGUCACUUCCUACCAAAGUUGGUCAUGCUUCCUGAGGUAAAUACUCUCAACAAAUAUCAUCGAAGCAAGUAUUGCAUCAAAAUUAGCGCAAAUCAAAACAAAGUGAUUAAACAUAAAUCAAAGAAGAGAUGAAUCAAAACCCUAAUUCAUGUGCAUAGAUACCGCGGGUCGACGUGUGAGAUCUGCGUGCAGCUUCUUUGGCAAGCCGAUAAGAGGGAAUUGACGAGCAUGGUCGGGCGGGGGACAGGGGCGGCGAUGGUGAUUACAUCACGUGGUCGGUGGUGAGAACAAGAUUUGAUGAAGGAGACAGCGAACCGACGACAUGGAGCAGUUCUAGCUGCAAUGGAGUUCUUGGGGUGGAGCAGGGCGGAGGCGGAGGUUGUCGUCGUGGUGACCGAGCUCGGCGUGCUGGGGAUGAUCUUGUCCAUGAGAUGUGACAUGGGGUUGGAUGGGUGGAUCGUCCAGGCGAGAUUUAUUCGCCUUGAUGUGGUGAGGUGGUUGGGGCUGGGAAGGAGGUGAGAUUUACUCGGGCUGGAUGAAUACGUGCAGUUAAUGGGAUGGAUGAGGGUAUCGCGAGGCCAUGCGAUUAAAUAAGAAUCAAUGUUGCACGACACGUCUGCUGAAAAGUUUCUGUCACACUACAGAUAAGAAGCGUUUCCCAAUUACUAUCACUAUUUAUUAACUCUCAAACAAAUAUGAGGAACGAGAGCAUAUUAUUUCUAUAAAAUCGACAUGCCAUCAUGCUCAAAAAGAUAUAAGUGAAGUACUAGAGCAACUGAUAAGCUCAAAAGAUACAAUUGAAGCACAUCGAGUAUUCUAACAAAUUAUAAUGAUGGUCUCUCUCUCUCUCAAAUAGGUGUGUCCAGCAAACAAUGAUUGUGGUAAACUAACAGUAAAAGUAAACAAAAGCAAACGACACUCCAGGCAAAACUCAUAUCAUGUGAUGAAUAAAUAUGUAGCUCCAAAUAACAUGCCGAUGGAUUGAUACAAAAGAGGGGAUGCAUUCCCGGGGCAUCCCCAAGCUUAGAUGCUUGAUUCUUCCCCGAAUAUUACCUUGAGGUGCCUUAGGAAUCCCCAAGCUUAGGCUCGUGCUACUUCUCAAUCCUUUGUCCAUCGAAAUAAUACCGAAAUCUUGAAAUCCUCAACCACACAAAACUCAACAAAACUUCAUGAGAUCCGUUCGUAUAGGUAACAUAACAAACACUUUUAGGUACUGUUAUAAAUUGAUUCUUGUUUCACUUUGGCAUAAGGUACUGUAUUGUAAAUUCUCCAUGGCUUAUACCCCCCGAUAUAAUCCAUAGCAUAACCAAAACAAGCAAACUAUGCAUGCAAAAACAGAAUAUGUUUAAAACAGAACAGUGUGUAGUAAUACAUUUAAUUGCCAUACUUAUGUAACUACACAAAUUCUGAAAAAUUAGGAGAACAUGAUGAAUUUGUAUAUCAGUACUAUGUAAAAAACUCACCUUAAAAAGAUGUUCUAGUAAAAUCUGACAAUUAUUGCACUCUGCAUUAAAGUUUCUAUUUUUGCACCGUAUCAUUCUACUCAUCAUGAAAAUCAUCCCAAAGUCUUUACUUGGCAGAAACACUAAUUAAAACAUAAAAACACAACCAUUAUAACAAACCAUUAUGCCAUCACAAUCAAAUAGAAAGCGGAAAGCAAAAUUAAAAGAUAACUAUUGGGUUGCCUCCCAACAAGCUCUAUUGUUUUACGUCCCUAGCUAGGCAUAUCGCACAGUUUCAAGUGUUGUCAUCUUUGACAUUGAAUCCAUAAGUGGCCCUCAUGAUAGAUUCAUAAGGUGGUUUGAUUCCCUUUCUAGGGAAGUGUUCCAUCCCUUUAUUUAGUGGAAAUUGGAACCCUAUGUUGCCCUCUUUCAUAUCAAUGAUUGCACCUAAAUUCCAUCGAAAAGGUCUUCCAAGUAUAAUGGUACAAGUAGGAUUGCAAUCAAUAUCAAACACAAUAAAUCUACAGACACAUAAGUUCUGUGUGCAAUGAUAAGCACACCAUUAAUUCUACCUAAGGUUUUCUUAAUGGUAGAAUCCGCAAGAUGCAAGUUAAGGGAACAUUCUUCGAUAUUAGUGAGACCAAGCACAUCACAUAAAGCUUUAGGUAUAGUUCAAACACUACCACCAAGGUCACACAAAUUAUUGCAUUCAUAUUUAUUUAUCUUAAUUUUGAUAGUAGGUUCCCACUCAUCAUGCAACUUUCUAGGAAUAAAAAACUUCAUGCUCAAGUUUCUCAUCAUAAGCGUUUACCAUAGCUUCAACUAUAUGUUGAGUAAAGGCUUUAUUUUGUUCAUCGUGCUUCCUUUUGAUGUUUGUCGUGCUUGCAAUGGUAGUCUUGCUUCCAUUUUUUGGCCAACGUACUUUCUUUGCGAUGGUAGUCGUUCUUCCUUCCUAAACUGUGAAUGAUGGUCGUGCUUCCUACCAGAGUUGGUCAUGCUUCCUGAGGUAAAUACUCUCAACAAAAUUCACCGAAGCAAGUAUUGCAUCAAAAGUAGCGCAAAUCGAAACAAAGUGAUUAAACAUAAAUCGAAGAUGUGAUGAGUCAAAACCCUAAUUCAUGUGCGUAGAUACUGGGGGUCGACACGUGAGAACCGCGUGAAGCUUCUUUGCCAAGACGAUAAGAGGGAAUUGACGAGCAUGGUCGGGCGAGGGACAGGGGCGGCGAUGGUGAUUACGUCAUGUAGUCAGUGGUGAGAACAAGGUUCAACGAAGGAGACGAAGAGAGACAGCGGACCGACGACAUGGAGCAGUUUUAGGUGCAAUGGAUUUGUUGGUGCGAAGCAGGGCGACGUCAUAGGUCGUCGUCGUGCUGAGCGAGCUCGGCGUGCUCGGGAAGAUUUCGUCCAUGAUAUGCGAGAUGGGGUUGGAUGGGGGCCAGGCGAUAUUUACUCGCCUUGAUGUGGUGAGGUGGUUGGGGCUGGGAGGAGGCAAUAUUUACUCGGACUGGAUGAAUACGUGGAGUUAAUGGGUUAGAUGAGGGUAUCGCUAGGCCAUGCGAUUAAAUAAGAAUCAACGUCGCAUGACACGUUGGCUCAAAAAUUUCUAUCAGACUACUGAUAAGAAGCGUUACCCAAUUACUAUCACUGUUUAUUAACUCUCAAACAAAUAUGAGGAACCAGAGUAUAUUAUUUCUAUAAAAUCUACAUGCCACUGUGUUCAAAAAUAUAUAAGUGAAGUACUAUAGCAACUGCUAAGCUCAAAAGAUAUAACUGAAGCACAUAGAGUAUUCUAACAAAUUAUAAUGAUGGUCUCUUUGUCUCUCAAAUAGGUGUGUCCAGCAAACAAUGAUUGUGUGAAACUGAAUGUAAAAGUAAACGAAAGCAAAUGAUGCUCCAAGAAAAACUCAUAUCAUGUGAUGAAUAAAAAUGUAGCUCCAAGUAACAUGCCGAUGGAUUGAUACAAAAGAUGGGAUGCAUUCCCGGGUCAUCCCCAAACAUAGACACUUGAGUCUUCCUAGAAUAUUACCUUGAGGUGCCUUGGGCAUCCCCAAGCUUAGGCUCUUGCUACUUCGCAUUCCUUUGUCCAUCGAAAUAAUACUCAAAUUUUGAAAACUUAAACCACAGAAAACUCAACAAAACUUUGUGAGAUCCGUUAGUAUAGGUAAUAUAACAAACACUUUUAGGUACUGUUAUAGAUUGAUUCUUGUUUUAUUUUGGCAUAAGGUACUGUAUUAUAACUUCUCCAUGGCUUAUACCCCCCGAUAUAAUCCAUAACAUAACCAAAACAAGCAAACUAUGCAUGCAAAAACAGAAUCUGUUUAAAACAGAACAAUGUGUAGUAAUAUAUUUAAUUGCCAUACUUAUGUAACUAAAACAAUUCUGAACAAUUAGGACAACAUGAGGAAUUUGUAUAUCAGUACUUUGUAAAAAAAUUCAGCUUAAAAAUAUGUUCUAGUAAAAUCAGAGAAAUUCCGCACUCAGCGUUACAGUUUCUGUUUUUGCACCAUAUCGAUUCUACUCAUCAUGAAAAUCAUCCCAAAGUAUUUACUUGGCACAAACACUAAUUAAAACAUAAAAACACAAUCAUUAUAGCUGGCAAUUGUGUCAUCACAAUAAAACAGAAAGUGGAAAGCAAAAAUAAAUUAUAACUAUUGGGUUGCCUCCCAACAAGCGCUAUUGUUUUAUGUCCCUAGCUAGGCAUAUCGCACAGUUUCAAGUGUUGUCAUCUUUGACAUUGAAUCCAUAAGUGACCCUCAUGAUAGAUUCAUAAGGUGGUUUGAUUCCCUUUCUAGGGAAGUGUUCCGUCCCUUUCUUUAAUGGGAAUUGGAACCUUAUGUUGCCCUCUUUCAUAUCAAUUAUUGCACCUAUAUUUCGUAGAAAAGAUCUUCCAAGUAUAAUGGUACAAGUAGGAUUGCAAUCAAUAUAAAGCCCACAAUAAAUCUACAGGCACAUACUUUUUUUUGCAAUGAUAAGAACAUCAUUAAUUCUACCUAAGGUUUUCUUAGUCUCGGCGUUGACCCAGUGCUCGUGGUAGAGGAAGAUGGGCGUGCGACGUACGUGGCACUUCUCGAUACAAUCCACUAGGAGUAGUGGAAAGCCGGUCUCCAGAAGCGUCUCAGGUACGGUAGCCAUCUACAAGGCAUAGUAGAGAGGUCAGAAGGUUGUAUGUGCAAAAGUUUGUGCAAGGCUUGUGUUCUAACGUUCUCGGCUAACGUCCAUGUUAUCUAAGGCUUCCUAUAGUCAGGAUGGCUCUGAUACCAGUUUUGUGGGGACCCCGACUAGCAAGUCGAGUUCGUCGUGCCUAGUGACCCCAAGGAUCAAUGUUCACUGAACACAGAUACUGAAUAAUAGAGUCUUACAUCCAAGUACCGAAAUUAUUACAUCAAACGACCAGAAGGUCGGGUUCAAGAGCGAGGCCUAAAGCCAAAUUAAACAGAUACAUCGAGUAGCGGAAACUCGUAAGGGCUAAGCGGUGCCCAAGCCAUGAAGCCUACACCGACAGGCAUUAUGACUUGGAAGCGUCCUAGCUCGCAGGUUCAUCUCCGACGGCGUACUCGUCGCCAAACUCCGGUCCUUCCAUGUCUGGUCAAUAAUAUAACCAGUGGCAAGCCAAUGAGUACUUUGAAUGUACUCGCAAACAACCCAUGAUAUGAACAUUGAUAGUGAAGAAUAAUAGUAACAUGUAUCUAUAGUGGAAUGCAAUUUUGUGGAAUGAUCAGGUAUAUGCAACAAGUUAAAGAACUACUCUUGAAGAACAGGUUACAGAUAUCAACAUAUCUGCUAAGGGUUGAACACACCGGGUUCACCCUAUAUGCCAAGUCAUCGGACUUGUCAUAACCUCAAUGUAUUAAUGAGGGCUAAACAAUCCGGGUUUACCCUAUAUGUCAAGUCACCGAACUUGGUCAUAAUGUUAUGAUUAUAACAACACCUUUUUAACACCACACACACACACACUUCACUUGGUUUAUGCGGAAACACUGGACGUAGUUUAAGCAGCACCACCCAACUGUCCUUGACCGUGGACACGGCUAUUCGAAUAGUUUGACACUCUGCAGAGGUAGUACGCUGGACCCACGAGAAACGGGAAACUUUCGUGUCAUCCACGACUCACGGUAUAUCACAUAUACCCGAGGUAAGUACCCGAUCAUCAUCUUUCCCCUGACGAUACUAGACAAAGAGGUCCACUCGAUUGGUACCCAGCCCACAUGUUGUACGUCUUACGAGCACCGACUCUAGACAGUAUCAACCAUGCGGGGACCAACGGUGUGCCUGGAACUCAUAAUAAUGGCAUAGUCGUCCUACCUGGCACGACCCCAUCACGAGAGUGACACCGAUCACUCCCGCCACUAGUAAUGUGGCUCUUUGCUAGUACCGACCAGAGUAAUCAACAAAGCCCCGUCCCAUAAAGGGGUAUCGUGGUCGUACUGGUAAGGUUGGGACGGUUGACACAUCAUAAUUCUAAUCCCAUUUCCGAAACCACACACGCAAAAUACCCGGUGCACCAUUUCUCCAAAAGUGUCCACCAACUCAUCAUCACCCUCGGGCAUUAUUGGCACCCGACGGGGUUUUCAUAAACUCUUUAUUUUAUGACAUCAACAUGCUCAUGAUAAUACGCUCUAUCUGUACUUGUCAACAUGGUAUAACAUGACCCUCAAGGGGUAGGGUCAAGCUCAAUGCAAUGAUCUUACUCUACUAGUCAACAUGACAGUAGCAUGAUCCUUAUAAGUGGUAGGGUCAAGCUCAUCAUGUUUGUGCUCCGAGGAGCCACAUGAAUAACAUCAUCAACAUGCAAGGGCUUUGAAGAAGCCUCCGGUGCCAUCACCACAAUGAUGAACCGGCAUCGUGAUCACAUGCAACAGGAAAAUACCAACUAUACUAGCAUGCAACAAUGUUUGUGCUCAAGUCAUGGUCAAAGUGUUGGAAUUAUGCCCUAGAGGCAAUAAUAAAUAUAGUUAUUAUUAUAAUUCCUGUAUCAAGAUAAUCGUUUAUUAUCCAUGCUAUAAUUGUAUUGAAUGAAGACUCAUUUACAUGUGUGGAUACAUAGGCAAAACACCGUCCCUAACAAGCCUCUACUUGGCUAGCCAGUUGAUCAAAGAUAGUCAGUGUCUUCUGAUUAUGAACAAAGUGUUGUUACUUGAUAACUGGAUCACGUCAUUAGGAGAAUCACGUGAUGGACUAGACCCAAACUAAUAGACGUAGCAUGUUGAUCGUGUCAUUUUGUUGCUAUUGUUUUCUGCGUGUCAAGUAUUUAUUCCUAUGACCAUGAGAUCAUAUAACUCACUGACACCGGAGGGAUGCUUUGUGUGUAUCAAACGUCGCAACGUAACUGGGUGACUAUAAAGAUGCUCUACAGGUAUCUCCGAAGGUGUUAGUUGAGUUAGUAUGGAUCAAGACUGGGAUUUGUCACUCCGUGUGACGGAGAGGUAUCUCGGGGCCCACUCGGUAAUACAACAUCACACACAAGCCUUGCAAGCAAUGUGACUUAGUGAAAGUUGCGGGAUCUUGUAUUACGGAACGAGUAAAGAGACUUGCCGGUGAACGAGAUUGAAAUAGGUAUGCGGAUAUUGACGAUCGAAUCUCGAGCAAGUAACAUACCGAAGGACAAAGGGAAUGACAUACGGGAUUAUAUGAAUCCUUGGCACUGAGGUUCAAACGAUAAGAUCUUCGUAGAAUAUGUAGGAUCCAAUAUGGGCAUCCAGGUCCCGCUAUUGGAUAUUGACCGAGGAGUCUCUCGGGUCAUGUCUACAUAGUUCUCGAACCCGCAGGGUCUGCACACUUAAGGUUCGACGUUGUUUUAUGCGUAUUUGAGUUAUAUGGUUGGUUACCGAAUGUUGUUCAGAGUCCCGGAUGAGAUCAUGGACGUCACGAGGGUUUCCGGAAUGGUCUAGGAAUGAAGAUUGAUAUAUAGGAUGACCUCAUUUGAUUACCGGAAGGUUUUUGAAGUUACCGGGAAUGUAUCGGGAAUGACGAAUGGAUUCCCGGAGUUCACCGGGGGGGGGGCAACCCACCCCGGGGAAGCCCAUAGGCCUUGAGGGUGGCACACCAGCCCUUAGUGGGCUGGUGGGACAGCCCAAAAGGGCCCUAUGCACCUAGGAAAGAAAAUCAAAGAGAAAAGAAAAAAAGGGGAGGUGGGAAGGGUAGGAAGGACUCCCACCCACCAAACCAAGUCCAACUCGGUUUGGGGGGGGAGCCUUCCCCCUUGGACUCGGCCGACCCCCUUGGGGCUCCUUGAGCCCCAAGGCAAGGUCCCCUCCCUCCCACCUAUAUAUACGGAGGUUUUAGGGCUGAUUUGAGACGACUUUUCCACGGCAGCCCGACCACAUACCUCCACGGUUUUUCCUCUAGAUCGCGUUUCUGCGGAGCUCGGGCGGAGCCCUGCUGAGACAAGGUCAUCACCAACCUCUGGAGCGCCGUCACGCUGCCGGAGAACUCUUCUACCUCUCCGUCUCUCUUGCUGGAUCAAGAAGGCCGAGAUCAUCGUCGACUUGUACGUGUGCUGAACGCGGAGGUGCCGUCCGUUCGGUACUAGAUCGUGGGACUGAUCGCGGAAUUGUUCACGGGGCGGAUCGCGGGACGUGAGGAUGUUCCACUACAUCAACCGCGUUCACUAACGCUUCUGCUGUACGAUCUACAAGGGUACGUAGAUCACUCAUCCCCUCUCGUAGAUGGACAUCACCAUGAUAGGUCUUCGUGCGCGUAGGAAAAUUUUCGUUUCCCAUGCGACGUUCCCCAACAGUGGCAUCAUGAGCUAGGUUCAUGCAUAGAUGUCUUCUAGAGUAGAACACAAAAGUUUUUGUGGGCGGUGAUGUGCGUUUUGCUGCCCUCCUUAGUCUCUUCUUGAUUCCGCGGUAUUGUUGGAUUGAAGCGGCUUGGACCGACAUUACUCGUACGCUUACGAGAGACUGGUUUCAUCGCUACGAGUAACCCCGUUGCUCAAAGAUGACUGGCAAGUGUCGGUUUCUCCAACUUUAGUUGAAUCAGAUUUGACCGAGGAGGUCCUUGGAUGAGGUUAAAUAGCAACUCAUAUAUCUCCGUUGUGGUGUUUGCGUAAGUAAGAUACGAUCCUACUAGAUACCCAUGGUCACCACGUAAAACAUGCAACAACAAAAUUAGAGGACGUCUAACUUGUUUUUGCAGGGUAUGCUUGUGAUGUGAUAUGGCCAACGAUGUGAUGUGAUAUAUUGGAUGUAUGAGAUGCUCAUGUUGUAAUAGUAAAUAUCGACUUGCACGUCGAUGGUACGGCAACCGGCAGGAGCCAUAGGGUUGUCUUUAUACUAACGUUUGUGCUUGCAGAUGCGUUUACUAUUUUGAUAGGAUGUAGCUUUAGUAGUAAUAGCAUGAGUAGCACGACAACCCCGAUGGCAACACGUUGAUGGAGAUCAUGGUGUGGCGCCGAUGACAAGAAGAUCGUGCCGGUGCUUUGGUGAUGGAGAUCAAGGAGCACGUGAUGAUGGCCAUAUCAUGUCACUUAUGAAUUGCAUGUGAUGUUAAUCCUUUUAUGCACCUUAUUUUGCUUAGAACGACGGUAGCAUUAUGAGGUGAUCUCUCACUAAAAUUUCAAGACGAAAUUGUGUUCUCCCCGACUGUGCACCGUUGCUACAGUUCACCGUUUCGAGACACCACGUGAUGAUCGGGUGUGAUAGACUCAACGUUCACAUACAACGGGUGCAAAACAGUUGCGCACGCGGAACACUCGGGUUAAGCUUGACGAGCCUAGCAUGUGCAGACAUGGCCUCGGAACACGUGAGACCGAAAGGCCGGUCAUGAAUCAUAUAGAUGAUAUGAUUAGCAUAGGGAUGCUUACCACUGAAACUAUACUCAACUCACGUGAUGAUCGGACUUGAGCUAGUAUAAGUGGAUCAUGAACCACUCAAAUGACUAGAGAGAUGUACCUUUUGAGUGGGAGUUUAGCGAAUAAUUUGAUUAAGUUAAACUCUAAUUAUCUUGAACAUAGUCUAAAGUCCACUUUGAAUAUAUUUGUGUUGUAGAUCAUGGCUCACGCUACAGUCAUCCUGAAUUUUAAUACGUUCCUAGAGAAAGCUAAGUUGAAAGAUGAUGGAAGCAACUUUGUAGACUGGGCUCGUAAUCUUAAGCUAAUCUUACAAGCUGGGAAGAAGGAUUAUGUCUUUAGUGCUGCGCUAGGAGAUGAACCACCCGCUACGGCUGAUCAGGAUGUUUAGAACGCUUGGUUAGCACGUAAGGAGGACUACUCAAUAGUUCAAUGUGCAGUCUUGUAUGGCUUAGAACCGGGACUUCAACGUCGCUUUGAGCGUCAUGGAGCAUUUGAGAUGUUCCAGGAGUUGAAGUUUAUCUUUCAGAAGAACGCCCGGAUCAAGAAGUAUGAGACCUCUGAUAAAUUCUAUGCUUGCAAGAUGGAGGAAAACUCGUCUGUCAGUGAACAUGUGCUCAAAAUGUCUGGGUACUCAAACCGUCUAGCUGAGCUGGGGAUUGAACUCCCGCAAGAGGCUAUCACUGACAGAAUCCUUCAAUCACUGCCGCCAAGCUAUAAAGGCUUUGUGUUGAACUACAACAUGCAAGGGAUGAACAAGUCUCCCGGCGAGUUGUUUGCGAUGCUGAAAGUCGCAGAGUCUGAACUCCGUAAAGAGCAUCAAGUGUUGAUGGUGAAUAAGACCACUAGUUUCAAGAGAAACGGCAAAGGCAAGAAGGGUAAUUCGAAGAAGAGCGGCAAGCCUAUUGCCAAUCCGACGAAGAAACCCAAAGCUGGACCUAAGCCUGAAACGGAGUGUUACUAUUGCAAGGGUAUGGGUCACUCGAAGCGCAAUUGCCCCAAGUAUCUGGGAGAUAAGAAGGCGGCCAAAGAAAAAUCAGGUAUAUUUGAUAUACAUGUUAUUGAUGUGUACUUAACCGGCUCUCGUUGUAGUGCCUGGGUAUUCGAUACCGGUUCUGUUGCUCAUAUUUGCAACUCGAAACAGGAACUGCGGAAUAGACGAAGGCUGGCGAAAGAUGAAGUGAUGAUGCACGUAGGAAAUGGUUCCAAGGUUGAUGCAAUCGCCGUCGGCACAGUUUCACUUCAGUUACCAUCAGGAUUAGUGAUGAACUUAAAUCAUUGUUAUUUAGUGCCUGCGUUGAGCAUGAAAAUUAUAUCUCGAUCUUGUUUAUUGCGAGACGGUUACUCUUUUAAGUCAGAGAAUAAUGGUUGUUCUAUUUCUAUGAGUAACAUCUUUUAUGGUCAUGCACCUAAUGUGAGAGGAUUGUUCAUAUUGAAUCUUGAUAGCGAUACGCAUAUACAUAACAUUGAGACCAAAAGAGUUAGAGUUAACAAUGAUAGCGCCAUAUUUUUGUGGCACUGCCGCUUAGGUCAUAUUGGUGUAAAGCGCAUGAAGAAACUCCAUGCUGAUGGACUUUUGGGGUCACUUGACUUUGAUUCACUUGACACGUGCGAACCAUGCCUCAUGGGCAAGAUGACUAAGACUCCGUUCUCCAGAACAAUGGAGCGUGCAAGUGACUUGUUGGAAAUCAUACAUACCGAUGUGUGUGGUCCGAUGAGUGUGGAGGCACGCGGCGAAUAUCGUUAUUUUCUCACCUUCAUUGACGAUUUCAGUAGAUAUGGUUAUGUCUACUUGAUGAAGCACAAGUCUGAAACAUUUGAAAAGUUCAAGCAAUUUCAGAGUGAAGUGGAAAAUCAUCGUAACAAGAAGAUCAAGUUCCUACGGUCUGAUCGUGGGGGUGAAUAUCUGAGUUUCGAGUUUGGUACUCACUUAAGACAAUGUGGAAUUGUUUCACAGUUAACACCACCUGGAACACCACAGCGUAAUGGUGUGUCCGAACGUCGUAAUCGUACUCUAUUAGAGAUGGUGCGAUCUAUGAUGUCUCUUACUGAUUUGUCGUUAUCGUUUUGGGGUUAUGCAUUAGAAACAGCUGCAUUCACUUUAAAUAGGGCACCAUCAAAAUCCGUUGAGACGACACCAUACGAACUGUGGUAUGGCAAAAGGCCAAAGUUGUCAUUUCUUAAAUUUUGGGGAUGUGAUGCUUAUGUCAAAAAGCUUCAGCCUGAAAAGCUGGAACCCAAAGCGGAAAAGUGCGUCUUCAUAGGUUACCCAAAAGAGACAGUUGGGUACACCUUCUAUCUCAAAUCCGAGGGCAAAGUGUUUGUUGCUAAAAACGGAGCUUUUCUCAAGAAGGAGUUUCUCUCGAGAGAAUUGAGUGGGAGGAAGAUAGAACUUGACGAGUUUGUCGAACCUAUCAUCCCUCUGGAUGGUGGCGCAGGGCAAGGGGAAACCUCUAUCGUUGCGACGCCGGUUGAGGAGGAAGUUAAUGAUGAUGAUCCUGAAACUCCAGUUCAAGUUUCUGUCGAACCACGCAGGUCGACGAGACCACGUGCUGCUCCAGAGUGGUACGGUAAUCCCUCCUUUUCAAUCAUGUUGUUAGACAACAAUGAACCUGCAAAUUAUGAAGAAGCAAUGGUGGGCCCAGAUUCCAACAAAUGGCUAGAAGCCAUGAAGUCCGAGAUAGGAUCCAUGUAUGAGAACAAAGUGUGGACUUUGGAGGUACUACCUGAGGGCCGCAAGGCUAUUCAGAACAAAUGGAUCUUUAAGAGGAAGACGGACGCUGACGGCAAUGUGACCGUUUAUAAAGCUCGACUUGUGGCAAAGGGUUUUUGACAAGUUCAAGGAGUUGACUACGAUGAGACAUUCUCACCCGUAGCGAUGCUUAAGUCCGUCAGAAUCAUGUUAGCAAUAGCUGCAUUUUUCGAUUAUGAAAUCUGGCAGAUGGAUGUCAAAACAGCGUUCCUUAACGGUUUCCUUAAGGAAGAGUUGUAUAUGAUACAACCCGAAGGUUUUGUCGAUCCUAAGAAUGCUAACAAGGUGUGCAAGCUCCAGCGAUCAAUUUAUGGACUGGUGCAAGCAUCUCUGAGUUGGAACAAACGCUUUGAUGAGGUGAUCAAAGCAUUUGGGUUUAUACAAGUGGUUGGAGAAUCUUGUAUUUACAAGAAAGUGAGUGGGAGCUCUGUGGCGUUUCUAAUAUUAUAUGUGGAUGAAAUAUUACUGAUUGGAAACAACGUGGAGUUUUUAGAGAGCAUAAAGGAUUACUUGAAUAAGAGUUUCUCUAUGAAGGACCUAGGAGAAGCUUCUUACAUUCUAGGCAUUAAGAUCUAUAGGGAUAGAUCAAAACGCCUGAUAGGACUUUCACAAAGCACAUACCUUGAUAAAGUUUUGAAGAGGUUCAAAAUGGAACAGUCCAAGAAAGGGUUCUUGCCAGUUUUACAAGGUAUGAGAUUGAGUAAGACUCAGUGCCCAGCAACUGAUGAAGAUAGAGAGCAUAUGCGCUCCGUCCCCUAUGCUUCAGCCAUAAGUUCUAUCAUGUAUGCAAUGUUGUGCACUAGACCGGAUGUUAGCCUGGCCAUAAGUAUGGCAGGUAGGUUCCAGAGUAAUCCAGGAGUGGAUCACUGGACAACGGUCAAGAAUAUCCUAAAGUACCUGAAAAGGACUAAGGAGAUGUUUCUCGUGUAUGGAGGUGACGAAGAGCUCGCCGUAAAAGGUUACGUCGAUGCAAGUUUUGACACAGAUCCGGACGACUCUAAGUCGCAAACCGGAUACAUAUUUAUUCUUAAUGGGGGUGCGGUAAGCUGGUGCAGUUCCAAGCAAAGCGUCGUAGCAGAUUCUACAUGUGAAGCGGAGUACAUGGCUGCCUCGGAGGCGGCUAAGGAGGGUGUCUGGAUGAAGCAGUUCAUGACGGAUCUUGGAGUGGUGCCAAGCGCACUGAAUCCAAUAACCUUGUUCUGUGACAACACGGGUGCCAUUGCCUUAGCAAAGGAACCACGGUUUCAGAAGAAGACCAGACACAUCAAACGACGCUUCAACCUCAUCCGCGACUACGUCGAGGGAGAGGACGUAAAUAUAUGCAAAGUGCACACGGAUCUGAAUGUAGCAGAUCCGCUGACUAAACCUCUUCCACGGCCAAAGCAUGAUCAACACCAGAACUGUAUGGGUGUUAGAUUUAUUACAAUGUAAUUCACAUGAUGAUGUGAGGGCUAGAUUAUUGACUCUAGUGCAAGUGGGAGACUGUUGGAAUUAUGCCCUAGAGGCAAUAAUAAAUAUAGUUAUUAUUAUAAUUCCUGUAUCAAGAUAAUCGUUUAUUAUCCAUGCUAUAAUUGUAUUGAAUGAAGACUCAUUUACAUGUGUGGAUACAUAGACAAAACACCGUCCCUAGCAAGCCUCUAGUUGGCUAGCCAGUUGAUCAAAGAUAGUCAGUGUCUUCUGAUUAUGAACAAAGUGUUGUUGCUUGAUAACUGGAUCACGUCAUUAGGAGAAUCACGUGAUGUACUAGACCCAAACUAAUAGACAUAGCAUGUUGAUCGUGUCAUUUUGUUGCUACUGUUUUCUGCAUGUCAAGUAUUCAUUCCUAUGACCAUGAGAUCAUAUAACUCACUGACACCGGAGGGAUGCUUUGUGUGUAUCAAAUGUCGCAACGUAACUGGGUGACCAAGUCCAACUCGGUUUGGGGGGGGAGCCUUCCCCCUUGGACUCGGCCGACCCCCUUGGGGCUCCUUGAGCCCCAAGGCAAGGUCCCCUCCCUCCAACCUAUAUAUACGGAGGUUUUAGGGCUGAUUUGAGACGACUUUUCCACGGCAGCCCGACCACAUACCUCCACGGUUUUUCCUCUAGAUCGCGUUUCUGCGGAGCUCGGGCGGAGCCCUGCUGAGACAAGGUCAUCACCAACCUCCGGAGCGCCGUCACGCUGCCGGAGAACUCUUCUACCUCUCCGUCUCUCUUGCUGGAUCAAGAAGGCCGAGAUCAUCGUCGACUUGUACGUGUGCUGAACGCGGAGGUGCCGUCCGUUCGGUACUAGAUCGUGGGACUGAUCGCGGGAUUGUUCACGGGGCGGAUCGCGGGACGUGAGGAUGUUCCACUACAUCAACCGCGUUCACUAACGCUUCUGCUGUACGAUCUACAAGGGUACGUAGAUCACUCAUCCCCUCUCGUAGAUGGACAUCACCAUGAUAGGUCUUCGUGCGCGUAGGAAAAUUUUUGUUUCCCAUGCGACGUUCCCCAACACAAAGGGCUGCUUGCCUUGGUCAGCUAGGUAUCCGAGGUCUUCGAGGUCUUCCGCUCCGGAUCCUCCGUCACUCGGUAACUCUACCGUCGAGAAAGGAAUAAAUAAAUAAUAGCUCACACCAAAACAGAUCACAAGGUGCUUUUAAAAAUGUUGCAAGGCUUGAAUAAAUUCAGUUUAUUAUUUUGGAAAAUGUUUCCUAUGGUUUUUAUUAGCGAAGCAUUUUAUUUAAAAGCAAACAUGAGCAAACAAUUGCUUUAAUAUCAUUUUAUUAUACCAAAACAGGUUCUGUUUUUGAUAAAUGUCAAACUCUACAGAAUCAAUUACUACACAUUUUUAGAAAAUUGUUGGUGGAAGAAUCAUAUUUUUCUACUGGCUAAAUAUUUUUAUAAAAAUCAUUUAAGCUCCAGGUUAAAAAUAAAAUGAAAAGGCCAGGGGAGAGACCCGGUCGGCCCAGCUAGCAGAUCGGCCACCACGCGCGUGCGGGCCAGGUUCAAACCUGACUUGCGGGCCCCUGGGGUCAGUGUCAGUGGCUGCGCGCGCUGGCUGCCCCAGGACACCGACAGGUGGGCUCCCCCUGUCGGGUCCUUCUCCUUCCUCCAGCCAGAGAGGUGGAGACGGACGCCGGCGAGGCUACCGUUGCCCUCAGUCCAAUCUAGGAGCGGGAAUGGGUCCCUCGUUCCUCCGCCUACCUGCUCGUGGUUGGGACGUCAUCGGAGGUGGUCUGGGUCGUCGGCGAUGAGAUGAUCGUGGCGGAAAGGUUUCGGGCUGGCGUCGAGCUAGUGGCUAGGGGCACGGACUCGCUCGGGGAAGUUGGGGGAAAUGAUCCUGGCGUCAAGGGGAGUGCAAUGGGAGGUGGGGCAGCGCAGGAGCCGGCGUGUAGCCGGAGAUCGACCGGAGCUCCGAGGCGGAGGGGCCUCGGUCGAUCUCGAGCACCGGGGCUCUGCGAGCUCGAUUGGGCGACUAGGGGGAGUCUAGUGAUUGUGCUGAAGCUGUCUGGGGGUGCUCGGGUGCCGGGGGGGCUAUUUAUAGGCCAGCGGCGGUGAGCUGACUCGGGCGCGUCGGUGACUCACCGUGGCGCGCAUGCGAGCACACUGAGGUGCUGGCCGCGAAACCACGGGUUCGGGACGUGGUUUAGGACCUCCUGGUGCAUCGGCCGCACAGGGAAAGCGAGUGGGGUCGAGCCGCAGCGACCGUGCAUGCUCAGCCGCGCCGGGCGCGCGCGGGCACGCGUCGCCUGAGCUAUUUUGCGAGGAGAGGGGGCCCCUGAUGGUAGCUUUGCACAGAGUGGGUGUCGGGGGAGCGUUUGGACAUUACUAGGGGGGGUUGGAACUGGCCGGGGCGACGUCCCCUUGCUGGAGGCUCUCUGUAGCGCGCCCAGAGCGCAGUUUUGGCAUGCCACGGCAUGCUGGCGCGCUCUGGGGCACUUGGGACGUGUCCUCUAUGUCCCGAGUGUUGCUGGGAGUGUGCCUAGCCGUUGUGUGUUAGUGGGAGCACGAGCUGGUCAAAGGAGGCAAGGAACACCAGUGUUGCCAGUACUGGCCUGCGGCUCAAAUUGAAGAUCUUGUCACUAGUGCUUGGAGUUGCGGAGGGGCUGGUUGACUGGGUGCUCAGGGUGUUCUGGGCUCUAACUCACCAAGUUUGGGGCUUUGACAUUGGGUAAAACAGUGGCUAGGAGGGUUUUUACCUUCCUGUCAGUAGGUGUUCGACGGUGAUUUGGGGUGCUUCCACUCCACCACUGGAACUGAAACUUAACAGGUUUGGUCUUGGGGUAAAAACAUGGGGUUUCACCAAAUUUGAGAUCCAUUGAACAAGUUUAGCUUUGUAAACUUGAAAAUGCUUCAAAAUGACCAGUACUGUCCUUUACAAAGGAAGUGUGGCCAAAGAGAGUCUCACAAAUCCCCUCUUUGGUGUGGAGUCCUCAUUUGGGGUGUCAAACACCUCUGCAAAGUUUCAGCUCCAUUGGAGAGACUUUGCAAUGUAGAGUUGUUCCAACUCUUCUCUGGAGAGAGAGGGUUUUGGGCUCAUUAGGUGCACUUCCCCACCGUGGAUCAAGGUGAGAUUUUAUGUGAGCACCUAAUAUGGCUUGGGAGAGCUCCUGUAAUUUUAUGGGAAUUUAUUGAGAUCAUUUCCUUUGGAAACAUCUCAAAAAGCUAAAACAAACAGAAAUGGUUUUCAGGGUUUUACUCAAAUAAUAUUAAUAUAAAAUAGGGUUGAAAAUCUUAUAUAUGGAAAAUAUAUGUCCUUCUGAGCUUCCAUGAAUUUACUCAGAAUUUUCUAAGGUAGGAAAGCAAUUUUCCUUGUGGGAAUAUCAUUCCUAGCCUUAGAAACAAACAUAAACAUAAAAUAGGAAAAUAAUAUUUUAAAUCACCAAUUAAUGUUUUUAAUGAAUGAAAAUAAUAUCUGGAUCAGAUCACCAACUUUGGUUGGAAGUGCCACUUGUCUUCAUGAGCUAGUAGUGUAUCCCAACAUGAUGAAGGUGAUCUUGAUAUAAAGGAAAAAGGGUUUUUGAAGAGAGCAAAAUAAUAAGUUUUCAUGGGUUUGAGUCAUCAAGCAAGCAAGCAUUCACUCAUACAAGGGCUGACAUUGCACAAACAACAUUAUUUGAAAAAGUUUUAACAAGCUCUGAUUUUUGCAACAUAAAAUACUUGUGAUGAAAAACAGGGUGUCACAGACCUAUCCCUCUUACAAGAAUCUCGUCCCCGAGAUUCCUAAGCUAAGCUUUAAAUAGCUCGGGAAAUUCUGAUCGGAGAUAGUCUUCACGUUCCCACGUGGCUUCUGCUUCGGUAUGGUUGCUCCACUGAACCUUGAAAAACUUGAUGGUGCGGCUUCUGGUGCAACGUUCGGCUUCAUCCAGAAUGCAGAUCGGUUUCUCGCGGUAGGUAAGGUCCGGUUGAAGGUCAAUAGCUUGAUGAUCAAUGUCCUUGUGAAGAUCGGGACGGUUCGGCACUUGUAAACACUUCCGGAGCUGUGACACGUGAAACACGUUGUGCACACCCGAAAGCUCAGGAGGUAGCUCCAACUGGUAAGCUACUUCUCCGUGCCUUGCCGUGAUCUUGAAGGGUCCAAUGAACCUGGGAGCUAGCUUCCCCUUGACGUGGAAACGCUUGGUCCCCUUCAGAGGCAUGACUUGCAAGUACACCUGGUCUCCGGGAACAAACUCCACAUCUCUGCGGCGAGGGUCCGCAUAGCUCUUCUGCCUUGACUUAGCUGCCUUCAAGUUCUCUCGGACAAGCUGAACCUUGCCCCCUGCUUCUUGCAGUGCUUCUGGUCCUAAAACUAGUCCUUCACCGGUUUCGGACCAAUUGAGCGGGGUGAGGCACUUCCGCCCAUAUAACGCUUCGAAUGGGGCCAUCUAAAGACUGGACUCGUAGCUGCUGUUGUAAGAAAACUCAGCAAAUGGCAGGCAAUCUUCCCACUUGGCACCAUGAGCGAAAACACAGGCGCGGAGCAUGUCCUCAAGUAUCUGGUUUACCCUCUCAGUCUGUCCGCCCGUUUGCGGGUGGAAAGACGUACUGAAGGAGAAUUUGGUUGCGAGAGCUUCUUGAAACUUCUUCCAGAAUCAUGAGGUGAAUUGCGUGCCGCGGUCGGACACGAUCUCCUUGGGAACUCCAUGGAGACUCACCACUUGAUGAAUGUAUAGACUGGCCAGCUGGCUGCCAUGGUAGGUGGUGUUAACGGGGAUGAAAUGGGCCACAUUGGUCAAAUGAUCGACUAUGACCCAAAUGGAGUUAUGACCCUUAUUCGACCGGGGCAACCCGGUGAUGAAGUCCGUGCCGACUUUAUCCCACUUCCAUUCCGGCACUUGAAGAGGUUGCAGCAAUCCAGCAGGUCGCUGGUGUUCAGCCUUGACUCGCUGGCAUACAUCGCAUUUAGCGACAUAGGAUCCAAUUUCCCUCUUCAUGCCAUGCCACCAGAAUCGUUCUCGGAGGUCUUGGUACAUUAUGGUACCACCUGGAUGGAUAGAGUACGGUGUGUCAUGAGCCUCUUGCAGGAUCAAGUCCUUAAGUUCGGCCUUGUUAGGUAUGCAUAAGCGCUUCCCGUACCACAGUACUCCUUGCUCAUCAAUCGAGAAUCCUGGGACUUUGCCUUCUCGCACCUUCCUCUUGAGGCCUUCAAUACUCUUGUGUCCCUUCCGGGCUUCCUUGAUGUCGUCUGCCAGAGUAGGCUUGACUUCGAGGUUGGCCAGGUAUCCUGGUUCGACUAUCUCAAGCCCAAAGCCCUCCAUCUCUUCAUACAAGACGAGUAACCUUUCCUUGAGCGCGACGUUCAAGGAGCCUGCCUUUCGGCUUAAGGCAUCAGCUACCACAUUCGCCUUGCCAGGAUGAAUUUGAAUGCUGAGGUCAUAAUCCUUGAUUAACUCAAGCCAUCUCCGCUGCCUCAUAUUUAGCUCCCUUUGAGUGAAGAUAUAUUUCAGACUUUUGUGGUCUGUAUAUAUCUCACAUCGCUUCCCCAAAAGGUAAUGUCGCCACGUCUUCAGAGCAUGCACUACAGCUGCUAGCUCGAGAUCAUGGGUGGCGUAGUUCUCAUGCGGUCGCAGUUGCCGUGACAAGUACGCCACGACCCUGCCAUCUUGCAUCAGGACUCCACCGAGCCCGGUUCCAGAGGCAUCACAGUAUAUUACGAAUACCUUGUUGAUGUCUGGGGUAGCCAAUACCGGGGCGGUAGUUAGCCUCUUCUUCAACUCCUGGAAACUUGCUUCACACACCGGUGUCCACUCGAACUUUCGGCCUUUCUUCAAGAGUUGAGUCAUAGGUCGAGCGAUGCUGGAGAAACCUUCUACAAACUUGCGGUAGUAUCCCGCGAGCCCGAGGAAACUCCUCACAUCCUUCACGUCCUUUGGUGAUUCCCAGUUGGUCACUGUAGUAAUCUUGGACUGAUAUACGGCCAAACCGCUUGCCGUCAGGGUAUGACCCAGAAAUCCAACUUCGUUCAGCCAGGACUGACACUUGCUGAAUUUGGCAUAAAGCUGGUGCUCUCGAAGCUUUCCCAUAACUAACCUCAGGUGUUGCUCAUGCUCCUCUUCGGACUUCGAGAAGAUUAAUAUGUCAUCGAUGAACACGACGACAAACUUGUCCAAAUAUUCCAUGAAGACCUUGUUCAUGAGGUACAUGAAGUAGGCUGGGGCAUUUGUCAAACCGAAGGGCAUGACAGUGCAUUCAUAUAGACCGUAUCGGGUCACGAAUGCAGUCUUGGGUAUGUCUUCGGGUCGAAUCUUCAACUGGUAAUAUUGUAAUGCCCCAAGUGUAGGACUUUCCCUUUUUGUAACCUUCCAUGUGGGACCACCUCGACUUUGUCAUGAGAGUUUCUAUGCAUGUAUGAUUUCUUGUGUCACCUUCUAUUUUGCAUUAGCAUGCAUGCAUCCAUGCCAUAUCAUUCCUUGCCAUACCUUAUGAUUGCAUGUCAUGUUCAUGUUGGCAUAUGUUCUUACUAGGAGUUAGUAUUGUGGUGUUAUGAUUGCAUGUGAUCUUAGUAGGGUUAUGUUGUGGUUUUGCACUAUCUUGUGUGAUGCAUGUGAUGUUGGUGUGUGAUGGGUAGGAGUGAGUGCUAAGUAUGUUCAAAGCUCUUUGCUAUUCAAAAUCCUUUUCCCUCCUAUUAUCUCAUGUCAAAAUUCCUUCUUCCCAAAAGUUAUUCUAAAAUGUCUGGUGGUUAGAGUAAAUUGUGGUUAUGAGGAGGCUUAAUUUUGCUGACUUGUUCUUUGAUUUUUUAAAGGUGCAAAUAAACCCAAAACAGUAAAUUAAUUACUGUUUUGCAUUUAUUUCAAAUGGAUCCAAAUAUUGCUUUCCUAUUUUAUUCUAAUAGGCCAUAAUUCCUUAUGACCAGGGGAUUUCUUCCUUUUAAGUUUAUCCCCACCAGUUUAUUUGUUUUAUUGCUUUCCUUCUGGUGUUUCUUUUAUUUGGGAAAGGCCACUUGGGCCUUUCUUAUAGUGCUCACCGUGGGCUUCCUUCCCUUGCUGGCCCAGCUGCUCCCCCUCCAGCGAGAGCCCACGCGAGCGAGCCCCCUCCUCCUCCUGACGCCGUCACUUCUCCUCCCCCCGCUUUUCUCCUUUCCGUCAGUACGUGAGAGAGAGGGAGGAGUUGACGGUGCCGUGGCACCAACGUCGAGGACCCUAUUUAGCUGGCGUCCGAGCCCUCCCCUCGAAUAGGGUUCCCUCCUACCGCCGCCAUCUCCUUCCUCCCCCUCCAUCUCUUCCUUUCUUCCCCAGGUAAGUUUUCUGUAGGGUUAGCAGAGAGACAGAGAAGUGGCUCGCCGGCGUCUAACCCCGCGUGCUUCGUCGGGCGACACGGCCACCAUGUCCGGGAGCUUGGGGAGAGUGCCCGCGCUCCGUUCCCGCCGUUGUUGAGGUCGGGGAGAGACCACAACAACGGGCAGGAGCUUGUCUUCGGCGCGCACCCGACGAACUGUUUCCUCUACUUCGGUCUACGGCAGAACCACCUCGGCUCGCCUUCUUCCCUCUGGUCCGGCUUCCUCUCCGUCAGAUCGGAACCCUCCCUUCCUUCCCAAGGUGAAGCUGCACCUCCCCCUUCCUUUCUCCUCCGUAGAUCGGCUCGGAUCCGCCGUGGUGCGUGCUUUUCUCUGUCCUAGUUGCAGCAACUUAGUAGGUUGUAGUGGUAGGGGUUGUUCUGCAUAGUGCGGCAUUCGUGGGUGUGCUGCAUAGAGGAGGGCCCCCUCCCCCCUCGUGACAGCAGCGCCGUGGCCAGGAGACCUCCCCGUCAUCGUUGGCAUGAUCGGCUGGUCUGCCUGCUGCGUCUCCGGCGAGGAGGUUAGAUCAGAGUGGCAGAUCAGCACGGGGAGCCUCUCCAUCUUCUCUCUCGCGCGUUUUAGUUCAGAUGUCGCGCUGUAGUCUACUGGUUGUGGUGCUGGGUGCCUGAUGAGAAGGGUGUGGGUUCGAUUCCCCCCCUCGGCGCUGUUGUUUUGAUUGUUUUACUGUAUUUUUCUGCACAAGAGCAUCAGGGAUACGAUACCCUGGUCUCUUCCCCCAACCUGUCGACAUGGUGGUGGUGGUGUAGUGGCUAGGUGGUGCUUUGUGUACCAGGAGGUACUGGGUUCGAUUCCCAGGACCCGUGAUGUAUGUUUUUGCUAUUUUUUUACUGUCUUUAAUUUGUUCUUCCUCUUCCUUAUACUUGGGCAGCAAGGUGGCAUUAAAAUCCUUUUCCCUGCUAGUGUAGUUAGGAGCAGAUUCCUUUGUGUGUGUGUUUUGCACACUUGUGAGAUGAUAGAUGAUGUAUUGCUAGCCUUGUGAACCUAUGAGGAUUGCAUCUUGUGGUGUGAAGUUACACUUGGUAGGAGUUUGUGCAUGUGAUGUGGUUUCUUGUGAGUGUUGUUCUUAAGGUGUGGAUUACUAGUUAAGCUAGGGUAGAUUGUUGUGGGGGUUGCACUUUGAGGAUGACAUGAUUCCUAGGGUGAUCCUAGUAAUGCAUGUGAGAGUGUGUACCAUCACAUGCCUUUCCAGCACAUUGGGAUCCUAAGCUUNNNNNNNNNNNNNNNNNNNNNNNNNNNNNNNNNNNNNNNNNNNNNNNNNNNNNNNNNNNNNNNNNNNNNNNNNNNNNNNNNNNNNNNNNNNNNNNNNNNNUACAUUAGAUUGACGAACGGGAGCUAGUUACAUAUAUCUCCGUGUUAUAGCUGUUACAUGAUGAAUCACAUCCGUCAUACUCAUCUAUCACCGAUCCAAUGCCUACGAGUCUUUCACUACUAGUUUUCGCUACGUUACUUUGUCUAGGCUUGUCCCUUGCUACAAAAGGGAUUGGGCCACUUUGCUGCUACUGUUGCUAUUGCUGUCACUUUGUUGUUGUUGCUACUGCUGUUCCUUGCUACUCUGCCGUUAUUUGUUGCAAGACUUUGUUGGAGCCGUAGCCAGGGAAGCAUACUUCUCAAGAAUAAUCCCCCGUCAACGUGCUGGCGCCAUUGAUACAACAGUUAGGAACAGUAUGCCGUCAACAGAUCGUUUCUGGCACCGUUUCUAUCAUACUACCUUGCUACUGAUACUUUGCUUACAGACACUAAUCUUUCAGGUGUGGUUGAAUCUGACACAUUCAGCUGCUAAUACUUGAGAAUAUUCUUUCGCUUCCCGUCUUGGCGAAUCUACAAAUUUGGGUCGAAUACUCUAUCCUUGAAAACUGCAGCGAUUCCAUACGCUUGUGGGACAUCAAGGCUAUUUUCUGGCCCCGUUGCCGGGGAUUGCCAACAGCUUUUUUCUGGCACUGUUGCCGGGGAAGCACAACUAUAUUCUCUGAGUCUCUUGGGAUUGACGUCUGCUGAUCACUAUGAGGUAUUCGAAAGAUCCAAGAACUAAAAUCUUGCCUUCCACUACGAGGAGAGGUAAGGAAUUGCUAUCUAGCUCUGCAUUUGAUUCACCUUAAGUUUUGAGUAAGUUUGCGACUUCGCCUCCUUCUAGAAAUCUUGAUAUGUCGCAUGUGCUUGAUGAUGCUACUUCUGCUAUCCAUGAUGCUAUGCUUGAUACUAUGCCUGAUGAUGCUAUGCUUGAUACUAUGCCUGAUGAUGCUAUGCUUGAUACUAUGCCUGCUAUGCCUGAUACUGCUUUGCCACUUGGUGCAUUCCUUGAUGCACAUAUUGCUAGAGCUGCUGCUAGAUGUGAUGAUACUUCUGAAACUGCUGAUACUAUUAAAGUAGAACCUGCUACUAUGCCUACUAUGCCUGAUACGCGCUAUGUUAUGAAGGGAGAGAUAGCUGAGGACUUUCUUGCGUGUAAGGAUAGCUAUGAUGUUGCGAAACUACAGCGCAAGUGGAAAGAAAAAUCUCUGAACGCUAGGAUGAAAUACGACCCAAAGUUUGCCACUUCGCUUAUCUUUGUUACCGAUAAGGAUUAUGAAUUCUCUAUCGACCCUGAGCUAAUCACUCUGGUCGAAUCAGAUCCUUUUCACGGUUAUGAGUCUAAAACGGUUGUAGCUCAUCUUACCAAACUGCACGAUAUAUCCACCCUAUUCACUAGUGAGGAAAAGAUCCUCCACUACUACAUGCUCAAGUUGUUUCCUUUCUCGCUAAAGGAUGAUGCUAAGACCUGGUUCACUUCUCUUGCUGCUGGAUGUGUGCGUAGCCCCUAGGAUAUGGUCUACUACUUCUCUAAAAAAUAUUUCCCUGUCCAUAAGAAGCAAGCUGCCUUGCAGGAAAUAUACAACUUAGCUGAAGCUGAGGAAGAGAGUCUCCCACAAGCUUGGGGGAGGCUCAUCCAGCUACUGAAUGCUUUGCCUGAUCACCCUCUUGAGAAGAAUGAAAUACUUGAUAUCUUCUAUAAUGGACUCACCGAUGCUUCCAAAGACCACGUAGAUAGUUGUGCCAGUAGUAUUUUAGGGAACGAACCGUAGAACAAGUUGAGAUCCUACUGAAUAACAUCUUGUGCAAUGAGAAUGCUUAGACUAUUCCCGAACCACCUCCUAAGCCAACUCCGAAGAAAAGAGGUAUUCUAUUCCUCAAUUCUGAAGAUAUGCAAGAAGCUAAGAAAUCUAUGCGAGAGAAAGGCAUUAAAUCUAAAUAUGUCAAAAAUCUACCACCUAUCAAAGAGAUCCAUGGUCUCGAUAACCCGAUAGAGGUAGUAGAAGUAAAUUCUCUGCGUAUGUUUGAUGAGAGUGAUAUUCCUUUUUAUAAACCUGCUAGCUUAUGCCUGGAUGAAUUUGAUAACUUUAUUGCCAAACAACAGAAUUUCAACGAUUAUGUUAGCAGACAAUUGGAAAAGAAUGCUUAGUCAUUUAAGUGCUAGUGUGGACAGAAAUGUCAAUGAUCUUAAGAUCUUGAGUAAACAUGCCUCUAUGGUUACUACUCAGGUAGAACAAGUACUUAAAGCUCAGAAUGACUUGCUCAACGAGUUGAAUGACAAUUCUUUCAGAGUUGUUACUAGAGGCGGUAGAAUGACCCAGGAACCUGUGUAUCCUGAGGGUCAUCCGAAGAGAUUUGAACAAGAGUCUCAAGGAGUUAGCACUGAUGCACCUAGUCAUCCUAGAAAUAAGAAGAAAGGUGAUAGCGACCUUCACGCUAGCAACCCUGUUGCUGCUACCCAUGAGAGUCCAAACGAUGCCUCUAUCUCUAAUGCUAAGACACAAUCUGGUGAUGAACAUGAGCCUAAUGAUGAUAUCAAUGGUGAUGUUCAUGUUGAUGCUCAACCUAGCAAUGAAAAGGAUGUGGAGAGUGAACCAAUUGAUCUUGAUAACCCACAUCCUAAGAAUAGAAGAUAUGAUAAGAAUGGUUUCGCUGCUAGGGAGCACGGUAAAGAAAGGGAACCAUGGGUUCAGAAACCUAUGCCCUUUCCUCCCAAACCAUCCAAGAAAAAGGAUGAUGAGGAUUUUGAGCGCUUUGUUGAAAUGAUUAGACCUCUCUUUCUACAAAUGCGUUUGACAGAUAUGCUCAAGAUAUCUACGUAUGUUAAGUACAUGAAAUAUAUUGUGACUAAUAAGAGGAGGAUACCUGAUCUUGAGAUCUCCGCCAUGCUUGCCAAUUAUACCUUCAAGGGUGGAACUCCGAAGAAACUAGGUGAUCCCGGUGUGCCCACUAUACCUUGCUCCAUUAAAGGUAACUAUGUUAGAACUGCGUUAUGCGACCUUGGAGCCGGUGUUAGUGUUACGCCUCUCUCUCUUUAUCGUAGACUUGAACUGGAUAAGUUGACGCCCACAGAAAUCUCUCUGCAAAUGGCCGACAAAUCAACUGCUUUCCCUAUCGACAUUUGCGAGGAUGUGCCUGUUGUGGUUGCUGACACCACUAUCUUACCAGACUUUGUUAUCUUGGAUAUUCCUGAGGACGAUGCCAUGGCGGUCAUCCUCGGAAGACCCUUUUUAAACAGUGCAGGAGCUGUUAUAGAUUGCAACAAAGGCAAUGUCACUUUCCAUGUCAACAGUAAUGAGCAUACGGUGCACUUUCCAAAGAAACAAUAUCGAGUACAUUGCAUCAAUGCUAUCAAAAAACUUCAUCGAUACUUAUUGGGAGCUUUGAAUGCCCUAUUCCUCGUGUCAAGAUGAAGUAUGAUUUGCUUGUUGGGGAGAUACACAUCCCCAUUGAGGUGACCUAGUGACUAUUCAAAAAUUCUCCGUUCUCUUUUGCGAUUCGAGAAAGUCUUGUUGAAGGGAUUUGAUCAACCCCAUUGACGGAUUUCUUUCGAUGACCAUGAGAUGGAUUAAUCGAGGAGUCACGAACCUCUGUUCCAAGCUUUUACGUUAGGUUGCUUAGAAGAAAAAUGAUAGAUUUAGUUUAGUUUUCCAUGUUUUCUGUAUUAGUGUCCGGUAGAAAAAUACCCUGAAAAUAAAAGUUCUCCAAACGCUAUGAAAAUCUAGUAUGAUUUUUUCUGGAAUAUUUGAAAAAUACUGGGAAAAAGAGUCUGUCUGGGGGCCACACUAGUGGGCCACAAGCCCUAGGGGCGCGAGCACCCCCCCCCCCNNNNNNNNNNNNNNNNNNNNNNNNNNNNNNNNNNNNNNNNNNNNNNNNNNNNNNNNNNNNNNNNNNNNNNNNNNNNNNNNNNNNNNNNNNNNNNNNNNNNNNNNNNNNNNNNNNNNNNNNNNNNNNNNNNNNNNNNNNNNNNNNNNNNNNNNNNNNNNNNNNNNNNNNNNNNNNNNNNNNNNNNNNNNNNNNNNNNNNNNNNNNNNNNNNNNNNNNNNNNNNNNNNNNNNNNNNNNNNNNNNNNNCCCCCCCCCCCGCCGCACCACCCAGGCUUGUGGGGCCCAUAGGCACCCCUCCAGUACUUCUUGCUCUUAUCUCCUUCUCCUACCUCCAGAAAAAAUUGUUUCACAGCUCAAACCCGUGUUCUUGCUCCUCUUGCUGGGAUUUUCGAUCUCUUUGCUCAAAUCACCGUUCUCCGAACUGUUUUGGGCAAAUUACUCCUUGGUAAUUGACUCCUCCAUUGGUCCAAUUAGUUUUUGCUCUAGUGCCUUAUACUCCGCGUAUUUUUGCUGCCUUGGUGACCAUGUUCUUGAGCUUUGUAUGCUGAUUCUAGCUGGACCCAAGUAGUUUUGAUGCGUAAUAUGGUCUCUAGGCACUUGUGGGAGUAGUUGCUACGAGUUUCGUUGAGCCUUAUUCACUUUUCCUUAGAAUCACUAAAAAAUUCAGAAAUUUUCAGAGAUAGAAAAGGGAAAAGAUGAGGAGGUUCUUGAGAGGCUCGUCAAGCCGUGACACCAAGGAGGAUGGGAGUGAGAAGAAGCCCGAGUAUCCGGUCCCUCGAGUCGCGGAAGUUCGAGCGCGCGAGUGACCAAGCGACGUGUUCUUAUGCGCCGCUGGAAUUUAUGAAGACUUUUAUCACUUGGUGGAAAUCGCAGGCCUUACCGCCUUCGUUGAAGAUAAGUGUUCGCAAUACCUCCUCCUCACUAAUAUCUUCGUACAAAGCUUUAACUUCUAUCCGAGGAAGAAUCCUCCUAUGGUUGAAUUCAAAAUUUAUGAUAUCCCCUGCGCAUGUCACUCCAGGAUUUUUGGAGUGUUUGCAAAUUACCUUACGUUGGGGAUAUUCAUGAACCUCGUCCACGGGACUUGGAAGCUUUCAUCGGUACAAUUGCUGUAGGAGAGGAGAGAGGAGUGUCUUGUGCUAGAGCUGCUAGCAUUCAUUUUCCCGUGCUUCGGUAUUUCUCACUUUUUGUGGGAAAAAUGUUUGAUUGGCCGUGGGAAAGCUGGCCACUUAGUUCCCCAGAUCUUGCGGUAUUGCGCGAAGCCCUUUAUAACGAUAAAACUUAUAGAUUGGGUGCUAUAGUAGCUCAACGGUUGAAUCUGAACCGUUCUAAAGGUGUCGUCUAUGGAGGUAUCUAUGCUACCCGUCUUGCCAGACACUUUGAGAUACCCAUUAGACUGGAGGAAGAAGACGAGGUUCUUCUUCCCGAGAGAUAUAUAGAUUACGAUAGCAUGGUUCGCCAUGACUUUCUUGAUAGAGAUAUAGGUGGAAGGAUGAUUUAUAACCUAGUAUUUAGUCAGGGUACUCGUGAGACUAUUACUUUGCCUGCUCCUUCUUUGUUCAAUCUUCAUGCAGGCAGGUACAUUAUUAUGCCCUCGGACAUCUACGCAUAUUGGGGCUUAGCCCAACCACAGGUGCCCGUGCCCGAGCCACCAGUCGAGUACCAAACGCCAGUUUAUCAGUGGGAGCUGGAGGAUCUCACACAGCAGUGGCAUCCUCAGUCCACUCCGGAGUACCCCGGAGCUAGUUACUUCCCUCCUUGGGAGUAGACCAACUUAGGCCAAAAGCCUAAGCUUGGGGGAGUACGUGUUCUCACCGACUUUACAUUCUUGCUUAUGCUUUCACUUUGUUAGCCGGUAUUCACACUUUGCCACUGUAUCAUCCAUGCUAGUUUAUUUUCUUUUUCUCGUUUUAUUUUCGUGUGUCUGUCUAGUUUGAGAAAAACCAAAAAGAUUUUAUUUUCUUCGUUUGCUUGUUGGGAGUUUUCCCGUGUAGAUAGUUUUCUUUUUCUUUGGGUCAGGGUAGAAGAUAUUGGUUACAAUGUUUAGUGGCUCUUGCAUUCAUACCUGUUUAGCUUUCAAAGAGCCAUAUUACUUUGUCUUCUCCUUUUUGUUUGCAUGCAGAUUCCAGCGUAGUCCAAUGCACGAGCACGCUUAUUAUUGUUCACAUCGUUCGGUCGUGCAAGUGAAAGGCAAUAAUGACGAUAUACGAUGAAGUGACUGAGCCUGGAGAAGCUGGUAUGAACUCGAUCUAUUUUGUUUUUUAAAAUAUGACUAGCUCAUCAUGCCUGAUUCAUCUUUGUUGUGAGAGAAACAUGUUUGCAAUGACAACUUAGAGAUCAUAGUUGCUUAUGCCAUGCUUACUUAGCUAGGGGCUUAUAAUGGUUUGUCUUGGAUGCUCACAUGAAUUUUGAGAUGACUGUGUUGUAGUAUGAUAGGAUGGUAUCCUCCUUUGAAUGUUUCAAGUGGCUUGACUUGGCGCAUGUUCACGCAUGUAGUUGAAACAAAAUCAACAUAGCCUCUAUGAUGUUCAUGUUCAUGGUGAUUUAUGUCCUACUCAUGCUUGCACUCAAUGUUAGUUAAUCUCAAUGCAUUUGGAUGACCGUUGUCGCUCUCUAGUUGGUCGCUUCCCAGUCUUUUGCUAGCCUUCACUUGUACUAAGUGGGAAUACUGCUUGUGCAUCCACUUCCAUAAACCCAAAGUUGUGCCAUAUGAGUCCACCAUACCUACCUAUGUGCGGUAUCUACCUGCUGUUCCAAGUAAAUUUGCAUGUGCCACUCUCUAAAUCUUGAAGAAAUAAUCUAUUUUGCAGGCCCGAAACGCUCAUGUAGUGACAGGGGGCUAUUGGUAUGUUCCAUGCUAGGUGUGUUAUCCUCGAUAUGUGUUUAUUCACUAUCAUUCAUGAGAAAGGGGCCGGUAAUUGGAAUUCCCAGUUCCAUGCUCAAAUCAAAAAGAUAAUUGCAAACAAAACUCCCCCAGGAUUGAUGUUGGUAUGGACGGUACCCGAGGAUUCAGCUAGCCGUGGAGUGUGAUUGAUUGGUGGCGGGGGAGUCAAAACUUUACUUUUCUGUGUGGGAACCGCCUAUAGCAUGUGUAGCAUGGAAGAUGUUGAGAACUCUUGGCCAUUGCGUUGACAAUGAAAGCAUGCCACCCAAAAUUAUUAUCUCUGUUUUCAAAGCUUGAGCUCUAGCACCUCUGCAAAUCAAUGCUUCCCUCUGCGAAGGGCCUGUCUAUUUAUGUUCCUGUUGAGUCAUCCUCCUCUUACAAAAGCACCAAUUAGAGAUCACCUCUGUCAUUUUUCUGCUUUGCUUUUAACUCUGUUGAGUGUGACUAUGACUGGAUCUUCAUUGCCUUGAAUUACAAUGUUUAGUCAGCCCUUGGUCUUUGAAGGUGCUCUGCAUUUAUGUUUUGCGGUCUCAAAAAGAGCUACAGAGAUACCAUCUAUUCGUAUUUCUUCAUGUUGUCUUGAUUGACGUGUUGACGUUUGAGACUUAUUAUUAUUUGCUCGCUAGUUGAUUAUGCCAUUGAUAUGAGUUUACCGUGAGCCCUAGAUGUCAUUUGCUUUUGUGGUUUGCUAGUGAUGUUGCUGAAAUUUUGGUUAUGAGUUAGACAAAGUUGCAACAACAAGAUCAAACAGAGUUCGUCAAAGUUUUUCUUUUGUCUCUCUCAGUUUGUCAACUGAGUUUCUUGAGGACAAGCAAGGCUUUAAGCUUGGGGGAGUUGAUACGUCUCCGUCGUAUCUACUUUUCCAAACUCUUUUGCCCUUGUUUUUGAGUCUAACUUGCAUGAUUUGAAUGGAACUAACCCGGACUGACACUAUUUUCAGCAGAAUUGCCAUGGUGUUGUUUUUUUGCAGAAAUGAAAGUUCUCGGAACGUCCUGAAAAUUUACGGAGAUUUUUUCUGGAAUAAAAGAAAAAUACAUGCGCGAAGAUCCACCAGAGGGGGCGUGCCAGUGAGCCACAAGCCCACAGGCCGCGGCCACCCCCCUAUGGCCGCGCCAUGAGGGCUUGUGGGGCCCACGUGGCACAACCGCCCCCAACCUCAGCUCUAUAUCUUCUGUUUCGCCUGGACAAAAAAAAUCAGAGAGAAGGUUUCAUCGCGUUUUGUGAUACGGAGGCGCCGCCACAUCCCGUUCUUCAUCUGGAGGGCAGAUCUGGAGUCCGUUUCGGGCUCCGGAGAGGGGAAAUCGUCGCCAUAAUCGUCAUCAACCUUUCUCCAUCGAUAAUUCCAUGAUGCUCUUCAUCAUUCGUGAGUAAUCUCAUCGUAGGCUUGCUGGACGGUGAUGAGUUGGAUGAGAUCUAUCAUGUAAUCGAGUUAGUUCUUGACGGGGAUUGAUCCCUAGUAUCGACUAUGUUCUAGAUUGAUGUUGCUACUACUUGGCUAUGCUUAAUGCUUGUCACUAGGGCCCGAGUGCCAUGAUUUCAGAUCUGAACCUAUUAUGUUGUCGCCAAUAUAUGUGUGUUUCAGAUCCUAUCUUGCAAGUUGUAGUCACCUAUUAUGUGUUAUGACCCGACAACCCCGGAGUGACAAUAGCCGGAACCACUCCCGGAGAUGACCAUAGUACGAGGAGUUCAUGUAUUCACCGCGUGUUAAUGUGUUGGUCCGGUUCUUUAUUAAAAGGAGAACCUUAAUAUCUCGUAGUUUCCAUUAGGANUACAUUAGAUUGACGAAAGGGAGCUAGUUGCAUAUCUCCCCGUGUUAUAGCUGUUACAUGAUGAAUCACAUCCGUCAUACUCAUCUAUCACCGAUCCAUUGCCUACAAGUCUUUCACUACUGGUUCUCGCUACGUUACUUUGUCUAGGCUUGCCCCUUGCUACAAAAGGGAUUGGGCCACUUUGUUGUUACUGUUGCUAUUGCUGUUACUUUGUUGUUGUUGCUACUGCUGUUCCUUGCUACUCCGCUGUUACUUGUUGCAAAAAUUUGUUGGAGCUGUAGCCCGGGAAGCAUUCUUCUCAAGAAUAAUCCCUCGUCAACAUGCUGGCGGCAUUGAUACAACAUUUAGGAAUAGUCUGUCGUCAACACAUCUUUUCUGGCACAGUUGCUAUUAUAAUACCUUGCUACUGAUACAUUGCUUACAGACACUAAUCUUUCAGGUGUGGUUGAAUCUGACACAUUCAGCUGCUAAUACUUCAGAAUAUUCUUUCGCUUUUCGUCUUGGCGAAUCUACAAAGUUGGGUCGAAUACUCUACCCCACAAAAACUGCUGCGAUCCCAUACGCUUGUGGGACAUCAAGGCUAUUUUCUGGCACCGUUUCCGGGGAUUGCCAACAGGAAGCACGACCAUCAUUUAUAGUUUAGAAAGGAAGAACGACUACCAUCGCAAAUGACGUACGUCGCAACCAAGUGGAAGCAAGACUACCAUCGCAAGCACGGCAAACAUUGAAAGGAAGCACGAUGACCUUUGGUUCAAUGGUGUUCGAACUAUGCCUAAUCCCAAAUUUUGUUUUAGAGAAGCAAGUUUUGAUUUCUUUGGAAGCAAUAGUUCAGUUUGUUUCAAACCAAUGCAAGUGUUUCAAGUUCAAAUACACGGUACAAGAACACAAAAUUAAUCGAAGCACGUGAAGGAAUCAUUCAAGCACAUGAAGGAAGCAAAAUGAGAAGAGAUGAUGAGGACCAGCUAGAGUACGCGAGCAACCCAUGACCAUGGUGUUCCUGUCAUCACAGACUUUUAAAUUGAUAGAUGUACCUGCACCGCUAAAAAAAUGAACCUAAGCUUGUAUGAAGUAUUGAAGGAAAUUUUUGAUAAGCAAAUCAGUGCAAAUAUGUAUCAUGUAAGAAGCAUGCAAUAGGAACAUAUGAUGUAUUGUAAUAUCAACAACUUGUAGGUAUAGUACAUUUGUAAUAUGUCAGAUGCAUAAAACAUGAACAUAAAAGCAUUUUCUAUUUUCCUAUUGAUGAAUCUAAAUUUAUUUCUAGUUAAAAUGGAACCAAAUUUUGUUCAGCACCUAAUCAAAUUUAUUUUGAAUCCAUAUAGAAGAAAAUUUCUAAUCAACAUGGAAUCCAAUCGAAAACAAAUUUUGGCAACUAAUAAGUAGCAACACAAUAUUUUAGACCGAUGCACAUUUUAUUUUGCGCUUGAGGAAAUUAUAAAGAAUAUUGGAAACAAGAAGUGUUGUGUAAGGCAAGGUUGUCAGACUCGCGAUUUUGAAUCAGAUCAGAGCUCUGUUGGUAGGAUCGGGAAUCGUAGAAUCAUAACUACUAGGAUCGUAGAAACUUAGAUUCUAUGAGAAAAAUCGUAGAAUCGGAGGGGCUACUUUGGAUCAUAAAUUCGUAAGAUUCUAAGACUUGAGUCACGAUUCUGACAACUUUGGUGUAUGGAAAUACAGUCGCUCGAUGCAAUUUCAAGAAUGUUGGAAACAUGAAGUGUUUUGUAAGGAAAAAAAAUGUGAUUCGUAAGGAUAAAAAUUGCAUUCAGAAAUCUUUAUGCCACAAUCCUUCCAUAAUUAAUUUCCUCAAAAUGCUCCAUUGGUUUCCUAAAUACCUUGGAUUAGUGACCCCAAAUUACGUGCUUCUACUUCUGAACAAACUUGCUUCCAAAUCAGUACUACAUCCAACGGGUCACGAGGCUAUGAUCCAACGGCAGAACACUAGUCUGAUGGGAGGCUAGGAAUCAAUAGUCUGAUUCCUAGUGCUUCCAGAUAGUAAUUUGCAUGGGUCAUAAGGCUGCAUAAAAAAUAGUGAGUGUUUAAUGCAUGAUAAUUAAAACCAUCAUGUAGCACAUAUAGAGAAAUUGUGGUUAAUGAUAUUGAUGUGGUGAUAUGAAAAGGUGUGAGUGCAUAUUCAUUAAUUUAGAGAGGUGUCAAUAUUAAGAGAUGUCAAAACUUCUUGAACAUCUAAAUUUUUUAGAAGGAAUGGUGAUGGUGUGUGAGCAUUUCUAUUCCUCAUGCAAAACUUAAUGUUGUUUCGAGUCGGAGUCGCACGAUGGUUAACUCCUGCCAACCCUCUCCCUCGGGGAAUGCGAAUAGUACUUUGAUUUUUGAUAAGACUAAUAAAACUUUGCAACAAAUAUAUGCCUUCUUUAUGACUAAUGUGACACCAUGGACAUACACAAUCUCACCUCCUCAUUUUUUACUGGGAACUGUAGGGAAACCCCCCACAACAUUUAUAACUUUUAUUGAAAGAGAGUUACAAAUGUUAGAAGGAGUAACUUAAAAGUACAGCUGAGGAACUAAAAGAAAACUAAUAUACAAGGAUAAUAUGCAAUCUCACCUCCUCAUAUUUUCUAGCCUCCCCAGUACGCGCAUAGCCAAUUCUCACCUCGACAAUUGGUGCAACUUUCGCCGGUGCAUCCAAACCCCGUGACACGAUACGCACUGUUGCACAUAAGCCUUAUUAUAUUCUCCUCAAAACAACCACCAUACCUAUCAAUUAUGUCAUUUCUAUAGCCAUUGUGAGAUAUAUUUCCAUGCAAAUUCCAUCAUGACUUCACAUGAUUAGUUCGCUCAUCUUCAUAUUGCUUUGCAUGAUCAUAUAGAGCUGAAAUAGUAUUUGUGGAAAAGCCGUUGUUCAUAAUAGCAUUUGUGGCAAAGCCACCAAUUAUCAUAUGAUGAAUACAUGUCAUGCUAAAUCAUUGCACAUCCUAGUACCCUGCCAGAGGCAUUCAUAUUUGAGUCAUGUUGCUUCAUAGUUCAUGAUAUCGAGUUACCUAUGAGUUGUAAGUAAACAAAAGUGUGAUGAUCUUCGUUAUUAGAGCACUAUCUCCGUGAGGAAAUAAAUAUGGGGGGGGGUCCAAAUGAGCCCACCAUAUAUGAAUAAAAAUAAAAUGAAUGAGAUAAAAAGAGAGAAGGGACUUUACUACUAUCCUUUACCACACUUGUGCCUCAAAGUUGCAGCAUGUUCAUCAUACAGAGAGUCUCAUGUUAUAUCAUUCAUAUGUUAGUGGGAAUCAAAAAAAAUAGAAACUUGGCUUGUAUAUUACGAUGAUGGGCUUCUUCAAAUGCCCAAGGUCUUCAUGAGCAAGCAAGUUGGAUGCACACCCCACCUAGCUUCAGUGGAGUUUUCAUACACCUAUAGCUCUAGUGUAUCAUUUGCAUGGCAUUCCCUACUCCUUCUGUGAAUAUCUAUCGACGGGCAUCUCCAUUGCUUGUUGGUACGCCUUGUUGAUACGAGGCUAUCUUCUCCACUUCUAAACCCCUUUAAAACCUACCACCUUACUCUAUUCGACCUAUAUGCUAUGUCCAAUGGUUCACGCUCAUGUGUUGCGUGAAGAAUAAAAAGUUGAUGCAUAAUGAAAAGGUACGAUCCAAUUUCCUGACUUGGGCACCGUGGUGCUUGACAUUUGUAGUUAUGUGGUGCAGGAGGAGCCAUGCCUUGCUAAUCUAAUAAAGAUGGAUAGGGGUGAAACAAUCUUUGAGAAUCGUACACUUUGAAAAAAUAAUUGUUUUGCUGAUUAUAAUUAUAAAUACUGAUGUGUUAAUAUUUGUUAAUUCAUCGUUUCUCAGUGAGCAUACAUGCAGAAGAUUACAUCAUGGAUAGCAUGUCACAUCAGCAAUUUUGUUUUUAUCAUUUACCUACUCAAGGACGAGCAUGAAUUAAGCUUGGGGAUGCUUGAUACGUCUCGAAAGUAUCUAAAAUUUUAGAUUGUUCCAUGCUAUUAUAUUAUCAUUUUAGAACACUUUUUAUGUACUUAUCUAUCAAUUCAUAUUAGUUUUGAGCACAAACCUACUGACCAACUGCCCAGUACGAGUUGUUGUUUUGUGCGUGUUUUUCCACUUUUCAGGUAUUCAGUACCAAACAAAGUCCACCUGACCUAAAUUUUUUUGUGAAUUUUUUGGACCAAAACAUGACUGUAGAGCAUUGGAAGCACGCUGCAGAGUGCACAACAGCCCGACAAGCCACCACGGUGUGACCUGUGGGGGAUGAUGGCUUGUGGCCCCCUCGUGGCUCUCCCAACCCAGUUCUAUGGCCUAUAAAAUCUCAUCUACCCUAAAAAAUAUAAAGGGAGGUCCCGAAAUACUUCUUACGCCGUCAAAAGUCUUUGUUCCGACGGAAGGUCAUCUAGAGCUCCAUUCUGGCGCUCUGCCGGAGGGGGAUUGAUCACAAAGGGCUUCUUCAUCAACCUUGCUUCCCUCAUGAUGAUGUGUGAGUAGUUCAUCAUAGACCUACAGGUCCAUAGCCCGUACCUAUAUGGCAAUCUAUCUCUCUUUAUCUCUCUCUCUCUCUCUCUCUCUCUCUCUCUUUGUUCUUCAAUACAAUGAUCAUCACAUCUUCGCUUUGAUCGAUAUGAUGUAACUGUUUUGUACGGUGCGUUUGUUGGGAUCCGAUGAAUUGUGGGUUUAUGUUCAGAUUAUUAAUGAUAAAUAUUUGAUUCUCCUCUGAUAUAUAAUAUGAUUCUUAUGUGCAUGAUUAUGAUAGCUUCAUAAUUCUCUUUGAUCUAUUGAAAUAAUUUGGCCAACUAGAUUGAUAUUAUUCGGUGAGGGAGGUGCACUAUAGUAGGUUCAACCUGGCGAGUUUCUAUAUCCCAGUGACAGAAGGGAACAAGUUGCAUCUUUGUGUUGCUGCUAAUAAUGGUAAAACAAUGGGAUUUAUUUACAUUGGUUGAGUUUACUUUGUCUACAUCAUGUCAUCUUGCUCUAAGCAUUACUUCGUUUGUCAUGAACUUAAUACGUAGAAAGGAAAGCAUAGAAGCACUCUUGAAGUGAAGUAAUAGUAAUAUGUGCACACAUGAGUCCGCCUAUUUGUUUAUGGAUGUGAUGCCUAUAUUUACAUGAUCAUUAUCGUGAAUAUCGCAUAACUAUCUGCUCUCCUAUCAAUUGUCGAACAGUAAUUUGUUUACCCACCGUGUACUAUUUUUAUGAGAGAUGCCAUUAGGGAAAAAUAUGGCUCGUGAGUCUAUUCACGACAUAUUGCUAAAACCUCCAAUACAUUGCUGAAAUUUAUUUGCUUUUAUUUUAUUUUUCAUUUUACAAUUAUCUACACACCUCAUUUGCAUGCAAAUAAUGAGACCAAGGGGAUUGAUGACCAUCUUGCGUGCGUUGGAUGCAAUCUGUUUGUUCUUUUGUGUGCAACCUCUAAAUACAAUUGUGGUUGAUAUUCCUAUUAGUUCGAUAAAAAAUGGUUUCAUAACUAAGGGAAAUACUUACCCGCAUUGUGAUGCGAUAAAAUGUUCCUCUUCAUGGAAAACCCAAUGCAGAUCACAAGUAUCAAGUAUAUGUACUCAGUGGGGAACUUAUUUGGGAUAGAAAAGAUCUAAAGAAAGAAAACAUGUUAAAGGAGCCAUGACCAUAUAACUUGUAUGUGAAUGUAAACUACCAUAAUCAUUACAUUGUCUUCCAUGUCCAACAUCAACACUUGACCAUUAUCUAAUAUUUGGUGGGGGCUCACAAUCAUAAAAGAUGACUAAGAUGGUGUAUUUAUAUGUGAGUCUUCUCUCCUCUAUCAUACUCUUUCUUGGAUUGCAUCAAUGACUAAUACUAUGUUUCUUUACUAUCAACAACUUUUAUCACUUAUACGUUUUUUAAUGUGAAGUCAUUACUUCUCAUGAGGUAAGCAUACAAGUAAAGCACACAAACUCAACUAAUAUUUACGAUAUGACUCUCAUACUCAAUUACAAGGAAAGAUGGAUCUCAAAGCAAAAGUUCUAAGCAAAGAAAAUCUGAAAUUUUAUUUCUCUAAAUCACAAAACAACUAAAGAUAAAACUAAGAUAGAUGGUAAUGGUUGAAGCACUACUCCAAUUAGAGAAUUUACCAUCGCGUGUUCUUUGUUGUCUGCCAGCGGACGACAAAGAAGGUCUUUGUCGUCGGCUUCCAAAAAAUAGACGACAAAGAAGGGACUCAUGGAAAUUAAGGUAUUUGCCAUUAGGCCAUUCAUUGUCGUCUGCUAGCUGACGGCAGAAAGCCUAGAAGCAGACGGAAAAGGACCGAGAUGGGCCCACUAGGUACUGGGGCAUGUUAGGUAAAAUGGGUGCCCUCUUUGCCGUAUGCGAGCAGACAGCAAAGCGCACGGCCUCCCUCCCACCGUUAGUCGCCCCCACCUCUCUAUCUCUCCCCCUCCCUCCCUCCCUCAGAUCCCCUCUACCUCCCUCCCGCCGCACCCCGACGCCCACUACCUGCCGCCCCUUCCAAUGGCCGCCGCCCCGUAGGAAGCCCCCUCCUUGUGGCCCCCUCUCUCUCCCCCUCUCUUGCUCCACCCCACCUCCUCCCUCCCACCUCAACGACGCCCCAUCACGUUGAGCCCCCUCCCAAGUGUCGCCCCACCUCCACCCUCCCACUGCGGCGAGCCCCCCAAGCGCCGCCCCACCUCCACCCUCCCACCGCGCCGAUCCCCCCUCCCCUAUGACGUCCCUCCUCCAUCGGCCCUCCUCUAAUGAGUAUUUGCAAGUCUUUUUUUUUCAUUUUAUUGCAUGUGUUGUAGUUACUGUUAGUUUAGGUUGCUUUUAGGUCUUUUUUGCUCUUAGUAGUUAAUGUUAGUGUUGUUAGAGCAUAUUUCUCCGUACGUGGUUUUCGUAAUUGAUGACAAUCCAUAUGGACUACUGGUUUCCUUAAGCUAUAUUCAAAGGAUUUGUCCAUAGGCACUUCUUGAAGUACAUCUAUUGGUUUAAAGGAGUUUAUAUGAUGACCAAGGUGGUAUUCAAGGUAUUAUCCAAUGAUUGGUCAUAAAGACACAAGGUUGAUGAAGACUAAGCAAAUAGUAAAUCAAGAUGAUCAACACACAAAGCAUAUAACAUGUAUCGAGAGGGAUCAAGUGCUCCCAUGGUAUGGUAAGCAUUGUCCAUAACGCUUUUGUGUACUAACCCAUGGUCUUCGUGAGAGUUCUAUGUGGGGUUAAGUGUGUUUCCAUGGGCUUGCAUCAAGAGGAAGAUCUCAUACAACCUUUGGAGGAUGAAUUCAAAUGGUGAUUGUCAUCAAGAUUGCGGUGUGCAAGUUCAAGUGGAGCAUCACAAAGAUAUCAUGCUUGAAGCUUGCCGUCCAUUGUGGUGGCAAUGGAUUUGUGAAGAUGUGUUGGAGAGUGGAUCACCCAUAGUGAGUAGGGGGGAGCAAUCAACUAGUAUUCAUCAAACCAACGCAAUCAAGAAAGGUGGUCCAUCUCCAGGAAUCCAAUAUCAUUAUCAUCUAGCUCAAGAGGACUAGGUGCAAGGUAUAGGUUUGCCCCUGAUAGGUUUUUCUAUUUUAGGAUAGAUUGUCGUUCUAUCAAGAGGGGACCCUCAAGUGAGUAGUUUGAUCAUAUCGUUCGUUGAGAGCUCAAACCAUUUGCAUCCUUGCAUCAUAUUUCUUGGUUCUUGUUUGGUGUUUCUUUUUGUGAGUUUAAAGCUUAUGGUCAUCUUCAUGACAAGCUCGAGUUCAUAAAAAACGGAGUCCAUAUGCAUCUUCUAUGAUGUUUUCAAUGUUGGAAGUUUUUGCUCGUUAUUCAUUCAUAGAGGUCUCACAUCUCUAUAUCAUCGUUGUUUGGAUAUCACUUGUCGUCUUGAAUCCAACAAGCUUGAUUUUGCUUGAUUCGGAGCUCGUAUGCGAAAGUUAUCGCAGUUUCAGUACUAGAGCUGCUUUUCUCUAAACAAGCGGUAGUACCGUUUGGUACCAUAGUAGUACUGCUUGGGCGGUAAUUUCGCUGUGUAAAGAGCGGACAUAGUUUUUUACUACUGCCCUCAGGUGGUAGCACCACAAAACCAUGUCCGGUACUACUGUGCCGUAUUUUUGCACAGCCGCAGCCUCAGGGGAGGUAGACAUGGAACUAACUUUUUACUUCCAUGUACCUCGUGUGACAGUUGGAUACUACCAUCCCGUAGUACCAUAAGGGCGUGCAGUAGUACCGCUCGUUGCCCCGUGUUGUAGUUCCUCCCUCUGCGACUACCGUGCGUGCGGUAGUACAGCUAUGCUCGGGCUGAAAGUGGGGGUAGCAGCUGGAUUCUUCCCCCCCCCACUAUAAAAAGGGGGUCUUCUUCCCCAAUGGUGAUCUAUCCAUUGAGCUCGUGUUCUUUCCCCAUUGUUGACCUUCUUCGAGCUUGCUAACUCUCAAUCCCUCCAAUGAUUCUUGCUCCUUUUUGAGGGAAAAGACAGAGGAGAUCUAGAUCCACAUUUCCAGCAAUCACUUUAUCCUCUAAGUGAGGGGAACCCCUUGGAUAUAGUUCUUGGUGUUCUUCUUUGUUCUUCCUCUCAUUCUCCACCAUAGAAUUAGUUGUUGUGGUGGGAUUUGGGAGUGAAGGAGUUGGGUACUCAGUGUGCCCUUGCCAUUGCAUUUGGUGCAUAGAUUUGAGUUCUCCACGGGGAUACGUGGAAGUCAAGUUUGAGAAGCUUAUUACACUUUGGUACUUGGUACCCUAGAGAUUGUUCUUCGUGGAUGCUUUGGCGUCCUAGUAGCUUGGUGGUGCCUUAGAGCUCAAUCAUUGUGUUGUAAAGCUCCAGGCAAGCGUGGGGGUCUCCAAUUAAGUUCUGGAGAUUACCCCGAGCAUUUGUGGUCACCUUGAAGCCAUAUGCUAUUGUGGUGAAGGUUCAUGGUGUUGUUGGGAGCCUCCAAUUAAGUUGUGGAGAUUGUCCCAACCUUGUUUAUACAGGUUCGGUGACCGCCCUCAAGGGUCCCUUAGUGGAAUCACGACAUCUUGCAUUGUGCGAGGGCGUGAGGAGAUUACAGUGGCGUUAGUGGAAUCUUGGGGAGCAUUGUGCCUCCAUGAUGACCCACAAGUGUAGGGGAUCUAUCGUAGUCCUUUCGAUAAGUAAGAGUGUCGAACCCAACGAGGAGGAGAAGGAACUGACAAGUGGUUUUCAGCAAGGUAUUCUCUGCAAGCACUGAAAUUAUCGGUAACAAAUAGUUGUGUGAUAAGAUGAUUCGUAGCAAGUAGCAAGUAACAAAAGUAACAAAGGUGCAGCAAAGUGUCCCAAUCCCUUUUGUAGCAACGGACAAGCCUGGACAAACUCUUAUAGUAGGAGAAACGCUCCCGAGGACACAUGGGAAUUUCUGUCAAGCUAGUUUUCAUCAUGUUCAUAUGAUUCACGUUCGCUACUUUGAUAGUUUGAUAUGUGGGUGGACCGGUGCUUGGGUGCUUCCCUUACUUGGACAAACAUCCCACUUAUGAUUAACCCCUCUCGCAAGCAUCCGCAACUACGAAAGAAGAAUUAAGACAAAGUCUAACCAUAGCAUUAAACUAGUGGAUCCAAAUCACCCCCUUACGAAGCAACGCAUAAACUAGGGUUUAAGCUUCUGUCACUCUAGCAACCCGUCAUCUACUUACUACUUCCCAAUGCCUUCCUCUAGGCCCAAAUAAUGGUGAAGUGUUAUGUCGUCGAUGUUCACAUAACACCACUUGAGGAAAAACAACAUACAACGCAUCAAAAUAUCGAACGAAUACCAAAUUCACAUGACUACUUAUAGCCAGACUUAUCCCGUGUCCUCAGGAACAAAAGUGACUACUCACAAAGCAUAAUUAUGUUCAUGACCAGAGAGGUAUUGAAUAGCAUCAAGGAUUUGAACAUAUAAUCUUCCACCGAGUAAUCCAACUAACAUCAACAACAAAGAGUAAUUAACACUACUAGCAACCUUACAAGUACCGAUCGGAGUCGCGAGACGGAGAUUGGUUACAAGAGAUGAACUAGGGUUUGGAGAUGAGAUGGUGCUGAUGAAGAUGUUGAUGGUGAUGUGUCUCCUCCGAUGAGAGGAGUGUUGGUGAUGACGAUGGCGGCUAUUUCCCCCACCGGGAGGGAAAUUUCCCUGACAGGACGACCCUGCGGAGCUCUAGAUUGGUUCUGCUCAAGUUCCGCCUCGUGGCGGCGGCGAAUCCUCCCGAAAGCCUCCUCCUAAUUUUUUUGGAAAAAAACCCUCCUUAUAGCAAAAGAUGGAAGCCAGAGGGGCAACAGGGGGCCCACAAGCCACCUAGGCGCGGCCAGGGGGGUGGGCCGCGCCUGGCAGGCUUGUGGCCUCCUGGUGGCUCCCCUCUGGUACUUCUUCCGCCCAGUAUUUUUUUUAAGUUCCAAAAUAAUUCCUCGUUGAUUUUCAUGGCUUUUGGAAUUGUGCAGAAUAGGUCUCUCAAACUUGCUCCUUUUGAGACCAGAAUUCCAGCUGCCGGCAUUCUCCCCUUCAUGUAAACCUUAUAAAAUAAGAGAGAAAAG
This 106847-nucleotide long non-coding RNA is filed under the name Hordeum vulgare. RNAcentral's name for it is "long non-coding RNA (HVUL_LNC007531)". The record is from RNAcentral. Lineage: Eukaryota; Viridiplantae; Streptophyta; Magnoliopsida; Poales; Poaceae.